This 100249-nucleotide long non-coding RNA is filed under the name Lactuca sativa (garden lettuce). Its description in RNAcentral is "long non-coding RNA (LSAT_LNC009003)". Lineage: Eukaryota; Viridiplantae; Streptophyta; Magnoliopsida; Asterales; Asteraceae. The record is from RNAcentral.
AAUGGAGGAAUAUAUGAUCCCUUAUCUAAUGGACAAGUCACUGACAAAGGUCAGAGUUCAUCGACAAGGUCAGAGUUCGACAGAAGCUUUUGAGAGCUACGAUUGCCAGUUGGUUCCUGAAGUCAUACGCAAUAAUAGUUUUAGACUUAUCCAAGUGGGAGACUGUUGGAUUAAUGUCUAAGUCCAUAACUAUAAUUGGUAAGACUUGACCCGACCCGGCAUGGUCCAUUUGGGUUGCAUACCAUCAUGCACUUGGAUAGACUAUAAUGAGAGAAAUAAGACACUUAUGGUUAUUAAUAUAUUAUAAGUUCUAGUAUAUUAAUAAUAAGAAUAAUAAGAUUAUUUAAUUAGUUUUGAUCAAGAAUUAAUCUAGGAUUAAUUAAGUGAUCAAAAGAAGACUAAUUAAAUAUAUGGGUUAAUUGUGUAAAUCAUCCAUACUUGUAUAGUGGGCUAAUGCUCCAUGGAUAAUCAAGUUGGGCUAAAACCCAUAGGAUGGUCCAUGGAUGCUCCAUGGUGUAUUUGAACCCAUGGAUCCAAGGAAAUGGAAAGUCAUGACAAUCAGGGUUUACCCUAAUUGUAACACUAUAUAAAGAUCUUAUUCUUGACCAAAAUCGGCCACUAGAGAGAGUAAGAAAGGGCUAGCCGAUUUUCAUGAAGUGUAGAAUUCUCUCAAGUUAUUCCAAGUGUAUUAGGUGUUGUGUGAACCAUUUGAGGUGUUACACUUGGGGCACUAGGCACUCAAGCUUCAUAAAGACAUUCUACAUCAAAAAGUUAUGUAUUCUAUUUUGUUAUAUCCAUUGUUUUGUAUGCUAGAUUCGGAUAAUACCUUGGAUGUUCAUAUUUGCAUGUAAAAUAGAGAAAACAUAGAUCCAAGAUAUUUAGGGUUGCAUGUACACUUAGGAGUGUUAGAAUGUUCAAAACCCAACACCAAUGCCCUAAGGCAGUGGAGUAUGAUGAAAAUAUCUUUACGAACAUUGCAAUAAUUCCUGACACAAUGCUUCACAAAGUUCAUUCUUCUCAUAAAGUGCUUCUCAGACACAUGAACACUAUCAAUCCAGAUGUUCAAACUGGAGUUUUGUUGAAUGUUGAAGGUGAGUCUUCCAAUAAAACAAAGAAGUCGAAGAAUGUGGAACAAAGAAAGACUGAGUUACCUAAGUCUUUAGUAGGGGAAGAUGUUCAGACGGUGGUUGGAUCUGACAACACUGCGAAGGAGAUUAUUCCUUCAAAAUCAGGAUUUUUAAAGAAGCUUCGCAAAUUGUCUCACAAGCAGACUUCACCUGAUGUUUCUCCAACCAUUCGCAAAACACAAGUGAAUAGUAAGGGAAUUUUUAUCAGAGAAAUUCCUACACCUACUUCUCUAAUGUGCAAGAAAAGGCGAGCCCAUGAUGUUGCGAAGCACAUUACUAGGAAAUUGUAUAAGAAGAGGAAGCUUGUUGUUAGAGAUGGCUCUUCAGAAGAUGAAGUUGUUCCUAAAACUCCGAUUGUUUCGACUUCAACGAUGGUAACUACUUCCCUUAUUUCUUCAAAAAACACUUCGCAUGUUUCUACUACAACUACAUUUCAACUCAAAGUAGUCUCUACUGAAUCAUUUAAUGAGGAGAUACCUACUUCUGAUUUGGUUGUCAGCGUAUCUGAUACGGGGGAACCUAUCAAGAGUGUUGACACAUCAUUAUCCAUUAUUUUGUCCACUUCGUUACCUAUCUCAUCUAAAAGCAUAAAUACUUUGUUACCACCAUUUCCCAUUCCAACCUCAUGUGUUACAACUUCACCCAUAUUUGAUCAUGUUCUGAAACAUCCUUUCACGACUCUAUUCCCAUCUCAAUCCCCUGAGGAUCCUCAACCAAUAACUUCUCUAGCUCACUCUGAUGAUGAAACUAAAGGAGGUGGUUUCAGAGGAACUUUUGAAGAUCCUCACUUUGAUUAAGAGGAGGAGGAGAUACCUGACCACAUGCUUAUGUCGGGUAAACAAUUCAAAAUUUUGAAUCACAAGUUAAAUACCAUUCUCCAGUCACAAGCUGACUCUGGUGCGAAGCAUUCGCUUUCUGGUAUAGAGGUUGAUGCGAUGAUAAAAGCAGCUGAAAGAAGACUGCUUGAGAAGAUCGAUGGUAAUGAUAAAAACAAUGAGCUUCGGCUUAAAUCUCAAGGGAAAAACUUUGAUGGUGCCUUACAAGAACUGAAACAUGUUACAAAAUAACAUCAUGUUCUUUUUGUCCAAAAUGUCAAGAAAGUACGGGAGGACGUGAACUUGAAAGUCGAAGAAUUGAAGCAAGAAAUUGCAAAAGAGCUUCAACAGAUUACUUCGCAAAAUUUGAUAAUACAACAAUGUGUUGACAUUGUGGCUGAUGCACUCACAACGAUUGUUAAAGACUAUCAAUCAACUGUGCCAACUAUCGAAGCCAAGAGCAAAGAUGACAAGGAGUGGUUCGCUAAGCUCAUUGAGUUGUUAGUUGAACUAAAAGUCAUUGUGUCGAAGCCUACUUCUCAGAAAAUUUUAACUCCUGAAUUUUUAACGUUGAAAGUGAUUUGUUGGAACAGGCUAUUCAGAAGGUUUUAACUCCCAUAACAAAAUUUACUUCGCUUUUGCCGAAGAAUGCCCCACCUGCUUACACAGGGGUGCAAGGGGGAGAAGUAAAAGGAAGUAAAGGGUAGGAUGUGAAAGUUGUUGGGAGAGUAUAUUCGACUCAACUAAAAACGACAUUACCUGUGAAUACCAGCUCAAUUCCUUCAACAGUUGUAACAUCAAAACCAAUUACAAAAGUAAUUCCUAAGGGAAUUAAAAUUGGUUCGACAGAUAAAGGAAGCUCUAGUGCAAAGUAUGAUACUCCAAAUGUUGGGAAAGGAAAAGGUCUUGCUUAUGAAAAGUCGAAGGAGGAGAAGAAAGAUGAAAUCGAUGUUGAGAUAGAAAAACAGAGGCAUAUUUAAAGCAUAAUGAGACUAAGAGAAAAUGACCCACCAACAAUGAACAAAGGAGAUCCAGCGAAGUUAUACUCGUUCGAAUCAAUUGAAUCCAGAGUGUUGGGGAAUCACAUGUAUGCAUUUGAGAAAAAGCCAAGGAAAAGCUAUGCCACUUCGAACUCAGACAUGUGUCAACUAGAAUUCCCAAUUAACGACAUGAUGUUUAUCACAGCACAGUACAAAGUCAAUGAAAGAUUCAAAGAUCCUGAUGGGUACACUUACUUGAAAAUUCAGUUUCUGCUAGGGAAAAAUCAAGAUGAAGUUUGGUCCUUGAUAAAGAUAAAAAGAGUGACAGCUAUCAAGAAAGAUGUUAUGUUCGAGAAUCUGCUUCAGAACUUUCGUUACUUUGUAGUUCGAGCAGACAACAAACCAUUUGAUUUCUCAAUUGCCGACUUUCCUUUGAUGAAUCUCAAUGAUCUCAUUCAAGUUGCCCUAAUUUUAAAGGAUAUGGAAGAAAACCAACUAAAGGAAACUGAUUUAGAUGUGUUCAGACUUGGUUUAGGGCAUCUCAAGAUAUUCAUAGAUAAUUACUAUGAUUUCCUAGCCUUAACUGAUGAAGAGCUUGCUUCAGGUGUUGGAAGAAAGGUUAAUGUUUCCAUGGAACCUACAAAGCCACAACAAGAGUUGAUGAAAUAUGCUGAUGGUGAAAUUUGUCUUAAACCAUUUGGCAUGGUGUUCGCAAGGAAAGACACAAGGGGAAAGGCAAAGAGAUUCGUGUUUCAAGUUCCUGAUAUUGAAAGAUAUACAACUUCGCAAUAUACGAACUUUAUUGUUCGUAUGAAUAACUGCACCAAGAACAAUGAUGGAGACAAGAAGGAGUUGAAGAAGAUAAUCACUUGGUACUCAGAAAUACGAAGGACAAUGCACUAUGUUGCUCAAGUUCUCACUAAUUGAGUGACUUCGACUGUUUACAAAUGGGGAGAAUGUUGAGUCAUUUUGUUGUAAAAGUCGAAGCUUUGUCUGUUCUAUUUCGCAUGUUUAUUUACUAAGUCAUUUUGUAUCGAAGCAUAAUGUCUAGACUUAGUACUUUUUUGUUCACUCAUGUUUCCUAUAAAUAGGGGCUGAGGAUAGAAGUAGAGACACGAGUCUUUCUGCUUAUNACACACAUACACACACACACACACAUAUAUAUAUAUAUAUAUAUAUAUAUAUAUAUAUAUAUAUAUUAAAACUGCAUAAUCUCAAUUUUUUGAAUGACCUCUACCCGUGGGUUACUCAUGAAUGAAAUUAAAUAUAAUAUAUGGUUUAAUGUUAUUUAUAGUUGUUGUUAUUGUUAAUUAAUUUUUUAAAAUUUAUUUACUUAACGUUUUAAUUUCUAUCAUUGUAAUUAUUUAAAACAUCAGACAAUUUUUUAUUUUAUUUUAAUAGUAACAAUAUAAUCAUUUAUAUAGAGUUAUUUUUAACUAUUGUUAUUGUAAGUUAUUUUAAGCUACUUAUUUGGAAACUUUUAACGAUUAUAAAAAUGUCUUUAGGAAAUAUUUUAGUUAAAUUGAUAUUACAGUUUAAUUUUUGUAUUUAACACUAUAAUUUAUAACUUUUAACUAUUCACAAAAUAUUCUUUAAGUUUUUUAAGUGCAACUGAAAUUUAUAUUGAAGCUGACCCUGUAAUGUUAUAUCUAAAUUAUCAAUUUAUGUAUUUUGUCUAAACUGUUCAAAAAUUGUAGUUUUAACCUGAAAAUUGUUACAUACAAAAACAUAUUAAAUCCAAUAAAUUAAGUAUAACAUGUUAAAAGUUAAAGGCAUAACUUUAUAAGUAGAGGUAAAAAUAUUAUUUUAAUAUUGAAAUUUAGUUUAUUUAUGAUUACACUUUAGGUUUGAUACUUAUUCAACCUUAUUAACCAACUUAUAAUCAUUAUUAGAAAGACACUAUAAUUUAUCACUUUUAACUAUUUACAAAAUAUUCUUUAGGUUGUUUAAGUUGAAAAAUAUAUUCUUUUAAUAUUGAAAUUUAGUUUAUAUAUGGUUACACUUUGAGUUUUAUAUUUAUUUAAUCUUAUUAACCAACUUAUAAUCAUUAUUAGAAAGAAAUUGAAAAGUCAUGGGAGUUUCAAAUAAAUGUGAUGAAAGGAAAAGUGCUUCCUUUAUAAGUAUACUAGGCGAAUGCUCGUGCGUUGCGCAAAAACACCUAUAUAAUUGAAGUCUUUACAAAUAUAUGUUUUUUUUUAAAUAUUACAAUAACGUUGUUGUUAAAUUUGAUAUAAUAAUUCGUAUACUAAAUUGAUAUAAUAUAUUAAUUAUUUUGAAUUAUAUGAUAAUAUAUACAUCUAUUAUAGCUACAUAAUCUCAAUCGUUUAAAUGACUUCUACUUGUGAGUUACACAUGAAUAAAAUUAAAUAUGAUAUAUGGUUUAAUGUUAUUUAUAGUUGUUGUUAUUGUUAAUUAAUUUUUUAAAAUGGAUUGGCUUAAUGUUCUAAUUUCUAUCAUUAUAAUUAUUUAAAACAUCAAACAUUGUUUUUUUAUUUUAAAAACAACAAUAUAAUCAUUUAUAUAGAGUUAUUUUUUACUACUGUUAUUGUAAAUUAUUUUAAGCUAUUUAUUUGAAAAUUUUUAACGAUUAUAAAAAUAUUUUUAAGAAAUAUUUUAGUUAAAUUGAGAUUACAAUUUAGUUUUUCAUUUAUCAAUACAAUUUAUCAUUUUUAACUAUUUACAAAAUAUUCUUUGGUUUUUAAGUGGAACUAAAAUUUAUAUUUAAGUUGACACUGUAAUGUUAUACUCCCCCCGUCCCAAAUUGAUAGUCCAUUUUUAUUUUUGAAGUCUUUUUUCUUCAACUUUGACCUUAAAUAUUUUUGUUUGUGUUAUAUAUUACUUGAUCAUACUUAUAACAAUGAAAAAAAACAUUUAAAAUACAAUCCAUUCAUAUAUUUUGCAUCAAAUAUUAUCUAUCAAAAACAAAAAUAUUUAUGGUCAAAGUUGAAUAAAAAAGACUUCAAAAGUCAAAAGUAGACUAUGAAUUUGGGACAGAGGUAGUAUUUAAAUUAACAAUUUAAGUAUUUUGUUCAAAAGUUGUAGCUUUAAACUGAUAAUGGUUUACAUACAGCAACAUUUUAAAUCUAAUAAAUUAAAUAUAAUAUGUUAAAAGUUAAAAGACAUUUUUUUAUAAGUAAAAGUAAAUAUAUUAUUUUAAAAUUGAAAUUUAGUUUAUUUACGAUUACACUUUAGGUUUGAUAUUUAUUUAACUUUAUUAACCAACUUAUAAUUAUUAUUAGAGAUACUACAACUUAUCACUUAUAACUAUUUACAAGAUAUUUAUUAGGUUGUUUAACUUAAACUAAAAUUUAUAUUUAAGUUGACUCUUUAAUAUUGUAUUUAAAUUAAUAAUUUAAGUAUUUUAUACAAAUUAUUCCAAAAUAGUAUCUUUAAAAUGAUACUCGUUUACAUCCAAUACUAUAUUAAAACUAAUAAAUUAAGUAUAAUAUGUUACAAGUUAAAAAAAACAUAAUUUUAUAAAUAGAAGUAAAGACAUAUUUUAAUAUUAAAAUUUAGUUUAUAUAUGAUUAAUAUUGUAUUUAAAUUAAUAAUUUAAGUAUUUUAUACAAAUUAUUCCAAAAUAGUAUCUUUAAAAUGAUACUCGUUUACAUCCAAUACUAUAUUAAAACUAAUAAAUUAAGUAUAAUAUGUUACAAGUUAAAAAAAACAUAAUUUUAUAAAUAGAAGUAAAGACAUAUUUUAAUAUUAAAAUUUAGUUUAUAUAUGAUUAAACUUUAGGCUUGAUAUUUAUUUAACCUUAUUAACCAACUUAUAAUUAUUAUUAGAAAGAAAUUGAAAAGUCAUAGGAGUUUCAAAUNUCUAGAUAUUUAAAAAAAAAAUAAUACAAUUAAAACAAUAAAAUUAAAAAUAAUUUAUAAUUAGAAAUACAUGUUAUUCUAUUCCCUUGGGAAUAAAAAUUUCCAUGAAAAUUAGUCCGGGAUGAAAGAAUCAGAUUCUAUAAUUCUAUAAGUAAUGUUUGAUUUCAUUAUCUAGGACAAUCAAACAUGUUUUUUUCAUUUUAUUGUAAUAAUUUAACCGAUCACAUCUUCAACACUGCAUCUUCGAUACUACAUACCAAACACUACAUAGAAUUAAUUGGAUCGAUUGAAUGUAUAAUCACAAUAUCUCAUUCUUCUUUGUAAAUGGUUUUUUGUAGUAUAAUCUUGAUAAUUUAUUAAUAAAAUUUUAACGUUUCAAAAAAAAAAACCUAUUUCCCCAAGUCGUAGGCUAAAAUCAAUUUUAUUAAUUCAAAUUAAAUCAUCUACAUAAGUGAAACCCCUCUAAUAUAGCUUACUUCUUCGGUUUGAAAAUGUGAUUAACACAUCUAAUCUAAUAAAUGAAGUUUUUUUUUGCCACGUUAUACAUUCUUAUUUAAUUUUUCAAAUGUCAUUUUUAAGAUUAUUUUGAAUUAACUUCUUUUCUACAUCUCAUUUUAUGAGAUUUUCUAUUUUAAUAAAUUCCACAUAAUAUUUUAUGAACUUACCUUCUUAUUUCAAAAUUUCUAAAUUAAAGCCCGUUAGUUUAUUUUAUUUAUUUAUUCAAAUUUAAAAGAUAAAAAUAUCAAUUUUAAUAAUUUAUUAUUUUUUUUAUUUUCUUAUAAAUCCAAAAUUUUUAAAUAUUUAGAUCUUUAUAUAUAAUUUUUUUUAGUUAACCCAUUUAAUACAUGAGUUUUACACAUAAUAAAAUAUAAUAUUUUUAAAACAAAAAGAAUGUUUUUCAAACACCAAAUUAUGAUUAAUACUAUUUUGUAAUGUUUUUGUAACAUGUUUUUAGAUUUUUAAUAAAAUCAAUCCAAAACAACAACAAAUGUUAUCUAUAUAUUUUUCAUCUUGUUACUAUUAAGCUCAACGGCAAGCAUAUACUAUUUUAGUUUUUUUGCACGAAAAAGAAAAAGUGGAUCUAAUUGCUUCCUUUUGCAAAAAGAGGGAUUAAAGGAUUUAAAUUAUCGUCAACUCCGGAACAAAGAGAUAUUGGAGAUGUCGCAUCAUAUAUAGAAUAUAUUUGGAAUCCACUAAAGAACAACAGUUAAAAUCUUUAAUUUGUUUAAUAGAAUAAUAUAAAAUAUUACUUUAAAAAUGUUAUUGCACUCUAAGAUUGCUAAAAGAUUUAUAUAUUUUCUCAAAAACCGUACUUAUUAAAAUAAAAUUAGAAGAUCUGAUUUAUAUAGUUUAUUUUUCUCAUAUUUUCUCAAAGUCGUAUUUAUGAAAAUAAAAUUGUCAUGGGCUGAUAGGCAAAUAAUUGUACUUUUUGUGAUCAAAGAACAAUAUUUAUGUGGAACCCGAAUAAAAGCAUCUAUAAUAUAAAUUUUUAAAAAACUUUUUCAUUCCAAAAUAAUCAUAAAAAUUGAAUAAUUAUUGGAAAAGAUUUUUUUAAAGACUUUGUUAGUUAACAAGAUCUUUGCUUUCAACCUUUUUAAUGACUUGGUGGAUCAUGCAACUUUUCAACUAAUUAUAAAUAAAUAAAUUUUACAAAAAUAAAAAAAUAAACAAUUUGCAAAAGCUUUCAUAUUAUGGAAAUCAAAUAAAAUUCUUUUUCAUUUUAAGUUUUUUAAUAGAAAAAAAAAUCGUGGAUGUUCGAAUUAGAAGUGAGGCACAUUAAUUGAACUUACCAAAUGGACAUGAAACGAAUCUGAAGCAUUUUUGAAUAAACAAAUUUUUUUGCAACAUUUCUAAAAAUGAUACAAGAUUUUAUCUUUUUCUUCAACCCUAUGGUCUCCGGAAUCUACUUUGAUUACAACCUGAUUGGAAUCAUCCUCAAAUUUCUUUUUUUUUUUCGGUUCUUAGUAAUUUUUAUUUAGUAUAACCAUAUUGACAUACGAUACACCGCUAGAGUUAAGAUUAGUACAUCAUGGGUAGUUGGUUUCUUUUUACCACAUCCACCUUAAUAACAACGCCAAUCUCUUGCAUAUCAAACCAAGAAAACAUUGUAAAAACCUUAAGUUGUUGAUCGAAGGAGAACAUUGAUUGUGCAUCAAAUUUUGAUCAUUCUCCACCCUAACAAAACAAAUAAAUAUGAAACUGUUGCCCAUUGUUUAUUCCUUUAUCGCAAUUAAGGCAUCAAUAACCUUAUCACACUUUGCACAUUCAUCCCAUAAUAGAGUUACCCGUUGAUGAUGGAAAGUUCAUGAUAUAUAUCAUUUUUGAAACUAUAUUACAAUCAUUUACAUGCAUAUUUGAAAUCUCAUACGACGAUUUAUGACUCAAUCUAUCAUAAACAUUUCUAGAUAUUUGAUAGAAUCUUUUGUGCCAAUCUACACUAGUCAAUGCUUCCCCAUAAAUCAUGAUCACAAUUUCGUUGACACGUCUCAAUCUUCCAAAAAAACCCAAUCCAAUCCCUUAACACAACAAAAGAAACCAUCUAGAAUAAUGAAAAUCACCUAAUCUAAACACCCUAUGCUCAUCCCCGAUAACAAGAAAUCAAAUCUAAUGUAGAAUCUCCUUCCCCUCCCGCAUGCACGACGGUUGCCAAAGAUUAUCAACGGUUAAUUGUCAUGAUCGCCAAAUGGAAUCAUAUAUUUUAUCAUAUUUGUGAUAGUUUUUAAGGUGGAGUAUGGAUGGUGUAUAAAUCUAAAGUAUUAUAUAUAUGUAAAACUUAGAGGAAAAAUUGAAUGAAAUGUCAUUUUUUGUAUUUUAACCAUUUUGUGAAACAAAAUAUUUUAUUAAAGCAAUUCGAUUUUAACAAUUAUUUUUAUUAUUAUUGUUUUAACUUGUUAUAAAAUGUUAAAAUGGAUGACAUUAUUAUAUAUAAUAAAAUACAGCUCCCUUGUGAAUAAUGUAGUUUUGUAUUUCCAUAAUUUGAUCGUAAAACCUUCUUAUUUUACACUUUGCCUACUUUUCUAUUUUAUAAUUUGGCCACAAAAGUCUAUUACGUUGACAGAUUUAGUCUCUAAAGUUUCAUACAUUGGCAAUUUCUUCCUCUUAAUUUGUAGAAUGGCAGUUUUCAUCCACUUACUUUGUAGAAUGUCACUUUACACCCCUUUACUUUGAAAAAUAUCACUUUUACCCCCUCAAACUUAAACGAAAAUUACAUUUGAAGCUUUGGUCUCUAGACUUUCGUAUGCUAGCGACUUUGGUCCCCCCUAUGAAUAGUAUAUUUUUGUGUUUUCACAAUUUGGCCACAAAAGUUGUUUAUUUCACACUUUGCCUACAAAUCUAGUUUUUUAUUUCAUACUUUGGCAAUCCCCCACCCUUAUUUUGUAGAAUGACACUUUCCACCCUUACUUUGUAAAACGACACUUUCCAACCCCCUUUACUUUGUAAAAAUAUCACUUUUACUCCCUCAAACUUGAACAACAAUUUCCACACCUUCAACUUUUGUAUAUUGCUAUGUUUGAAGGUUUGGUCCCUAUACUUUCAUAUAUUAGCGAUUUUGGUCCCCUAAAAAGCAACCCAUUUUGAAUAGUAUAGUUUUGUGUUUUCACAAUUUUGCCACAAAAGUUUUUUAAUUCACACAUUGCCUAUAAAUCCAUUUUUUCUUUCAUAGUUUGGCCAUAAUAGUCUCUUAUAUUGGAAAAUUUUGAUCCCUAUGCUUUCCUACAAUUGUAUUUUCUCCCCCUUGUAGAAUGACACUUUCCACACCUUACUUUGUAAAACGAAACUUUCCAACCCCUUUACUUUGUAACAUUACAUUUUUACACUCUCAAAUUUGAACAACAACUCUUUUUAACUUUUACAUAUUGCCAUGUUUGCAGGUGUGGUUCCUAGAUUUUCAUAUGGCAGCNNNNNNNCUCUCCCCCGGGCCUGAAACCGUGCACAAAAUGAUAAAAUGAUGAAUAAUAGUAAUUUUCUUUUGUGUAACUAGGAUAUAGUAAGCAAAACCUCAUAUGCAUCUCCACGAAGCAGAAAGUAGGUAAUUUCUAGUUUAAAAAAAUCAAAUAUGGAUAAAUUUAAAAUAACCAAAAUGUAUUUUUUUCAUAGUUCAGUAAUAUUAAUGUGUCGCAUUUUAUACAUCAAAAAUUUGUCUUAUAUGCAGUUUAUUAAUCACUAAUAUAAAUUUAUGAUGUGACCUAUUUUACAAUAACUUUAUGGGUUUUUUUAAAGUAAACAUUAAUAAAGUUUGACAAGUGUUUACCUUUUACUAAGGAUGUAUUUGACAAAUGUAGUCAGUAAUUGGUAACUAAAAACUGAUUGUUAAUAUUUGGUAACUAGAAAUGUAGCUUUUAUUUGUUAUAUGAGUAUUUGAAAAAAGUAACUAGUAGCUUUUGAUAUACAUAAAAUUACAUAAAAGGGAAACUAAAAAAAUAUUAUAUUAAUAUUAUAAAGGGAAAUUCUAGAAAUGAAAUAAAAAAUCAGUAGUUUUUUCAAAAAUGCUACUUUAGUGAUCCUGAUUAUGAUGACAUGUGCGAAAUUGAAAAGAUCUAGUGAAUCAUGCAAGCAUCAAGAACACAAAGAGUAAAUAAAAUCAUUUAAGCAUAACUAGAAUAGUAAGAGUACAAGUGGGUUUUGUUAUUUCUCUGACUAAACUAACUCUCAUAAGUGGGUCUUACAAGUUCUUAACCAAAUGGGAACCACUCACUUCCUAUUUAUAGGAAAGGCUAAAUCCAUUACACAUCACAAAAGGGUAAGCCACAUCUCAGAAGAACUUUGCACCCUAACAUUCUCCCCCAUAAAGUUAGGAUUGAAUGUCCUGGCUUCAUUUUCCAAAUGAGUUCGCGCAAUCAAGACCAUCUCUCCCUUGAAGUAAUACCGAUAUUCAAAUCCACAAUGAAUACCAGAGAGUCUUCGAAUACCCAUUUCUACAUUCUCUCCCUUUUUAUAAUCAACAAGUGAUUAUAAAACCCACAAAGGAUGAGAAACGCUCGAGGAAUAAACUUGAUAAAUCUCCCCCUCGAUGUGUGCCAAAAAUGAAACCGCGAAAAUCUUGCACAAAAAACAGUCAAGAAAAGUCAAGAAAAGUUUCCAAAUUUUGUGAAAAUUUUCGACUUAUGGGUGAAAGUUGUAAGAAAUUCGAAAAAUAGGUAUAAAGUGUCAACUUUACAAAUUCUACAGGGACAUGUUGUGCCAAAACAGGUUCCAAUGCGAAAUUUACCCCAAAUGUGAAACUGAGCAUAAAGUGUCAAUUCGUAUGAGCUUUAGGGCUGAUACGAAAAAUCUUUCCGUGUCAUAGAAAAUUACCCCAAUGUCGAAUCUGGGUAAUUUCUUCCAGUUCGUUGAAACUUCAGGGAUGCUAAACGAAGCAUCAGGGACUGAUGCGAAAAAUCUUCCGGUGUCAUAUAAAAUUACCCCAAUGUCGAAACUGGGUAAUUUUUGCCAAGUCGUUGAAAUUUUAGGGAUGCGAACCGAAAAUUUUGCAUUCUUCAUAAAAUUUUAUACCCAUUUCAAAAGUGGCUCUUUUUUGUUACUUUUGAAAGUCCAGGGAUGCGAAAUGAACAUCUUUAUUUUUGUAACGCCCGUUUUUCUAGGUUAAGCAUUAUCAAGAUGUAAUAGUUAAGGUCAACAAUUGUAACCUAGUUUGAAGUAAUGAAGAAAACUUAUUUGAGUAUUAUGUAAUUUAUGUGAUUUACAUGCAAUAUACGUACUUAUAAUCAUGUAAUAAGAUAAUAAUAAAAAUAUGUGUCAAAAAUAAAAUAAUAGAUAGACCCGAUAUCUAUGAAUAAAGUUGAAUUGGUCGCAAAAAAGAUUUUGGGGAUAUAAGGAACACUGAAAUCCGACUUAUAACGAAGAAAUUAUGACCCGUCGAAGUUUCGCGACUAAACCGACACGACGCCGAGAAUCGUAAAAAGUGAAUUUUGGAUAAAAUACUUUUUAGCCUUAGUAACCCAAACGAAAGUCGUAGUAUACAUUAAACCAACAACGUAUAUAAAAAGAACGUCCAGAGCCGGAAUGCGAAUUUUAGAUCGAUCGAUUUCUAGCCGACAAAACCUAAAUGAGAAUUGAAGAUCUCAUUAAUAGAAACUCAACGAUAUAAAGAUGGACGAAAACGGACGUUGGAUGACAAAGUUAUUAGUUUUUAACGGACUUUAUCUAUCUGAGCCUGUUAAAAUAUAACUUUUAAAAUAAAUUCAAAAUUAGCUGACAGAGUCUAAACAAAAGUUGUAGAUUACGUCGCUACCUACACGUGGAUAUAAAGAACGUCCAAAAUAGAGCUUGUAUGCGAAAGUGCCGAAAUUUAUAAGUUAAACAUAGGUUGAUGUGAGGACCGACACGUGGCUAAAUCUCAACCAUCGCUUUCUCUCCACAGCUUCGCUUCGGAUGGUGACACCUAGCCCUCGUACACACAACGUUAGGCCUCGUACGCACAACAUACUGACUACGCCCAACGUACACUGGAGCUACGCCCCACUCACUCGCAUCCUCUAACCUAUUAAUAGAUGCAAAGUUCUUCCAUUUUUCUUCACACCUCUCCCAUUCUUUCUCUUUCAACUACUCCUCUUAACCCCUCCCAUUCCCUAGUACUUCCCAUGUGAUCGAGGCAAGUCCCGGAGCGCCAGAAGGCUCUAAGAAGAAGAGCUUAUUUUUAAGUAUGUUAUGCUUACCCUACUUUAAAUAUAACUUAUUUUUAAGUUCAUUAUCAUUCUUAUGAGCCUAUAAACAAUAUAUGUGCUAAGUAUUAUAAAAUAUAAGGUGUUAUUAUAAUACCUUUAAAUUGUUCAUGGUACGGGGAAUCUGGUUUGAAAGGUCGCAAAGGGUUGUUGGAUUUCAGAAUAGCUUAAAUGCCAAAAUGGGCAUGCCCUCCGGUGUUUCAUGUCUGGCCCCUGUCUGUACAUAGUGGUUGAAAAGUAUUGUUUAACACUUAUAUAAUACAAGAAAUACAAUAUUUCUUAGACUAAUAACUAGUCGCAAUGAAUAUUAGACUAAGAUUGUGUGAUAAUGAUACUAGGUUUCGUCGAAGGAAAAUAAGAUUGUUAGAAGCGAAGCACAGUCCAAGUUUGGAGUCAUCACUUUAACAAGUGAGUGCAUAGUUACCUUCAUCUUACACAUAGAUAUGAAAUAUUUAAUAUAAAUUACGUGCUAUGUGUACAUACUAUCUGUGUUCUUGAUAUCUAUCUUGGAUGAACAAAUUAUACAUGUUUUAUUUGAUUUAAAUUGUAUAUGUAUUUUAUACCAAUAAUUAUGAUGGGUAAAGAUGGGUAGAAGAUAUAGAUGAUGAGAGAUGAAAUGAAAUGAUGAGAGGACUCGAUGUUUAAGAUGAUUUAGUCAUAUUGCCCAGGAAUCCCCUACGCAGUGUUGUCACCCUGAUGAAACAAAUCCUUAGGCUAGGUCCCUUAAUUUAGAUGCUUUAGGGACAGAAAGUGAGGAUAACGGGAAUGGGUAACCAGGUUGAUUGAUUGAUGAAAUUAAUAAACUUAAUUAUUGUGGGUUGAAAAACUUAUGUGAUCACCAGGCUCCUAAGCCUGGCCUACUCAGUUUCUUGCAUUACAGGUAGUGGCAAAAGAUCACAUGAGUGUUGAUCUGAUGAGAGAUCUAUGGAUUAUAGGCCAUUAGAAUAAUAGAUGUUGUAAGGCCUGUACUAUUUCUGUUUAUGGUUAUCUAUAAUAUUAAAAAAGACAUCCGAGUGUUUUUAAUAUAAUGAAAAGCCAUUCCUUCGGGAAUGCUUUGAUAAUUUUUGGGAACAAAUUCUGCAAUGUAUUUCUUCAAAAGUAUACUCUGAUUUUCAAAUAAUGCAUAAACAAAUCGGUCUUUAUGCCCAUGAGAUUGGGGAUGUCUCAGUUGGUAUCAGAGCAUUAGUUUAAGCGACUAGGAAUUUGUAGGAUAUCUAGACUUAAACUGAGAAUGCUUAGCGAUGAUUUUGAGAUGUGUGUGUGCUAUGUUUUAGACUCAAGCACUAGCUUAUUUUAGGAAAGAUGCCUAAAUUGCUUUUAUGUGUUAAAUGAUUUAUGUUAUAGCUAUAAAAAGAUGACUUAUAUGCUAUUAUUUGUUCAGAUUUCUAAACGUUCGACUACGAUAUUAGAACUAGCAUGUAACUUUUCGAAGUGCAAAGAGGAUUUAAAUGUCUAUCAUAAAUAAUGACCUAAAUUCACCCACUUUAGUGUAUGGAUAACAUCGCAAGAACCUGAAGUAGAUUUGGAAAUGCUAAUCAGCGGCCUGUGAUUCAGCGUGCACCGGAAGUAGCAGCUGCACCUGAACUAAUCACGAUGGCAUGAGUAGAAGGAAUGAUUUGGGCUAUGAUGGCCGAAUAAAGAGAAGAGAUGAGACAAAUGUUGCAGGAUAAUAGGGAUGAACCUACUGUACCCAUCGUACAACCUGAACUACCAGAUGAAGGAAACAAUAGUCAGAAUGUAGUCAAGCUGAGCCACAAGUGGGUAAAAGAAACAACACCAAUGGAGGAAAUGAUGGACGAUGGUGCAAGUACAAGGAUUUCAUGGAAUCCAAACCAUCAAAUAUUUCUGGAAGCCCAACACGGGUGGAAGUCAUGUAUUGGAUCUUCGAGAUGGAGGUGAUGUUUGAAAGUUGUGACCGAAACAACAAACAGAAAACUGCCCUCGCGGUUACACUGUUAAAGUCAUGAGUAUUGAGUUGGUGGAAGUUACUAGCUGAUACCAUGCCCAAGGGAGAAGCUAGCAAGAUGUCUUGGGAAGAAUUUUUGGUGCAACUGAAAGUGCAGUACUGCUCUGAGCAAGAUCUGCUAGAGAUCAACAUAGAAUUUCAGAACCUAAAGAAGGGAAGAAUGAGCGUCAACGAUUAUGCUGCAAGUUUUAUGGAGAAGAUGAAGCUUGUUCCUUACCUAGUUCCAACUGAACUCUCCAAGGUCAAUAAUUUGGCUAAUGGAUUGCUAGCAGACUUUGGUCCAAUGGUCAAGCAAGCAAACCACUUUGAAAGUCGCCAUCUGGGCGGCUAAGAAUGUUGAGACCCAAAUAAGGGAGAAGGGUAUGGAGAGAGCUGAGGUAGGAGAGAAAAGGAUGCUUGAUGGAUCUUCAAGGUCCAAUAAGAAAAGAAAAUUCUCAAAGUAUGGUUCUAAGAAGUUUAGAGGAAGAGGAAGUGAACCAAUAUGGUGUGAGAAGUGCAAAAAGAAACACACUUGAAAAUGUACAGAGGAGGUGACUUGUUCCAAGUGUGGAAUGACUAGGCAUUACGCAAAUGAGUGUACAAGCAGUAAGAGGGUAUGUUACGAAUGCAAUGAAGAAGGGCAUAUUGAUAAGGAUUGCCCGAAGAGGAAAGUGGCAACAAGGCCUAAUGUUUCGCUGAGGCCAAAGGCAAGAGCUUUCUAGAUGACCCUGGAAGCAACAAAGGAUGCAACAGAUGUUGCUUCAGAUACCUUUCUAGUAAAUGGAUUUCCCACCAAUGUAUUGUUUGACUCUGGAGAAAAUUACUCCUUUAUAUAGCAAUAAUUUGGUAGAAGACUAGCAUUGCAUGUAGAUAAACUUGAUAAUGCUUUAGUUGUAGAAGUUGUCAGUGGAAAAUUCAUACCUGUUAGCGGUUGAAUUAAAACCAUCAUCAUCGACUUGAACGAGAAUAAAUUCCAUGAGAAGUUGUUGCCGAUUGAGUUGAACAGUUUCGACAUCGUAUUGGGAAUGGAUUGGCUUAGUGCAAACGAUGCUAAGAUACUAUGCAGGAAGAAGAUGGUGAGAGUAAACCCACUUGGAAAAGACUCAUUUAUGGUGUACAGGGACAAACGUAGAGUGAAUUUAUAAUCAUUUCCCUGAUGAAAUCCAUAAAGUUUUUGUCCAAAGGAUGCACAUCAUACUUGGCAUUUGUGAUCGAUGCAAAGAAGGAGAAGAAGGAGAUACAAAUGAUGAGUUUUAGGUAAAACAAAUAAAGUAGAAAACAAUUCCUAAGUUCACAUGCAACCUACUUUGGAUCUAUGUUUUAACUAUUGAACAGAUAACUUUAAAUUGCAAAAUAAGAACCCUAGAGGAGAGAGGCUAUUUUCGAAAAUAACAAACUAGGGUUUAGGAGUUACAUACCUUUCAAUUGUUAUAGCAAACAAUUGACAAUCCUCUUGAUCUUGAUCUUGAUCUUCUUGGAAGCUUAGCACCACAAAUGUAACGCCUCUAAUGGAAUCACACCCAAGAACUAACAAGAAGGAAACUUGAAGGAGAGAGGGUAGAGGGAGUAUGCAAUUGUCGGCCUAAGGUUUCUUCAAAAGAAGGAGUGCCCAAAAUGUGAGCCAGGAGGCUCCUUAUAUAGCUGAGGGAUCUAGGGUUUAGGGAAAAACCCUAAUGCUCCAUGCUUUGGGCCUAAGAAAACCCAAGGGCCUUAUCCAAACCCCAUGGAUGAAAUCAUUAGGGUUUCCCCUAUAUAUUUCGUCCACCCCCUUCCAAGGAGGUUCUGGAGCCUUCCACUCAAUUGUUAGAUAAUUGCAAACUAGUCCUUGCACUUUAUAAUUAAUACAAUUAACCCUAAAACUAAUUCUAAUUAAUUUCUGGCUAACUAUUAAUUAAACAUUAUGAUUUCUAAUCAAUAUAUUAAUCUUUUAACAUAUUAAUAAAUUCAUUUAUAUUAAUUUAUUAAUCUUAUAAUAAAUCAAUAUCUCUCCUUUCAUAAUUUCCUUGUCCGGUUGCUAGGUUUGAGGGCAACCCAAAAGGACUUUGCUGCUAUCAAUUCAAGUACAUACCAAUUAUAGUUAUGAGCUUAGACACCUAAUCCAACAGUCUCCCACUUGGAUAAGUCUGUAACUAUAGUUGCUAGUGUGACUUCUAAAUUUGACCAGCAAAUUGUAGCUUCCAAAAGCUGCUGCCGAACUCUAACCCAGUCAGUUACGUGUCCUAAGAUAAGUGAUGACAUGACCCUUCAUUCUACUAGAUAUCCCUAGACAUAAUACAUGGAAUACAUUCAAUCUCUUUGUCCAGAAUCUAUGUUUCCCGAUUUUUGAUUUGUGAUGAUAUAGGACUUCUAAUCGAACACAUUAAUUUAGUCCUGGCUGGGCCCAGCACAAAAUUCAACACCAAAUCAUCGAGGGGCCCACAGAUAUCGCUUUUCCCGUUAGGGAAAAAGGAACGAAUAAACAUUGACUCAUAUGCUUGUAUCUUUUACUCAUCAAACAAUACAUGAAAAUAAGUUUUAUAACACCAAGUUACUGAUGCGUUUUCAUAUCACCACUGUAUAGCCAACUUGCAAAUUACAACUCAUAUAUCUCUGUUUCAAGAUCAUAUAUAUUAUCGUCUCAGAAUUACUCGUGAUGAAUUCCAUGAAGUAAUACUCUGAGCGUGGGUUUAUCCAAUACUCAAAUCUCACUCUCUGAGUACUGAUGCACAUUGUAGCAAUUCUAUUGCUAUGUUUAUCCUUAGACAAUCUGCAAUCCAAUUCAUGACAGUCUUAAUUCACUACUUACUUCCAAAAGUACGAGUGACUGUGGAGUUUGAACAAUCAUAUUAUCCGGGAAGUAAAACAUGCAAAAUAUGAAACAUAAUAAUAAACAAUUGACAAAAGGUAACUCAUAAAUAAUACUUCCUUAUUUAAUCACAAAAAGUCAAUUACAUUUACUUUGUAACAAGUUUCUGAACUAGACUAAUCUAACCACUAAAACUAAUAUCAUUUUUCAGCCCUAUGCUUCGAGCAUGCUGGAUAUGCUUAGCCCUACUCAGACCCUUUGUGAGGGGGUCUGUUGGGUUAUCUUCAGAUGAUACCCUCUUUACAACAAGAUGGCCUUCUUUUACUCUAUGCCUGAUGAAAUGGUACUUUAUGUCGAUAUGUCUAGUUUUACCAUGGUCUCUGGGUUCCUUAGUUAAGGCAACCGCUCCCUCAUUAUUGCAGAACAGUUCCAUAGGCUCCUGGAUGGUUGGAACAACUCCGAGAUCCCCAAUGAAGUUUCUCAACCAAGCUGCUUCUUUAGACGCUUCACUCGCUGCUAUGUAAUCUGAUUCACAAGUAGAAUCAGCCACCGUAUCUUGCUUGGAACUUUUCCAAGUAACUGCUCCUCCAUUCAGUAGAAAUACCCAGCCAGAUUGAGAACGGAAGUUAUCUCUAUCCGUUUGAAAGCUGACAUCACUGUAACCAUCUACUCUCAAAGUAUCAUUGCCACGAAGUACAAGGACCCAGUCCUUUGUCCUCCACAAAUACUUGAGUAUAUUCUUUACUGCUAUCCAAUGAGCUCUACCCGGUUUCCCUGAUAGCGACUGACCAUGCUCAAAGCAAAUUCCACAUUAGGGUGAGUACAUGUCAUAACGUACAUGUUCGAUCCGACAGCGGAAGCAUAAGGUACACGACUCAUGUCAGCUAUUUCCUCGUCUGUACUAGGGCAUUGAGUCUUACUCAAUUUUGUGUUCCUCUGGAUAGGUAGCUCUCCCUUCUUGGAAUUUUCCAUACUAAACCUCUUUAGUACCUUAUCCAAGUAUGUGCUCUGACUAAGUCCAAUUAGUCUCUUCUUUCUAUCUCUCAAUAUCCUAAUCCCAAGAAUAUAGGCAGCUUCUCCAAGGUCUUUCAUGGCAAAACACUUUCCAAGCCAAGACUUAACUUCGUUCAAGGUUGGAAUGUCGUUACCAAUGAGUAAUAUGUCAUCGACAUAUAACACCAGAAAAGUUACUAUACUCCCACUAGCCUUGACAUACACACAAAACCCAUCUUCACUCCUAGAGAAACCAAACUCUUUGACUUUCUCAUGGAAGCAAAGAUUCCAGCUACGAGAUGCUUGUUUUAAUCCAUAAAUGGAUUUCUCAAGCUUACACACUCUAUUGGGAAACUUUGCAUCAACAAAACCCUCUGGCUGAUUCAUGUAAACAUCCUCAGCCAGCUUCCAUUAAGGAAAGUAGUCUUGACAUCCAUCUUCCAGAUUUCAUAGUCAUGAAAGGCAUCUAUGGCGAGCAAUAUCCUGAUAGAUUUAAUCUUGGCUACUGGCGAGAAUGUUUCAUCAUAGUCAACCCGUGGGGUUUGUGUGAAACCUUUCGCAAUUAGUCUAGCCUUGAAUGUGUGUACAUUCCCAUCUAUGUUUGUCUUCUUCUUGAAGAUCCAUUUGCACCCAACUGGCUUACGACCCAGUGCAUUAUCAACCAAAUUCCAAACUUGGUUGUCAUACAUGGACUUUAUCUCGCUGUCCAUCGCCUCUUUCCAUUUGGAAGCCUUUGAGCCUGCCAUUGCUUCCUUAUAAGAGAACGGUUCAUCUAAAUUCACUAGUGUCCUAUCGCUGAUGAAUGUGUCACCGUCUAAAGUAAUAUGAAAACCUUACAACUUAGGUGGCACACUCACCCUAGUGGAUCUUCGAAGAGGUAAUGAUUUAUCAACUGGUUCAAUAGGAACUGUUUCCUCUGGUUGAGUGCUAGUGUCAUCUAAGGUUCCUUCAUUAGUUGACUCUUGAAUCUCUUCAAGGUCGAUGGUACUCCCACUGUACUCUUUGAAUAUGAGCUCUCUUUUUAGAAAGACUCCUCUUUGAGCUACAAAUACCAUGUUAUCACUAGGUCUGUAGAACAAAUAUCCAAAAGACUGUUUUGGGUAACCAAUGAAAACACAUUUCUCACUUCUUGUUGCUAGCUUGUCGUGAGUCUCUCGUCUUACGAAAGCUUCACAACCCCAGACCUUAAUAUGUGCUAAGGAGGGAACUUUCCCUAUCCACAUUUCAUGAGGUGUUUUGGCAACCUUCUUUGUUAGGACAAGAUUUAGGAUGUGGGCGGCUGUUUCUAAGGCAUAGCCCUAGAAAUGAAUUGGAAGUGGAGCACGAGUCAUCAUGGAACGAACCAUGUCUAACAAGGUUCGAUUACGCCUCUCGGCGACACCAUUUAACUGUGGUGUCCUAGGAGGAGUCAAUUGUGAGACUAUCCCACAUUCCUUUAGAUAGUCGUUGAACUCAACGGUAAGAUACUCUCCGCCUCUAUUGGAUCUAAGUAUCNGGUCAAUGGUACUCCCACUGUCCUCUUUGAAUAUGAGCUCUCUUUCUAGAAAGACUCCUCUUCGAGCUACAAACACCACGUUCUCACUAGGUCUGUAGAACAAAUAUCCAAAAGACUGUUUUGGGUAACCAAUGAAAACACAUUUCUCACUUCUUGCUGCUAGCUUGUCGUGAGUCUCUCGUCUUACGAAAGCUUCACAACCCCAGACUUUAAUAUGUGCUAACGAGGGAACUUUCCCUAUCCACAUUUCGUGAGGUGUUUUGGCAACCUUCUUUGUUAGGACAAGAUUUAGGAUGUGGGCGGCUGUUUCUAAGGCAUAGCCCUAGAAAUGAAUUGGAAGUGGAGCACGAGUCAUCAUGGAACGAACCAUGUCUAACAAGGUUCGAUUACGCCUCUCGGCCACACCAUUUAACUGUGGUGUCCUAGGAGGAGUCAAUUGUGAGACUAUCCCACAUUCCUUUAGAUAGUCGUUGAACUCAAUGCUAAGAUACUCUCCGCCUCUAUCGGAUCUAAGUAUCUUUAUUUUCCUGCCUAAUUGAUUUUCGACCUCAUGUUUAAACUCUUUGAACUUUUCAAAGGUUUCUAACUUAUGUUUGAUUAAAUAUAUAUAACCAUAUCUACUAUAAUCAUCAGUGAAAGUCACAUAAAAUCGAUUAGCAUCUCUUGUGGUUGAUCUGAAGGGCGCACACACAUUUGUGUGUAUGAGAUCCAACAGACCUUCAUCUCUCUCACAAGACCCUGUGAAUGGUGAUUUUGUGAUCUUUCCCAAAAGACAAGAUUCACACAGAUCAUGUGAUUUUAGGUCAAAUGAUUCCAACACUCCAUCCUUUUGUAGUUGGACUAUGCGUUUCUUGUUAAUGUGUCCAAGACGACAAUGCCACAAGCAUGCCUUGUCUACACUAUUAGACAAGUCAAUAUUAAACACACUAUUUCCUAAGCUAUCAACACAAGUCACUGUUUCAUACACACCAUAACAAGGUAAAGCUUCAAACACAAAAACACCAUUCUUAUAAACAGAAAUUGAACCAUUCAAAUCAUUAAAAGAAUAUUUAUAACCUUGUCUGAACAAUGCAUGAAAUGAAAUAAUGUUUCUCAUCAUCUCAGAUGAAUAGGAACAAUUCAAUAAGUCUAAUAUAACAUCAUUACUAAGCAAAAGUUGAUAAACUCCGAUCUUGGUCACUGGUGAAGACUUCUUGUUUCCCAUGAUCAAGUCUAUCCUUCCUCGCUCUAUCUCCUCACUUUCCUUUAGCCCCUACAAAUCAGAGCAGAUGUGAAAACCACAUCCUGUAUCAAGGAACCAUGAACGAGAAGAUAAUGAGUUAUUAUAAGAAUUAGUGUAAAUACCUGGCAAAGAUGUCUUCACUUUUGCAUUUUUGAUAUCUUGCAGAUAUUGUGGGCAGGUUCUCUUCCAAUGCCCUUUUUGAUUGCAAUAAAAGCAAACAACUUCCUUUGGAUCAGAAACACGGGGAAUGGAAGCAUUGGGCUUAGCCUUUGGGCCAUCGCUAGAUGACCCGACUUGGAACUUUGCUUUCCAAUUUACUUAGGAGGACCUUUCCUAUUUUUCCCCUUUCCCUGUCUAAUAGCUAGAACAGGAGCACUUGCAGGAGUGAAGUCUAUACUUUUACCCUUUAUCCCUGCUUCAGCAGUCUGCAACAAGUUGUGCAAUUGGGCCAGUGUCUGCUCAGUGUUGUUCAAAUGGUAAGUUAGGAUAAACUGACCAUAAGAAUCAGGCAAUGAGUUCAAGACCAUGUCGAUGGCCAAUUCCUCAUCAAAAUGAAUGUUGAGCUUGACCAAACGCUUUAUGUAGCGUUGCAUUCUUUGCACAUGAGAUACAACCGACUCCCCCUCUUUCAUCUUACAAGGCAUGAGUGAAUUGUCUACUUCAAACUUUUCUUGACGAGCUCGCUUAUGGUACUUUUCCAUAAGGUCCUUGUUCAUAUCAAAAGGCCAGUAGUCCUCAUAGUACCUCUGCAAUUCUGGGGACAUGGUUGCGACCAUGAUGCAUGCCACCUUGGUAGCAUCAUCAUAGUGCUUCUUGUAGGCAACGCACACUUCGGGAGUUGCUUUAGAAUCAUCAAGUUCUUUGAGCUCCUUUUCAAGGACAUAUUCUUUGUCCUCGAAUCGAAGCUCCAUCUUCAUGUUACGCAUCCAAUCGUUAUAGUUAGAGCCAUCCAUAACGACUUUGGAGAAAAUGUUGAGUAAAGAGAAGUUGUGGCUGGAGGAUUAAGCAGAAGUGUUUCCAGGAGUAGACAUCUGAAAAGAAAGAUAGUUUAAGUUAGAUUUCAAGACAACUCAAUAUAAUAACCCAAAGAUAUCAUAUCAAGGUUAGGAUCCAACUAUGAAGAUUUAAAACUUAGAAAUGGGAUGCCGAGAUCCAAGUUUAAAUUUCAUAAAGGUAGGUGAAUCACGAUUCACCAAUUCCACCAUUAGAUGAAAUAAAUGAAGUGAAAUUCCUAAUUAUUUUUGAGAUACAUUGAAACUAUUCAAUGGCAUGUUUUAUUCUCGGAUUGUGCUCUACUAUUUGUGACUGGGAUACCGAGGAUCACAAACUAGAUGUGAAUAACCAUGCAAAUUUGUUUGGUAACCUUAUUGUCUUUAUCAUUAACUAUUGAGGUGCCGGUAAACCACACACGCUCCAUCAAAAUGAUAAUUAUAAGAUACCCAUUACUGCUCUUUGUUAGUGCCUAUUAGUGUGCUAGUGAUCCACACACGCUCCACCAACGACCAAUAAAGCAUAAUGUGCAAUUUCAUGGAUUAGCAUACUUUUCACAUUUUUCCUAAAGUAACUAGAGUUGGGAUUUUUGUAAAAUAAUAUUCUAGUACUUUCUUUAAUAACAUUAUACUUUUAAUGAGAUGUAGUUUUCCUAUCCAAUCCGUUCUGCUAAUGACCCUCCACUAAUCAAGGAAGCGGUGGGUGAGAGUGGACACCCAUUCAACUACCAUUUUAUAGGCAAUUUCCUUAUAACCCCCUUAUAGAUUAGCUUCGUGAAUGAGGCAUACUAGCGAUUUGACUGACCAUAGUCUUAUACAUAUAGAAUAUUUAACUUUUAAUUAUAAUAUAUAUAAGGUGGGUUGUAAACUUUUAAAACUUUAGGGUUUAUUUAUAAAUUUCGAAAAUUAAGAUAUUAAUUUCAAAUUUAAAAAUAAACCAAAUAACUAGAUUUAAUUUUUAUGUAUUAAUUAACUUUUAAUUAAUUAAUUAAAUCUUGUAAGGAUUAUCUAAUUAAAUUAAACAAUUACUUUAAUCCUAAUCCAUAUCCCUUUUAGAUUUCAAAAAUAUGGGGAUAGGAUAAUUUCCUUAUUUUUCUCAAUUAUCCAAUAAGGCAACUAUUAUCCAAAACAAAGAAACCCUAAUUCUUCUAGCAUAUUUCGAAAAUCAAGGGAGGAGGCUAGGGUUUCCAAAACCCUAACCCUAAUUUCGAUUAGGGUUCAUGGAGGCUAGGGUUUUACGAAAACCCUUUGAACCAAAAACCCUAGAAAUAAAAAAUUUGGUCAUUUAGGAUUUAAUGGCUAUAAACCCUAAUUUGCAAUUCAACUAUUAUAGCAAUUAAAUUUAAAACAACAAUGGCUCUGAUACCGCUGAUGAGCUUUAGGUAAAACAAAUAAACUAGAAAACAAUUCCUAAGUUCACAUGCAACCUACUUUAGAUCUAUGUUUUAACUAUUGAACAUAUAACUUUGAAUUGCAAAAUAAGAACCCUAGAGGAGAGAGGCUAUUUCCGAAAAUAACAAACUAGGGUUUAGGAGUUACAUACCUUUCAAUUGUUAUAGCAAACAAUUGACAAUCCUUUUGAUCUUGAUCUUGAUCUUCUUGGAAGCUUAGCACCACAAAUGUAAUGCCUCUAAUGGAAUCACACCCAAGAACUAGCAAGAAGGAAACUUGAAGGAGAGAGGGUAGAGGGAGUAUGAAAUUUUUGGCCUAGGGUUUCUUCAAAAGAAGGGGUGCCCAAAAUGUGAGCCAGGAGGCUCCUUAUAUAGCUGAUGGAUCUAGGGUUUAGUGAAAAACCCUAAUGCUCCUUGCUUAGGGCAUAAGCAAACCUAAGGGCCUUAUCCAAGCCCCCAUGGACGAAAUCAUUAGGGUUUCCCCUAUAGAUUUCGUCCACCCCCUUCCAAGGAGGUUCUAGAGCCUUCCACUCAACUAUUAGAUAAUUGCAAACUAGUCCCUGCACUUUAUAAUUAAUACAGUUAACCCCAAAACUAAUUCUAAUUAAUUUCUGGCUAAAUAUUAAUUAAACAUUAUGAUUUCUAAUCAAUAUAUUAAUAUUUUAACAUAUUAUAUUAAUUUCUUAAUCUUAUAAUAAUUCAAUAUCUCUCCUUUCAUAAUUUCCUUGUCUGGUUGCUAGGUUUGAGGGCAACCCAAAAGGACUGUGCUGCUAUCAAUUCAAGUACAUACCAAUUAUAGUUAUGGGCUUAGACACCUAAUCCAAAAAUAAAGAAUACCAGUGGUGUGUGACUAUCUGGAACUCUUUCCUGAAGAACUUCCUAGACUUCCCCCUAAUAGACAAGUGAAGUUUCAUAUAGACUUAUUGCCAUGAUCGACACCAAUAGCGAAAGCACCCUACCAAUUAGAACCUAUAGAGAUGAAAGAGAUUAUGAUGCAACUUCAGGAGUUUUUGGAAAACAAUUUCAUUAGACCUAGUUCAUCACCCUAAGGAGCUUUGGUGUUAUUAGGAAACAAGAAUGAUGGAAGAAUGAGGAUGUGCAUAGACAAUAGAGAGCUGAACAAGGCAACGGUGAAGAACAAGUGUCCAUUUCCAAGGAUUGUAGACAUGUUCGAUCAGCUGCAAGGUCCGAUCUAUUUCUCAAAGAUUGAUCUUAGGUCAGGACAUCAUCAGCUGAAGGUGAGAGAGCAAGAUAUUGAGAAGACCACAUUCUGAACGAGAUACGGAUACUAUGAGUUCUUGGUUAUGUCAUUUGGACUAACCAAUUCUCCAGCAGCAUUUAUGGAUUUGAUGAACAGGGUUUGUAAACCAUUCCUCGAUAAAUAUGUAAUAGUGUUCAUAGAUGACAUUCUGAUUUAAUCAAAGAGACAGCAGGAGCAUGGCAAGCACCUGCGACAAGUAUGAGAAGUUCUAAAUAAGAAGAAGUUGUAUGCAAAGUUCUCCAAAUGUGAUUUCUGGAUUCGAUAAGUUCAAUUCUUGGGUCAUGUGGUUAAACAAGAAGGAAUACUGGUUGACCUAACAAAGAUUGAAGCUAUGAUGAAAUGGGAACGACCAAAACUUCCCACUGAGAUUCGAAGCUUUUUGGGAUUAGCUAGAUAUUAUCAAAGAUUUAUCCAAGGCUUUUCUUCGAUAUCUGCUCCAUUGACAGCUUUAACCCAUAAAGGAGCUACAUAUACAUGGAUUGAGAAACAUGAAGAAGCAUUCGGGAAAUUACAGAAAAAGUAGUGUGAAACACUGAUUCUUUCUUAAGCCGACGAAGUUGAAGACUUUGUAGUCUAUAGCGAUGCAUCUGCAGUUGGGUUAGCUUGUGUUUUGAGACAAAGAGAUAAAGUGAUAGCAUAUGAAUCUCGACAACUGGAAGACUACAAGAAAAACUACCCCACUCAUGAUCUAGAGUUGGCAGUGGUAGUAUUCACAUUAAAGAUAUGGAUGCAUUAUCUUUAUAGCAGAAAGUGCAAACUCUUCACUAAUCAUAAAAGUCUCCAAUAUCUCUUCGAUUAAAAGGAACUGAAUAUGAGACAACAAUUUUGGCUAGAGUUGCUCAAGGAUUACAACUAUGAGAUACUUUACCACCUUGGUAAAGCAAAUGUCAUAGUCGAUGCUCUAAGUCGAAAAGUAAACCGGGAAAGAAAAAGGCCAAGAACAUUAAAAAUAUAAGUUGUCUCAAUGAUUGUGGAAAGCAUUAACAAAGCUCAGGAAGAAGCUUUGGAGAAAAACAACCGAAAGGAAGAAUGUUUAGGAAAAACGUUGGUAUUCGGUACAAAUAGUCAAGGACUGAAGGUAUUACAAAAUAGAAUUUGGGUACCAAAGAUGGGAGGAAUAAGGGAACUUCUGAUGGAAGAAGCUCACAAGACCAUGUACUUGAUUCAUACCGGACGCACCAAGUGUUGGAUUAGUGUCUAAGCCCGUAACCAUAUUUGGUAAGUACUUGACCCGGUUGUGCAUGGUCAUUUUGGGUUGCCUUCGCCAAAGCAGCUUGACUGGAGAAAUAAAUAGAGAAAAAGGUUAUUAUGAUUUAAUAAUAUAUUAUAAGAAUAAUAUAUUAAAGGAGAAAUCAUAUUUGUUUAAUUAACAUUGUUCAAUAAUUAAUCAAGAAUUAAUUUUGUGAUCAAGUGUAAUUAAUUAAACUAGAGGGGCCGAAUUGUAAUUAUAUGAUAGUUGCAAAGUAGGGCAAUGGUUACCCUAGAUAUAGGUUGGACGAAUUCAAGGGAUAAGGUACCUUUAAAUCGUCCAAUGAUAGGGCUUUCAAGGCUUAUCUCUUAAUUACUUGGUGGGCAAGCAACUAGAUAAGGAUAAGGACUAAAACCCGAAUCUCUACCCUAUAUAAAGACCCCUAAGGCUAUAGAAAUCGUACACUUGAUCCCUAGGGUUCCUAGAGCCGAUUUCUACCUCCUCUCUUCUCUCUAUAUUUCCUCUCCAUUUGCUUUGUGGUGUUUGUGAGCCAUUAGAGGUACUACAUUUGUGGUACUUGCUUUCAAGACUUAGGGUUUGAAGAUUUGAGUUGUUAUUGCAAUAUAACCACAAGAUGUAUGUGAUAUAUCCUACUAUAUGAAUUUCGAAAAUACUAGGAGCAUGCUAGGUUUCUUCAUGUGUACAUAAUGUUGUGUAUCUAAUAGAGAAAACAUAGAUCCAAAUCUAGGGUUGCAUGCACACAUAGGAUUGUUUGUAUAAAACCCAUCAGUGGUAUCAGAGCCUCUGGUUAAUUUGUUUUCAAUUAGUAUUAUACAAUUGUAUGAACUUAACAUAUUAGGGUUUAUAGCCAAUAGACCCUAGGAGGCAAGAUUUUCGAGAUUAUGGUUCCUAAACCUAAUUUACGAAAUAUUGGUAACGUUUUUUUUUUCAAAUCCUUUCCUUAAGUCCCAAGAUUUUGAAAUCUAGGGUUUGCAAACCCUAGGAUUUUCGAGAUUAGCCUCCUCCCCAAGAUAAGAUCCUAAUUUUUAGGGAUUUGGAUAAUCCCAUAUCUUGUAAUUAUCUUUUAAUGGUUAAAUAUAGUAAUUAAAGAUUUUGAAUUAUCCCAUCCUAUAAUUUUCGAAAUUUAGAGGGAUUAAAGGGAUUAUGAUAAGUUAAUUGUUUAAAUGGUAAUUAUCUGUGACAACCCGAUAUUUCGAGACAAUGUAAUGUAAAACCAAUCAAAUUUAGGUCAAAAUAUAACUUUCCUAAAAUCUUAUUUGGGUUAAUUAAAGUAGUAGGAACCGUAUCAAGGUUUUCGUACAUAUAAAGAACCCUAAAAUCCGAGUUAUAAUGAAGAAGUUAUGACCAACCGAAGAUUCUCGGAAAAACCGGCAUCAGCGAUUAAUCGUAAAACGCGAAAUUUCGAUGCAAUAGUUUUUAGCCUUAAGUAUCUAAAUGGAAGUUAUAGACAACCUCAAUCUAUGAUCGUGCAUAAAAAGAACGUCCAAAUCUGACUUCGGAUGUGAAAGUUAUGAAUUUUGAAAGAAAUUCCUUAAUCACGUCAUUUUAAUAAAUAAAUAAUAAAAAUAAUUUCGGAAUUUGCCAACGGAAUCUAAACGAAAGUUGUAGAUCAUGGUCUCACCUUCGCGUGGAUAUAAAGAACGUCAAAAACGGAGUUCGUAUGAGGGAGAUAUGAAUUUUAGAAGUUUAAUUAAAAUAAAUAUGAAUUUAAUUAUAAAUUCCCGGUAUUAUCCGAAGGGGAGUCAUCGGAUAGGACCGAAGUACGCCCUGCGUACCUUCGUACGCCCCGCGUACUGAGAUCGAGGGUCUCGGAUCGUCCACGUCGCACUAUCCGAAGAAUCUAACCCGUCCGACCCGUCCGAAGCUCCGACCCGUCCGACCCGCUGUCCCGUCCGACCCGCCGUCCCAUCCGACCCGCGUACCCAGCAACCCGUCCCAUCCGAACCGAGGCAGUCGAGGCUUCGGUCAUGCAUGACGUACGCGUACGCGCUGCGUACGAGCGUACGCCCCGCGUUCGGAGGCGGUUCAGCCUUCCUAUAAAUAGGAUGCGAGGCUUUCCGAAAAAGUUGCUCAAUUCUCUCAUUUCUCUCUCGAUCUUGCCUCGUUUUCCGUGCCCGUUAUAACCCGAAGCUCUGGUCUUUUUGCUCAAGUCCCGAGGGUCGAUUUUACUCCCGAGAUUCCCGAGAAUCCCGAGGAAAAUCCGUUUCCCGAGACGAAACUCUGCCCGGUUUUCCAUCUCGCUAUCUUCAAACUUUCAUGUGAGUUCAUACCCCUUAAAUAAUGUUUUAAACUACUUUUAAAUGCUUUAUGGGGGGGAUACAAGUAGAAUCAUGCUACUUAUUAUGUCAAUCGCAUGUGAUUAGUAAGUAGGAGUAUAUUACUUAUUACAUCAAUCACAUGUGAUUAAUAUACAACAUUCAAAAGAUUUGGCUACUCAUUAGCCGUUUUACCAAACAGUUUCCUUCAAAUGAUUUUUAUAAACAUUUUAUAUGUUUUAAACUCCUUAUUACACUGUACCUCUUACUCUGUUUAUCAUAUUUCAAACUUAUUUACAACUGUGUUUCAAACAAAUGUUCCUUAUACUUAUAUUGUUUUAUCAAACUUAUGCCUUCAAAUUGUUUUAUAGAUUGACAUCAAGUCGAUCUUUCCUUAAACUAAUAUUUAUGUUUCAAAUGUUUUACCAAACUUAUUUAUGCUUUUAUAUUAUAAAUUGCAUGCCUCUAUAUGUAUAGUUAUAUAAGAAAUGUUUAAAAGACUUAGGAAGGCUAUCCACCCUAUUUCCUUUUCGCGCCUUGAGAUGUGGUCUGGUGGGAUAUUGGAUACUCGUCCGAAGGUCGUUUAAAUAUUAGUUAUAUAUCAUGUGUACAUAUAAAGUCAUAAAAGGUCCUUCCAGUUCAUCCUAUGCCCUUGGGUAGCAAGGGUAUACAUCCACGUCCAUACGUACCACUUAGAUUACUAGUAAGCUACCAUAUGGGUAGUUCAGGAAGAUACUAGAACCAUUACUAGAACGCGAUAUCAUACAACGAGUCAGUUCAUUCAUGAGUCAAUACUUUCUAGAACAUUGCUGUACAAUACAUAUACAUCUAUACUAGGACGAGAACAUAUACAAUUAUACUAGAACGCUUACAUGACAAUACUUGCUAGAUAGAGAGAACACACAUUACAGCUAGCACACGUAGAACAUUUCAGUACACCAUAAGUACAAUUACAUGAUCACACUUACAUGAGUACGCUUUCAUAUACAUAGGAUAGACGUCACUAGGGGCUAUAGCUCAGAACCAGUUUAGGAUCUAACUAUACUGAUAAAACACACUACGAUUGUGAUUGUUAUAUCGAGUAUACAUGAUCGCAGGUAAUGUGAUGCUCACGGCUUGCAUUCAUGCAGGGGUCGUGUGUAGGUCCUAAAAUCCCUCUGAUAGGGGAGCGAAACAGUCUGGGAUCUAGACAUCACAUUAUACCUUAUCCAUCAAAUAAGGCAAGUUGAGUAUCGGUGUAUUGAUAUAUAUAUUUAUAUAUAUCCAAAUACUGUGGUACUUGGUAGUAUUACCCUAGAUUUAAGGUAAUAGGUACGGUUGUAGUUCGACACUACACCAUAGUACCAUUUCUUUCCCAUUACAUUCACUUCGUGAAUUUUUCAUAGGAAGCGCGGUAAUGUAGAUGCUAUCUGUUGAUAAAUAGUAGCCCUUUUAGAGCUACGAUUUAGUACUACGUUAAUUUUUCCAGUACAUAUUUCAGUGAUAACCUCACUUAAACAUAAAUAUACAAUCUAUAUUUUGAGUAAUGAUAGUUAUACUUUGGAAAAAUACAUACUCUUACAAGAGACACACACACACAGAACAGUUAAGUCUUGGUAGAAGACUCCUUUUGUUACUAAUAGGAAUCAUAGGGAUUUCUAGGGAUUUUCAAACAUAUACAGUUGAGCUACAAAUAUUUUCAUACUUAUACUCGUUUUCUUUCAAAGCAAUGUCAAGUCUUAGAAAUUAUAAGUUUUCACAAAUUAAGACACAUUACUACUUAUGAUCUCACCAGCUUUAAAGCUGAUACUACUCUUUCAAAAUUACUUGUAUCCUCAGGUCAUAAUAGACAGGUACCGAUGCAAUGAAAACGGAAGAUGGAGCUUAUUCAAAACUUAUCUUUCAUUUUGAUUUAUGCUCUAGUGUUUAUCAAAAUUUGUCAGAAUACAAUUGUAUAAUAAUUAUUUUAUUAAUGCAAUGGAUGAUGUUGUUGCUUGUUUACUACUUUACAUUGUUGUUGAUAUUAUACAUGACGUCCUCCGCCCCAGAACGUUUCCGCCGUUCUCGGUUUUGGGGUGUGACAUUAUCCUUUAUGGUUUAAUAAUACCUUAUGAUUUAAUAAUUUAAAUUAAUAGUUUAAUUCAAGAUAAUUAUUAAAUCAAAAGUUUUAAUAUUUAAAAUUUUAAUUUAAAAAGUCUUAAAUUUGGAAAAUUUUAAAUUGAGAUUAAAACCCUAGUAUUUUGAAAUGUUUAAAGUACACCCUAUACUCUUAUAUUAUUACAAGAUUAAUAAAUAUAUAUGUAUAACUAAAAUGCUAGUCUUACCGUUAGUAGACUUCAUUCAAGAAGCCGAUCUAUAAGGGGGGUAUAAGGUUAUGGCCUAUAAAAUGGCCAUUUAAUGGGUAUCCACUCUUACCCACCGCUUCCGUGAUUGGUUGAGAGUCCUUAGCCGAACGGGUAGGAUAGGGAAAUCCUCUCUUCAUUAAUAAGUAUAAUGAAUCAAUGUAAAGUAAGUAAACGUUUUUCCAAUUCCCAAUCCUAGUUACUUUAGGAAAAAGUGAAUUGAUGCAAUCCCAUGAAAUUACACUUUGCACCCUUGCUAAGAAGUAAGUGGAGCGUGUGUGGUUAACCGGCACACUAAUUGGUUCUAAGCAAAGGUGGCAAAGGGUGAUUCAUUGUUAGUCAUAGUUCGAUGGAGCGUGUGUGGUUAACCGACACAUCAAAUAGGUGACUAUAACAAUGAGGGCACCAUGUACAUUUGCAUGGUUAUUCACACCCACUUUGUGAUCCUUGGCAUCCCAGUCACAAACGAGAGGGGCUUAUCGAGAUUUAAGCAUGCCAUUGAAAAGUUCAAUGAAUCUCAAAGGAAAUCUAGUAAUUCUCAAUACAUUUAAAACUUAAGCCUUUAUGUUUUUCAUGGUGAAGAAUUAGUGAAUCGUUAUUCACUUACCUCCAAAUUAUUUGCAUAUUCGAUUACGACAUCCCUUUUCUAAUGUGUAAAUAAUGUUGUUGGGUCCUAGCCCUAAUUUUUCAUUUUGGGUGUUUAAUUAGGGAUUUAAUUCUAAUCAAACUUUGUUCCUUUCUAUUUGUAGAUGUCUAACGUGAACAACGCUGCUGCUAGCACAUUCUCGCUAAUAAGCCUAUGUCAAAAGGUGACAUUUGAUGGAUUGAACUUUAUCGAAUGGAUAAGAUACAUUCACACGAUUGAUCGCUAUGAGGACAAAGAGUAUGUCCUCGACGAGAAGCUUGAAAAGAUCAAUCGGAAAUCGCUACUCCCAAAGAAAUGGUCGUCUUUGAGACCCAUGAGCAUGAUGCAACGAAAGUUCAUUGCAUUAUGCUUGCCACAAUGAACCCCGAACUCUAAAAGUCCUAUGAGGACAUGUAUCCGUAUGAAUUGCAUCAAGAUUUGAUGGAGAGAUACCACUAAAGCGCAAGGCAAGAGCGCUAUGAGAUCAUCCCGAAUAUGAUCACCGCCAAGAUGGGAAGUGGAGAGUCUCUAACCGUGCACUUGAAAAAGAUGCAAAGGUAUGUUGAUCGUCUUCGCAAGUUAAAUGUUAACUUUGUGGAUGAUUUGGCAAUUGGCAUCGUUCUUCACUCCUUGCCCUCGUGCUACAACCAAUUUAGGAUGACCUACCACAUGAACAAGGAAGAGUUCACCCUAACUAAACUCCAAGGGCUCCUAAGGAUUGCUGAGAGCAACCUCAAGGACAAGUCUGUUGCAUUAACUCCCACUCCACCUGUUGUUCCUGUUUUGGCUAUUGGGCAAGGGAGGGGCAAGAAGACGAAGGCCCUUUCAAAGAGCCACCACAAGGGAAAGUUCCAAGAUAGUUCCUCUUCUAGUGGGAACAAAGUUGGUCCUGCCAAUCCCAACAGGAACCCAAAGGAGGCAGAGUGCCACCACUGCCACAAAAUAGGGCAUUGGAAGAGAAGCUGCCCAGAAUAUCUGCAAGCCAUCAAGGAUGGGAAGAUCAAGCCAUCUUUCGCAGGUAUUUACACAAUUAAAUCUAAUGAUUCAUCACAUGCUAUUUGUUGGGUUCUUGAUGCAGGAUGUGGUUAUCACAUAUGUUCUGAUUUGCACGGACUAAGAAGAAAUAGGGACGUGGAGCAUCGAAGAAUAAAUCUAAUCACGGGGAACAGAAGAUCAUCGCUUGUCACCAAGAUUGGAGUGUAUUCUCUAGUGCUUAGUAAUGGAUUAGGUUUAGAUUUAAAUAAUUGUUGCUACUCGCCAGAUAUGGCAGGACACAUCAUUUCAUUUCAUGGUUUGUUUAAACAAGGAUUUAGAUAUUCGUUUAAUAAUGAGAAUGGUUCAAUUUAUGCUUAUCUAAAUGGUGUUUUAUAUUUUGAAGCAUUGCCAUGUAAUGGAAUUUAUGAAACUGUUAUGGUUGUGGAUAACGUAGGAAAUGAUAUAUUGUGUAUGGAUUCUUCCAAUAGUAUGGAUAAAGCAUGAUUAUGGCAUUGUCAUCUUGGACAUGUCAACAAGAAAUGCAUAACCAACUCCAAAAGGAUGGAGUGCUGGAGUCAUUCGACCUUAGGAUGAUGACACGUGCGAGUCUUGUUUACUUGGAAAGAUGACCAAGUCACCCUUCAAUGGCACUUGUGAAAGGGGUGAGGGUUUAUCGGAUCUCAUACACACCGACGUGUGUGGGCCCUUUAGAUCCACCACAAGGGAUGCGAACCGCUUCUACGUGACUUUCAACGAUGAUUAUAGUAGCUAUGGGUAUAUUUAGUUAAUCAAGUACAAGUCAGAAACGUUUGAAAAGUUCAAAGAGUUCAAACAUGAAGUGGAGAAUCAAUUGGGCAGGAAAAUCAAGAUGCUUCGAUCCGAUCGAGGAGGAGAGUACCUGAGUCUUGAAUUCCAUGACUAUCUAAAGGAAUGCAGAAUAAUUUCGCAAUUGAUGCCACCUAGGACACCACAGCUGAAUGGUGUGACAGAGAGGCGUAAUCGAACCUUGUUGGACAUGGUUCGUUCCAUGAUGAGUCGUGCUUCACUACCUAUCUCAUUCUGGGGGUAUGCCUUAGAGACUGCCGCCCAUAUCCUUAACUUAGUCCCGACAAAGAAGGUUGCCAAAACACCUCACGAGAUUUGGACAUGGAAAGCUCCCUCAUUGGCACAUAUCAAGGUUUGGGGUUAUGAGGCUUUUGUAAGACGGGAGACUCACGAAAAGCUUGAACCUCGUAGUGAGCGAUGUAUUUUCAUCGGCUACCCACAAAAAUCCAUUGUAUAUCUCUUCUAUAGACCGAGUGACUAUAUUGUCUUCAUUAUGAGGAGAGGGGUUUUCCGAGAGCGAGAACUCAUAAGCCAAGGAGAUAGUGGGAGGCAAAUCGAUCUUGAAGAGAUUCAAGGGUCAAGUGAUGAAGGAACCUAUAUCGCUGGUGCUCUACCGGAGGAGAAAACUAUGGUUGAACUAAUUGAAGAGUCCUUACCUCUUAGGCGUUCCGAAAGAGUUAGAGUUCAACCCCAGUUUUAUGGUUUUCAUAUUACUACCGAAGGGGAAACGUAUAUUAGUGAUGGUACACUAAUAAAUCUAGAUGAACCUAAUAGUUAUAAGGAAGCCAUCGCAGGCCUAGAGUCUGCAAAAUGGAAAGAGGCGAUGGACAUCGAGAUUCAGUCCACGUAUGACAACCAAGUUUGGAAUUUGGUUGACAAUGUGCCCGGACGUAAGACGGUUGGGUGCAAAUGGAUCUUCAAGAAAAAGACCGACGUGGAUGGGAAUGUGCACACAUAUAAGGCGCGAUUGGUUGAGAAGGGCUUUACUCAAACUCCCAGAGUUGACUAUGAUGAGACCUUCUCGCCAGUUGCUAAAAUAAAGUCUAUUAGGGUGAUGCUAGCCAUUGCUGCAUUUCAUGAUUAUGAGAUAUGGCAGAUGGAUGUCAAGACCGCUUUCCUUAAUCGGAAGUUGGUUGAGGAUGUUUACAUGGCUCAGCCAGAGGGUUUUGUUGAUAUGAAGCAUCCCAAUAGAGUGUGCAAGCUUGAGAAGUCCAUUUAUGGACUUAAGCAAGCAUAUCGCAGAUGGAAUCUUUGCUUCGAUGAGAAAGUCAAAGAGUUUGGAUUUGUACGAAGUGAAGAUGAAUCAUGUGUAUAUGUCAAGGCCAGUGGGAGUAUAGUUAGCUUCCUCGUUUUGUAUGUCGAUGACAUACUACUUAUAGGAAACGACAUCCCGACUCUACAGUAGGUUAUGUCCUGGAUCGGGAAGUGCUUCGCUAUGAAGGACCUCGGAGAGGCUUCCUAUAUUUUGGGAAUAAGGAUAGUGAGAGAGCGAAGUAAGAGACCAAUAGGACUUAGUCAGAAUACUUACUUGGAUAAAGUACUAAAGCAUUUUAGUAUGGAAAACUCAAAGAAGGGAGAAUUACCGAUACAAAGUAAUGCCAAGUUGAGUAAGACUCAAAGUCCGAGUACUGAAGCCGAGAUAGCAAAAAUGAGCCGAGUACCUUACGCUUCCGCAGUUGGCUCAGUAAUGUAUGCUAUGACUUGUACUCGAGCUGACGUGGCCUUUGCUUUGAGCAUGGUCAGUAGAUAUAAAGGAAACACUAGCAAAGCGCAUUGGNUAAGUACCUUCGGAGGACCAAGGAAUGGUUUUUGGUCCUCGGAGGGAGUGAUGACUUAAAGGUGUGAGGGUAUAGUGACGCCAGAUUCCAGACCGACAGGGAUAGCUACCGUUCGCAGUCGGACUGGGUCUUUACCCUUAAUGGAGGAGAAGUGACUUGGAAACCGUAGCUGAUUCAACGUGCGAAUCAGAGUACAUUGCAGCGAGCGAAGCAUCAAAGGAGGCGAUAUGGUUGAAAAUUUUCAUUGGAGACCUUGGAGUUGUACCUGCCAUAAAGGAGCCUAUGGAAAUUUUCUGUGAUAAUGAAGGAGCGGUUGCCUUGACCAAAUAACCGAGGGAUCAUGGUAGAUCUCGACAUAUCAACAGAAAAUAUCACUGUAUUAGACAUCGAGUAGAAGGACACCUCGUAGUAAAGAGGAUAUCAUCAGAGGAUAACCCAUCAGAUCCGCUUACGAAGGGACUGAGUAGGGUUAAGCACUUGCAGCAUGCUAGGAGCAUUGGGCUGAAGGACGAUAUUAGUUUGGAUUAGAUAGUUUGGAAACUUGUAGGAGAUAAAUGUAAUUGGCAUUUGAUGAUUAAAUAAAGGAGUAUUAUUUAAUGGUUUCUGUCUUAUGUUAAUUGUUUAACUAUUGUUUCACUUUGCAUGUUUUGACUUCCAGAAUGAUUGAGUUUAUUAAGAAUAAUCGAAUCAUUCAAACGGUCCACAGUCGUUCAUAUGUUGGAAGCAGGUAUGAAUGAAGACUGUCAUUAAUUGGUGUGUAGAUUGUCUGAAAGGUAUUAGACAUAACAAAGGUUUGUUAGAACAUUCAUGAGUGCUUAUGAAAAUGGUUUGAGCAUUGGAAUAAACCCGCACUUGCUGGAAUCACUUUAUGGAAUGUACCACAAGUGAUCGCAAGACGAUAAUAUCAUAUAGUCUUAAAACCAUGAUAUAUGGUUUAUUGUUUACUAAUUAAUUGUGCAUUGAUAAUGCGAAAGCGCAUCAGUAAAUUGAUGUCAUAAAACACAAUGUUGUGUAUAAUUGAUUAGUGAAUAGUAAAUGCAUAUAAGUCGAAGUUUAUCUGUUACUUUUAUCCUAUGAGGUUAAAAGUGAUAUCAGGGCCCCUCGAUGAUUUAAUUUGACUUAUGUGCUGGGCCCGGUCAGGACUGAAUUGAUGUGUUCAAUUAAGUUCUAUGUCAAAUGAAUCUGAGAUCGAGAAACAAACUGCUGGACAAUAAGUAUGAUGACGUUUCAUGAGAUUGUCCGCACGAUAUCUAAAUAGAGGACUAUACGAUCCCUUAUCUGAAAGGACAGGUUACUGAUAAAAUCAGAGUUUGAUAGCGUCUUUGAGAGCUACGAUUGCUAAUUGAGUUGUACUUGCAUUUGUGGUUACUAGACUCAUCUAAGUGGGAGACUGUUGGAUUAGUGUCUAAGCCCAUAACCAUAUUUGGUAAGUACUUGACCCGGUUGUGCAUGGUCCUUUUGGGUUGCCUUCACCAAAGCAACUUGACUGGAGAAAUAAAUAGAGAAAGUGGUUAUUAUGAUUUAUUAAAAUAUUCUAAGAAUAAUAUAUUAAUGGAGAAAUCAUAUUUGUUUAAUUAAUAUUGGUGAAUAAUUAAUUAAAAAUUAAUUUUGUGAUCAAGUGUAAUUAAUUAAACUAGAGGGGCUGAAUUGUAAUUAUAUGAUAGUUGCAAAGUAGGGCAACGGUUACCCUAGAUAUAGGUUGGACGAAUUAAAGGGAUAAGGAACCUUGAAAUCAUCCAAGGAUAGGGCUUUCAAGGCUUAUCUUUUGGUUACUUGGUGGGCAAGCAACUAGAUAAGGAUAAGGACUAAAACCAUAAUCUCUACCCUAUAUAAAGACCCCUAAGGCUAUAGAAAUCGUACACUUGAUCCCUAGGUUUCCUAGAGCCGAUUUCUACCUCCUCUCUUCUCUGUCUAUUGCCUCUCCAUUUGCUUGUGGUGUUUGUGAGACAUUAGAGGUACUACAUUUGUGGUACUUGCUUUCAAGACUUAGGGUUUGAAUGUUUGAGUUGUUAUUGCAAUAUAACAACAAGAGGUAUGUGAUCUAUCCUACUAUAUGAAUUUCAAAAAUACUUGGAGCAUGGUAGGGUUCUUCAUGUGUUCAUAAUGUUGUGUAUCUAAUAGAGAAAAUAUAGAUCCAAAUCUAGGGUUGGAUGCACACAUAUGCUUGUUUGUAUAAAACCCAUCACUAAGAUGUAUAGGGAUCUGAAACCUUACUACUGGUGGCCGACGAUGGAGCUCGAUGUUGUAAAGUAUGUGGCAAAUGUGUAACAUGUGAGAGAGUUAAAGCACAACAUCAAAAACUGUAUGGGAGUUUAGAACCUUUACAUGUACCCACGGGUAAAUGGGAAGACAUCACCAUGUAUUUUGUGACUAAAAUGCCUAGAACGAAGAAUGGUCACGACAUGAUUUGGGUAGUCGUGGAUCGGUUCACAAAGAUUGCACACUUCAUAGCAGCCAAUGAGAAAUGGUCUAUGGAUAAGCUUGAAAAUACUUAUGUGAAGGUUAUAGUAAGACUUCAUGGUGUUCCGUUAACGAUUGUAUCAGAUCGUGACAGUCGUUUCAACUUAAAAUUUGGGAAGAGUCUACAAGAGGAAAUGUUUACGAAGUUUUGUUUAAGCACAAACUACCAUCUACAGACUGAUGGUCAGAGCGAAAGAACAAUUCAAACACCAGAAGAUAUGCUAAGAGCUUAUAUCCUAGAGUUCCAAGGUAACUGGGAUGAGAAUUUAUCCCUGGUAGAGAUUUCCUACAAAAAUAAUUACCAUUCGAGCAUUAAGAUGGUACCUUAUCAAGCUUUGUACUAUCAGAAGUGUCAUACGUCGUUUUGUUGGCUUGAGGCCAAAGAAAAGUAGUUUAUGGACCCCGAAAUAGUCCAUCAGACUGUUGAAAAGAUAAAAAUAAUUAGGGAAAGGAUGUUAGCAGCUCAAGAUCGCCAAAAUAGCUAUGCCGAUAAGAAGCAGCGACCGAUGAUAUUUGAUGUUGGAGAUUCGGUAUUUCUCAAAGUCUCAUCAUGGAAGGGAUUGAUAAGAUUUGGAAACAGAGGAAAUCUAAGUCCAAGGUUUAUUAGACCAUUCAAGGUUAUUCAGAGGAUUGGGAACGAAGCUUACAAGUUGGAAUUGCCACAAGAACUAGAUGGUAUUCAUAACACUUUCCAUAUGUGUUACUUGAGGAAGCUUACGGGAGAAGUUCCCCAUAUAUUUCCACUUUCGGAGUUAAGUAUGCAUGAAAAUAAGACGUUAAUCGAAGAGCCUAAAGAAAUUGUUAACCAUAAGAGGAAGAAUUUACGACGCAAGAUGGUCGACUUGGUGUUUGUGUAGUGGAAACAUACGACUGGGCCGAACCUCACCUGGGAAACAGAGAGUGACAUGAUGAGUCGAUAUCCACAUCUGUUUGUCGAUGCUUGAUUCCAGGACAGAAUAAUCCUAAGGAGGAGAGAAUUGUAAUGCCCGUGUUUCUAGACUAAGCAUUAUAAAGAUGUAAUAGUUAAGGUUAAUAAUUGUAACCUAUUUUGAAGUAAUGAAGGAGAGUUAUUUAAGUAUGAUGUGAUUUAUGUGCAAUAUACGUACUUAUAACGAUGUAAUAAAAUAAUAAUAAAAAUAUGUGUCAAAAAUAAAAUAAUAGAUAGACCCAAUAUCUAUGAAGAAAUUUGAAGUGGUCACAAUAAGGAUUUUUGGGAUAUAAGGAACGCUAAAAUCCAACUUAUAACGGAGAAGUUAUGACCCGUUGAAGUUUCGCGACUAAACCGACACGACGCCAGGAAUCGUCAAAAUGUGAAUUUUUGAUAAAGUACUUUUUAUCCUUAUUAACCUAAAAGAAAAAUAAUGUCCAAAUCUGACUUCGUAUGUGUGACAACCCGAAAUUUCCAUUCUGUACAAACGAUAUCACUUCAAUAGAAGUUAUAACAGUCAUAGUCAAUUUUCAGACUUUUCGUAUAUGUUGGAGUAAUCCAGGGUUUACACUUUAGUAAAUAUCAGGAGUGUGGAUGCACUAUGGUUUUGUGCAACACUGUUAUUCCAACACUCUGUUAUAUUAGAAAUCAUUUUAGGAAUAAAAAUAUUUUCUGUCCAAAAUAUCUCAGGACUAUAAAUAGAUUUUUGAACCAAAUUCAUUCAUUAUUCACAUUUGCAACUAGAGAAAAGCCAUUUUCUCUCUCACGGAUCUUCGGGUUUUCAUCCCAAAUAGUGAGUACACUUCUCUAGUUGUUUUAUAAUACUUGUUAUAUGCUUAAUAACAUAAAUUACAUGUCAAAUACGUGAGAUUUGGGAGUUUACCGCCCAAGAACGUUCUUGGGGAGUAAACUCCAAAAUGAAGCUUAAAGGCUAUCUAGUCCCAUUUCCUUGUUAAGUAACUAGCUAAGGAUUAUAUGUAUGUACAUUUGAGACUAGAAAAGAAUCAAAAACACCUAGCUUAGGGUGUUCACGGCCCAAGAACUUCUUGGACCGUGAACUCCAAAAACAAGGGCCAAAAUGUGCCCUAAUCACUCCUAAGGCUUUAGACAUUGACCCUCAUUUAUGUCAAACUAAUUUGUGGACUUUAAAACAUCAAGAACACCCCUCAAAGUGAGUUUACAGCCAAGGAAUACUCAUAGGCCGUAAACUCCAAACAAGGGCACCAAAGUGUGCCUAGGGUCCUCAUUAGCCUUAAACAAAUGCCUAGAAAUUAUCCUACUUGUGCUUGGGACUUGAAAGAAUAAAAACACCCAUCCCAUGAGAGUUUACAGCCGUAAACUCUAAGGGAUUUGGCCUUGGGGCCGUAAACUCCUCAAAGGAGUAUUUCUAUGCCCUAAACUACCCAAAGGAUUAAACAACCAAGCAAGGCUUAUUCUAGAAAUCAAAUAGCACUUCAAAACAUCAAUUACCACCAAGAUUGGAGUUCACGGCCGUAAACUCAAGGGUUUACGACCGUAAACUCCUUGUGUGGGGUUUAUUGAGGAGUAAACACUUAUAUAAGGCCCUUUGGUACAUUAAACCCCUUUAGCCUUGUCCUAUGACAACUUAAAUGCAACCAUUAGGACCUAUAACACUUAUACAAAGUGUUUACAUGUUCCUGAGUGUCCCAACUUAUUUCAUUAGUUAUUAUUUGGCUAAUUAGUUAUAUAUAUGCUCAUUAUAUGAUAACUAGGCUCGUGCGUGUGAACAAGUCUCCGUUUGCCACCUAGCACGGUAUCCGACACUUCAAUCCAAUCCACUCACCACAAGUGAGUUCAUACCCCUUUAAUUAACCUUUGAAAUACUUUUAAAUGUUUUAANGGGGGGGGAAUACAAGUUAAAUACUUAUAGUUAUUACAUCAAUCACAUGUGAUUAAUAACUAGAAAACCAAUGAUUUUAUUACUGUUCAAACUGUUUAUCAAACUGUUUUACUUCCAACUGUUUUACAACCUCUUUUACUUAUCAAAUACUUUUAUUUAACCUUGUUAUACUUCUUAUAAAUUGCAUGCCCAUAUAUGUAUAGAUAUAUAAGCAAUGUUUAAAGGGCUUAGGAAGGCCAUCCGCCCUAUUUCCUUUUUCUCGAUUUGGAUGUGGUCUGGUGGGAUUUCGGGUAGCCGUCCGAAGGUCGUUUCAAUAUUAAUUAUAUAUCAAAUGUACAUAUAUAGACAUAAAAGUACUUCCAUAUUCAUGCGUAUUAGUCACAUCAUUAGUAAGUUACCAUCGGGGUAACACAGGAUCAUACUACUACAAUUUCUAGAUCAAUGAGUCAGUUCAUUCAUGAGUCAAUACUUAUUACUAUGAGUACAUAUACAACUAUACUAGAAAGAGAACAUAUACAACUAUACUAGAAAGAGAACAUAUACAACUAUACUAGGACGAGAACAUAUACAACGAUACUAGAACAAGUAACAUUACAUUACAUAUACAUGAAUACGUUAACAAUUGUGAUCCACUGUAUCGGAGCAUGCCUUAAAUGUCAUGGCCCGAGUUGUAGCCAGAAUUCUCUUGGAGGGAGAGCGUGAGUUUGCGUAUAGAUCUAUACUGGAUUGACUAUCCUACACCUUGCUGCUAGCUACAGCCGGACCUGCAGGUCUGCGGGUGCCAAACGUCAUUCCGUUAUUACGACCAUUCGUAUGUCGUUGUUACCAGUCGAUAGUAUGGUGCAAUUUAUCACAUGAUACCUUAAUAUAAAUCCGGUGUAAGGUAGUUAGUACAGCAGUAGUUCCUAUAAUACAACACUACAGUACUACAAUAAUUUACCCAUUACAUAUAUUUAGUGAUUAUUUCACUUAAACAUUAAUGUACAAACUAUAUUUUGUUAAAUGAUAGUUACACUUGGGAAAUUACACACUUUUACAACAAACGAGCAUACAAAACAGUUAAGCCUUGGUAGAAGGCUACUUUAAUAGAAAAUAUAGGUUUUUCUGAGAGAUUCAAACUUUUACAAACAUUUACAUACAUUUUACAAACUUACACUUGAGACAUGUUCAAACGUUUUGAUAACAAAAACCGACACUAAAAUACUUAUGAACUCACCAGCUUAAUGCUGAUAAAUUCUUUCAAAAUAACUUGUAUUCUCAGGUCAUCAGUAGACAGGUACCGAGGCCAACUUUUGAGAAGAUGGAGUGCAUCCAAGACUCAUCUUAUUAUUUUGAUUUACAUUAUUUUUGGUGUCUAUAACUGUUCAGAACACGCUUGUAUUAAAAUUAUAUAUUUAAUGCAAUGGAUGAUGUUGUUUGCUUGUUUACUUUUACUGUGUUGUGAUACUCUACAUGACGUCCUCCACCCCAGAACGUGUCCGCCGUUCUUGGUUUUGGGGUGUGAUAGUAUGAGGAAGUUAUGAUUUUUCUAAGAUUUAGCAUAGCAGUGCACAACCCGAAAUUCGAAUUUUAGAUCAAUCGAUUUCUACCAGACAUAACCUAAAUUCGAAUUGAAGAUCUCAUUAAUAGUAACUCAACGAUAUAAAGAAAGAUGAAAGCAGAUGUCGGAUAACAAACUUUUGAACUUUUAGCGGACUUUAUCUAUCCAAGCCUUUAAAAAUAUAAAUUUAAAAAUAAAGUCAAAAUUAGACAACAAAGUCCAAACGAAAAUUGUAGAUUACAUCGCUACCUACAUGUAGACAUAAGGAGUCUCAAAAACAUAGCUCAUAUGAAAAAUUUAUGAAAUUUAGAAGUUAAGCAUAAGCUGAUGCGAGGACCGACACAUGGCUGAAUCGCAUCUCUCGCUGCCUCUCCAUGACUUCACUUCGGAUGGGGACUCAUGGCCCUUGCAUACGCAAUGUCAGGCCUCGUACACGCAACGCACUGAGAAUGCCCAGAGUACACCAAACCUACGCCUCAUGCACUCGCAUCCUCCAACCUAUAAAUAGAUGCGAAGUUCUUCCAUUUUUUUCACACCUCUCCCAUUCUUUCUCUCUUAAUUACUCCUCUUAACUCCUCCCAUUCCCUAGUACUUCCCAUGUGCUAGAGGCGGGUCCCGGAGAGUCAGAAGACUCCGAGAAGAAGAGCUUUCAACUGAAAAGUUCUAUGUAACAUCUCAAAAUUCAAGACCAAAAGUUUUGUUUUUAAUUAAGUUAUUAUAAAACCCUCAGUAUAAAAACAAUCAUAAUAACAUCACAUGCCAAGACCAAAGUGUCAGUAAUUAAAACUUAUUAUCAUAAAAUCAUAUCAGAGUAGAAUCCCAAAGAUCUCAUGUUCGAAAAACACAGUGUGAUGCACUGCGAUCGAGCCGACUCUUUUCCUUUGAAAACAAUGUACCUGAAACCAAAACUAAAAACUGUAAGCACAAAGCUUAAUGAGUUCACCCCUCAUACCACAUACCAUACAAAUCACAUACUGUCGGUCAUAUCUGGGUGCCCGGCCUACCCUGUCAGGUAUAUCUGGGUGCCUGACCUACCCUGCUGAGCAUACCGAGGUGGUCAACCUACCCUACUGUCAGGGAUAUAUGGGUGCCCGACCUACCCUCCGUUGUAUCUCAACCGGUUACAGGGACUAUUUCACCCCUACCACUACCACAUAAUAACGUAACAUAAACAUACUGUCUAACAUAUCUGGCUACUAGACUACCCCUUUGGCCCUAUCGACCGGUAACCGGGGACUAUUCCCACCUACUACCACUAUCACAUAAUGUCAUAUCAUGCUAGCACAUAAAACACAUCAGAUAGUGGCUAACCAGAAAUUAUCACAAAGACAAUUUUCUAACAACUCCUACUAGUGGGCUGACAUUGUGGCCUUAGACCCAUUUCUACUGGAAGGUAACUCACCUCACACUACUGAAGUCCCGCAGACAGAACCCCAACUGCUGGAUGACAGACUCCCGAACUGUCAAUAUCAAAACAUCACCCAAUUACUAAUUAGGUCCCAACACAUAAACAUAAGUUCUUGGAGUUACAAGCUACAUUACCCUAUCUUGGCCUCAUUUAGGCCCAAGGCCCAAUCUAAAGGCCCAAAAGUCAAACUAGGAAUCAAAGCCCAAGAUAUGGCCCAAUUUUGCAAAUUGGGCCCAAACCUCUACAUGCUCUUCCCAAAGGCCCAACCAUUUAAUCUAGUCCAAACAUGUUGUCACACCCCGAAAACCGAAGGCGGAAAAAUUUCCGAGGUUUACUCCACGUUGAGUAUCAAAUCCAAUACACAUAGUAAGUAAAGUAAACAACCAUUACAUUAUAUGUAGAAAGGUUUACAUUUGUUUCAAAAACAAAGUUAUGCAGUUGUGAUACAUAGUAUAUAUGAACAAAAUGAGACGAGUCUUCUGCGCAUUCUGUCUUCGCUAAAAACGAAUCAUCGGGUACCUGUCUAAAGCGGACCUGAGAAUACAAGCAGUUUGAAAAUCAGCAUAACGCUGGUGAGUUCAUAAGCGGUUUUGUUUUGUGAAAAUGUACUGGUUACUUUUUGUUUCUGAAAAUGUUAAAAUCAAGAAAACCCCAUAUUUUCUUAAUAGUUGGUUUUUGAAGCCCAAAAUGUAAUGUAAAGAUGUACACUGAAAACAUGUUUACCCUUGUGAAAUGUAAAGUUAGGUUAUCUGGUUUGUUACACUGUUCUGGAUAUGUACACAUGUUUCCCUAGGAAAAUCCCAUAUUUUCCUGAAUGUUGCUUACCGAAUGGGAAAGAUGUAAACUGAAAACCCGGUUAUCCUUGUGAAAUGUAUUAGUUUUAACACAUACAUAAAACUAACAUAUACAACAUAAUUUAAUUACUUUAUUCACUAUUACUAUUAAGUAUAUCUCUGUUAUCCUAAUUGCGAGUUCCAUACCUAUCCAAUAGACUAGAUAUGGCAAUAAGUAGUCCACAUCACCUUAUGACAUUCGUCACCCUUGAACCAUUUCGGUUCGGCUGUAGCUAGCAGCCAGGUGUGGGGUAGUCAGCCCCGUAUAGAUCUAUACACUCAAGUCACGCUCCCUAUCUAAGAGAUUCUGGUUACGGGUGCGGUCCUCCACUCGCGUAUCUCUAUGGAGUGUUCACCGAGGACGUGUCUCCAAUUAUAUAGGAUUAAAAAAUAUACUAGUAAUAAUAUGAUAAUCCUCCACUAGCGUAUCUCUAUGGAGUGUUAUCGAGGACAAAAAGGUGCAGUAACUUUUAUGUUAAAGGUUCAAUUGUCAUGAUUUUAACUCAUAAAAUAUGGAAAACAUUUGUGCAAUAUAUGAAAUACAACAUUUUAUGACAUAUUCCACAAAUAAUAUGUUUACGUGUUCUGCAUGUUCAAACAUUUUCUGUUAUGUCUAUCAGUGUUAAAAGCAUAUGAUAUUAUUAAACACACAUAUGUAAAACAAGUUUUUGAGUACAAGUAUUCCUUGUACUUUGCUUGUAUUCUCCCCCUGAAAACAGUGAAAACCAGUGAAAAAGGGUAGGGGUAUGAACUAACCAGACGGGAAAAUCCGACGAUUUGAAUGCUAAGCGUUGGUUUGGGGCUUGAUAACACACGAGGUUCCUAUGUAAUAUGAAAAGCUAUACAAAUGUAUCUAAUUAGACUUUAAAACACUAAUUAGAUAUGAUAACACACUCCAAUGAGCGAAAACACUUCAAUUCAAGUGUUUGGAAUGACCCGGGUAACAUCCACAGACGUGUGGGACUUAGGAAAUGAGUUUACUCUUCAAGAGUAAACUCCUCAUGGAGUUUACGACCCAUUGACCAUAUUCCCAUGAGUUUACGGCCGUAAACUCAUGGAUGGUGGGUUCUUGGAUGCCAAAUGGUCAUACAAUGCACACGGGAUGUUCUAGGGUUGAUUCCAUGGCUUAGGAAGUGAUCGGGACUUGAAAUGGCCUUGGGAAAUCAGUUUAAGGUCUAAGGAGAUGUUCUUGGGGAGUUUACUACUUUAAACUCAUGAGUUUACAACCGUAAACUCAUGUUUGUCCAUGAAUGAAGGGCUUUGGUGGUUGUUAUUCAAUCAUAUGUGAUUCUAAGUCCAAAACUAAGCCAUUCAUGGGGUUUAAGGCACAUUAACACCCUUUGGGGGGUGUUUACGGCCUAAGGAGGUGGGUUUACGGCACCUUAACACCCAAAUAUUAUGACUUAAUUUAAUAACGAAAACCAAAAUAAUUCGAAAACGAUGAACUUAUUAACAGAAUGAGUUACAAUAAUGGAAAGAAUUUUCGGGUUGUUGCAUUAUCCCCCCGUUAGAGGGAAUUUCGUCCCGAAAUUCAGGAUUAAGAUACAAAUCAUGGAUUUGGAAAGAGAUGCGGAUACUUCUGUUUCAUCGAGUCUUCACGCUCCCAAGUGAAUUCCGGUCCCCACUUGGCAUUCCAGCGAACCUUCACUAUCGGGAUGCGGCUCAACUUCGUACGUUUGAUCUCUCGAUCCAUGAUUUCGACUGGUUCCUCCCCGAAAUUGAAGUUUUCAUUGAUCUCGAUUUCGUCCAAAGGAAUCACAAGGGUUUCAUCGGAUAAACACUUCUUGUGAUUUGAGACGUGGAAAACGGGAUGGAUGUUGCUAAGUUCAUGGGGUAAUUGGAGUUUAUAGGUUAUAGGACCGAUCCUAGCGAGGAUCUCGAAGGGUCCAAUGUACCUCGGGUUAAGUUUCCCACGCUUUCCAAAGCGUACCAUGCCUUUCCAGGGCGAGACCUUUAACAGGACACGAUCUCCAACCUGGAACUCCAGAGGUUUCCGACGAUUAUCUGUGUAACUCUUUUGGCGAUCUCGUGAAGCUUUCAAUCAUUCCCAGAUUUGAAUGAUCUUCUCGGUGGUUUCGCGGAUGAUUUCAGGACCAGUGAGAGCACUGUCGGGGACUCCACUCUUGGCUAGCUGCGUGUCCACUACCUCGGCCCAACACAGAGGGGAUUUGCACUUGCGACCGUAGAGGGCUUCAAAUGGGGCAGCCUUGAUGCUGGUGUCGUAACUGUUGUUGUACGAGAACUCGAUCAAAGGCAGAUGUGUGUCCCACGACUUUCCAAAAUCUAUGACACAUGCCCUCAGCAUGUCUUCCAGGGUUUGGAUAGUUCUCUCAGUCUGUCCAUCGGUCUGAGGAUGAUAAGCCGUGCUCAUGUCUAGAUUAGUUCCAAGAGCCUUCUGAAGGGACUGCCAAAACCUGGCGGUAAACCUGCUAUCUCAGUCAGAGAUAAUGGACGCAGUUACGCCGUGUAGUCGAACUACCUCCUGGAUGUAGAUCCGCGCGAGUCUUUCCAUCUUGAACGAUUCUAUAAUCGGGAUGAAGUCAGCGGAUUUUGUUAAACGAUCGACAAUUACGCAAAUGGUGUCGUACCCACUCGGACAUUUGGGUAACUUGGUGAUGAAGUCCAUGGUAAUCAUCUCCCAUUUCCAUUCAGGUAUUUCAGGCUGAUGGAGCAAACCUGAGGGUUUCUGGUACUCAACUUUCACUUUGGCGCAAGUUAGGCACUUUCCCACGAACGUAGCGAUCUCGACUUUCAUGUUUGGCCACCAGUAUUGUUUCUUGAGAUCCAGGUACAUGUUGUCCGAACUUGGGUGAACAGAAUAUCUGGUCUUGUGUGCUUCCUCCAUGAGAAUCUCCCUGAAUCCUCCAAACUUUGGGAUCCAGAUUCGGUUCAUGAAACAGUAUACUCUGUCACCUCUGGUCUCAAGUUUCUUAUCCAUUCUCCUCAAGGCUUCGCUUGACAAGUUCUCGGGUUUGAGGGCUUCUAACUGGCUUCUCAGAUUUUCAUGGAUAAGUGGAAAUGGAUAGUCAUCGUCAGGGUCUUCACUUUUCUGCUUGAACUCUCUAUUCGGCUAAGGGCGUCUGCUACCACAUUGGCCUUGCCGGGAUGGUAACGGAUUUCACACUCAUAGUCACUGAGUAGUUCUACCCAUCGCCGUUGCCUCAUGUUCAAGUCUUUCUGAUCAAGAAUGUGUUGCAGGCUCUUAUGGUCCGUGAAGAUCGUACACUUGGUUCCGUAGAGAUAAUUUCUCCAAAUCUUCAAUGCAAAGACUACGGCUCCUAACUCUAAGUCAUGCGUAGUAUAGUUGAUCUCGUGUGCCUUCAGUUGUCUCGAGGCAUAUGCAAUCACCUUUCCUCUUUGCAUAUGCACACAGCCUAAGCCCUGAAUAGAUGCAUCACAACAAACAACGAAGUCCUCCAUUCCUUGGGGCAAGGAGAGGACCGGUGCGUUGCACAGAGCUUGCUUUAACGUUUGGAACGCGGUUUCUUGCUUCUCACUCCAACAAAAGGGUACACCUUUCUGUGUCAGAGUGGUUAAAGGUUUGGCGAUCCUAGAAAAAUUCUGGAUGAAUCUCCGAUAGUAGCCGGCAAGACCCAAGAAUUGACGGAUUUAUGUGGGUGUCUUCGGUGCCGACCAAUUCUCUAUCGCUUUAAUCUUGGACGGGUCCACGUGAAUACCCUCCUCGCUUACCACAUGACCGAGGAAGGUUAGCUUCCGAAUCCAGAAUUCACACUUGGAAAAUUUCGCGUACAGCUUCUCGGAUCUGAGAGUUUCCAACACCGACCUCAAGUGUUUUUUGUGGUCUUCUUCGCUUCUGGAGUAGACAAGGAUGUCGUCAAUGAACACGCUGACAAACUUGUCCAGAAAAGGGCGACACACCCGGUUCAUCAGGUCCAUGAACACUGCCGGUCCGUUGGUUAGACCGAAGGGCAUCACUACGAACUCGUAGUGUCCAUACCGAGUCUUGAAAGAUGUUUUGGAAACAUCACUCUCAUGAACUCGUAGCUGAUGGUACCCUGACCGAAGGUCUAUCUUUGAGAAGUAGCUGGCUCCCUGGAGUUGAUCGAAGAGGUCAUCUAUUCGAGGAAGAGGAUAUCAGUUUUUGACGGUCAACUUGUUCAACUCUCGGUAGUUGAUGCACAUUCGGAAGGAUCAAUCUUUUGUGACACCCAAUUUUUUUUUUUUUUUUUUUUGCAACAAUUUUAAACUUUUAAAACCCAUCUUAAAUUAAAUUAAAACAACUGAAAUAGUCAUAACAUAAUCCAUCAACUUAAUAACCAUAUAAAAUAAGUGCGGAAGUAAUAAUAAUAAUAAGGUCCCAACAAAAUAACUAGUAGCGAUGUCCCGAUGCUCCAUGUCAAGCCUUAGCCUCUUUAAUCUUAACACCUGAAAAGUUAUAAGGGAAAAACGUAAGCACGAAGCUUAGUGAAUUCAAACACAGACAUUGUACUAACAUUCAUAUUUACUAGCCCUAAUCCAUUUUCCAAUUAUAACGAUAAAGACAAAGAACGAAUCAAUGUCUAUAUUACGAGAAGGACUUGUAGGUUUGAACCGCACCGGGAAGAUCCCGUAUCAUUUGGCCCUAAUCACCGCACCUCACGAAGAGUAUUACGUUGGUGAUCUUACCUACCCACCGCACCGGUAAAUCCGUAUCCUUUGGUGGUGUCCCCAUAUCCAUAAUUAGUUACAUACAGUGCACAUGUACGAAUUAAAACAAUACUUAUAUAGCAUGCUUUUAUAAUAAAUUCAAAUAAUCACACACGAGCUAACUAGCAAACACAAUCAUCAAUACAACGGUGUGAGAGAACUCACCUUGAGUGAGUAUUAAGGAUGGCUAACAAUCAAAUAAUGCUACCAAGCUUGAGCAAACUUCAAAACCUCGCCUAAGAAGGACUAAAGGUUAGAAACGAGAAGUAAUGAAGCUAUGAGUUGAGAAAAGAGUAAUCACAGCAAGGUCUCUAAAACAGACCUGCUGUUCAAAACGGAUUUACUCCAAAAUCUAAAACAGAAACAUAGCUUUAACUAAAUUUUAUAGGAAACUAUGAUUGCUCAGGAUUCCAUAACUAUAAAGAACUCAUUCUAACUCCAAAAGAUGAAUUAAAUAUGAAUUUUACAAAAUGGUGUAUCACUUCUGUCUCCAACAAUACAGUCAAGUGAUGUUGGCCAAUUCUACCCAACUUGUGAGUAGAAUUCGUCCAAAAGAAAAUUAAGAGAAGUAAAGGACAUACAAGUGAAAGUCUCAGAGUUGGAAUUGAAUGAAAAGCAUCUCUCAAACUCCAGAUAUAAAAUUCACAUUGUGGACAAUCACAGCACUAGCAAAAGCUGGUGACUGCCCACUGACCUGGAGUGUGGAUCCAUUCUAACCAAUUUAUAAUUGGAAAUAACACCCCAUAUUCUCCAGAUCUUAAAUUCAUAAUAUAAGGAACAUAUAGAAACUUGGAAUCACUCUGGAUCCUUUUCCAAGCCUUAGAAAUGAUGAAAACAAAAUGACAUAUCAGAACAGACCCGGAUCAGACCUAACAGCAAAGAUGCCAUUCUUUCACAUAGAUAAAGCCCUUAUCAGUGAGGUUGGCCUUCUUAAGAAAGUUAGCCAACUCAAUUUGUGAACUUUUGGAACUGGUUUGGGGUCCGUUUGAGUUCUAGAGCUCCAGAUAUGAUUUUUACAAAAUGACUACAGAUCUGAUGGAAAACAGAAUCGUAGCCACCCGUGAUUCCUUUUUGGCUUAUCCAUCCUUCUCCUUUUGAAACACAUUUUAAGAUGUGUUCAUCAUCCCAAUUCAGUCCCCAUGAUAAUGGUGGUACUAAAAAGGGUUAGGGAUCAUUAGGAUUUCAUUUAGCCUCAAGGAUGUAAUAAUAAUCAACAUGAAAAUAAACAUAAGCACAUAAAAUCAUCAUUCUCCCUUUUAGGGUUUCCAUGAUCUUUUGCCACAUGUAAUCCCCUAGAUCCAUCAUCCACCAUAUAUGGGGUGAAGAUAGGAUCUUGAGAUGAUGUAUAACAUACAAUUACAAAUAAAAUAAGAAGGAGAAGAGGUGAAGAUGAAAUCAUAAAACUAGAACAAGGUUAUGAAUCAAGUUGUAAGAAAGGAUAAGGAGGUUCAUACCAAUACGAAUCAAGGCUGGAAAUGAACAAGAAUUAAGCUCCAAACAGCCCCUUGGCUGCUCUUGAUCCCAAAGAGAGAGAGAGGGACGAUUUUUGAGAGAGAGGGAGGGUUUAGAGUGUUUUCCUUGUGUGUGUUCCAAAUGAUUCAAUUUACACAUUAAGUACUAUUAACUAGAUGGACUUUGCAAAUAGGCCCAUAGCCCAUGGACUUCAAUAAAAGGAGUUUACAAGAUGAUCAAAAGAGUCCAAUAACAUAAGAAAUCAGACAUUGGUUAAAUAAAUUAACCCAAGGUUACAAGGAUAAUUAAAUUAAAAUAACCAAACGUACCGAGAAAACCCGGGGCGUUACAACUCUCCCCCACUAAGAACGGACUUCGUCCUCGAAGUCAACACCUAGAAACAGAUCCGGAUAAUGAGCCCGCAUCUCGCAUUCCGGUUCCCAAGUCCAUUCCGAACCCUUCCUAUGUUGCCACUGCACCUUAACCAGGUUUAUAGUCUUGUUGCGGAGAGCUUUCGUCUUUCGUUCUAAAAUAGCGAUUGGUUUCUCAACAUAAUUGAGACGCUCGUCAAUUUGUAUGUCCUCCAGUGGUAUCACAGCGGUCUCAUCAACAACGCAUUUUCGUAACUGAGACACGUGGAACGUAUUAUGAAUUAGACUAAGCUCGUCAGGAAGCUCUAAACGGUAAGCCACCUUCCCCACACGAGCUAUGACCUUGUAGGGUCCAAUGAAUCGGGGUCCGAGCUUUCCCCGCUUCCGAAAUCGAAUCACACCUUUCCAGGGGGAGACUUUAAGCAACACAUAAUCUCCCACCUGGAACUCAAGAUUGGAGCGUCUUUUGUCGGCAUAACUUUUCUGACGACUGCUCGCUGUGACCAAAUGAUCCCGAAUCACUUGGAUUUUCUCCGUAGUCUGUAGCACGAUAUCAGUACUCCCAAGUACCCUCUGCCCAACCUCGCCCCAACAAACGGGCGUCCUGCACUUCCUCCCGUACAAGGCUUCAUACGGAGGCAUUUUAAUGCUCGAGUGAUAGCUGUUGUUAUAAGAAAACUCAGCUAGAUGUAGAUGGUCAUCCCAACUACCCCCAAAAUCAAUCGCACACGCCCUAAGCAUGUCCUCCAAGGUCUGAAUCGUCCGCUCACUCUGCCCGUCUGUCUGCGGAUGGAAGGCGGUACUAAAAUGUAAUCGUGUGCCCAAUUCCUCUUGAAACUUCCUCCAGAACCGAGAGGUAAAUCGGGUGUCUCGAUCGGAGACGAUAGAAACGGGCACCCCAUGUAAUGAGACAAUCUCCCGAACAAAGAUCUCGGCUAAUUUCUCCGCCGAUGAGCUCUCCUUUAUAGCCAGAAAGUGAGCACUCUUAGUCAAACGAUCAACAAUCACCCAUAUCGUAUCUGAUCCUCGGGCAGUUCUAGGAAGUUUUGUAAUGAAGUCCAUGGUUAGAUGCUCCCAUUUCCAUUCAGGAAUCUCCAAUGGUUGCAACUUCCCAUGCGGUUUCUGGUGUUCCGCCUUGACCUUCCGACAGGUCAUACAUUCUUCCACAAAUCGAGCCACAUCAUUCUUCAUUCCAUGCCACCAGUAAGCCUCAUGAAGGUCCCGAUACAUUUUAGUAGCACCAGGAUGGAUAGAAAAUUUUGACUUAUGAGACUCAUCCAUUAGGGUUUUCCGAUUUCCCCCGGUAUAUGGAACCCAAACCCUACCGUAGCGAGUCAGCAAACCCCGCCCGUCUCGUUCCAUCUUAGGCAACUCUUUCCCAAUCUUCUCACGCCAGAUGUUUUCUUCCAGUAUUGCCGUCUUUUGGGCGUCCCGGAUUAGAUCUAACAAAGACGACACCAUCGUGAUCCGGAGACACUUAGCUCGAAUUGGUUCGGCAGAUUGUUUACGACUAAGAGCAUCAGCUACCACAUUAGCUUUACCGGGGUGGUAGUGAAUUUCACAAUCAUAAUCUUUUACCACAUCUAACCAUCGGAUCUGCCUCAUAUUCAAAUCCCGCUGCUCGAACAAAUAUUUUAGACUCUUAUGGUCAGUGUAUAUGAUAAACUUCACUCCAUAGAGAUAGUGUCUCCAAAUCUUAAGAGCGAAAACAACAGCCCCAAGCUCCAAAUCAUGAGUGGGGUAGUUUCGUUCGUGGGGUUUCAGCUGUCGGGAGGCAUAGGCUAUCACCCUAUCUCGUUGCAUUAACACGGCACCAAGACCUUGAAGCGAUGCAUCACAGUAAACCACCAUAUCCUCAACCCCAUCAGGUAAGGCCAAAAUCGGAGCUUCACACAAUCGUUUCCUUAACUCAUCAAACGCCAGUUGCUGCUCCGGGCCCCAAACGAAUUUCAUUGAUUUCUUGGUCAAUCGGGUGAGUGGUAAGGCGAUUUUAGAGAAAUUUUCAAUGAACCUCCGGUAAUAACCGGCUAAACCCAAGAAACUGCGAAUUUCAGAAGGUGUUUUCGGAAUCUUCCAUUGUUUAACCGCAUCAACCUUGGCUUGAUCGACCUUGAUACCUUGUUUGUUUACCACAUGCCCCAAGAACUGAACUUCUUCCAACCAAAAUUCACAUUUUGAAAAUUUAGCAUAAAGCCUUUCUCUUGCCAGAGUUUCCAGAAUCUCCCGAAGGUGUUGCUGAUGCUCCUCUUUGCUCUUAGAAUAGACUAAGAUAUCAUCUAUGAACACUAUGACCGAACGGUCAAGCAUCAGGCUACACACCCGGUUCAUGAGAUCCAUGAACGCUGCGGGUGCAUUGGUGAGCCCAAAAGGCAUCACUACGAAUUCAAAGUGCCCAUAUCGAGUACGGAAUGCUGUUUUCUCAAUGUCUUCUUCACGAACACGCAUCUGAUGGUAACCGGAACGUAAAUCAAUCUUGGAAAACCAAGAUGCUCCCUGAAGCUGAUCGAAAAGAUCGUCAAUACGUGGCAACGGGUACCUAUUCUUUAUCGUGCGCUUGUUUAGCUCCCUAUAAUCAAUACACAUUCGCUGGGAUCCAUCUUUCUUCUUCACAAAGAGAAUAGGAGCACCCCAAGGCGAGCAGCUUGGCCGUAUAAACCCUUUAUCACUUAGUUCUUGAAGUUGAUCUUGGAGCUCUUUCAUUUCAGGUGGUGCCAAGCGGUAAGGAGAUUUCGCUACCGGAGUCGCACCUGGCACCAAAUCAAUGCGAAACUCCACUUGCCGAACAGGUGGCAAGCCAGGGAGUUCCUCCGGAAAGACAUCGCUGAAGUCGGAAACGAUAGGAACGUCGUCUAGUGCUAUAGCAGAAGAGCAAGAAGCCAUAGCCAGGCGGGGAAUGUCCCCCUGAAUAAUAAGUUCUCCACCUCUAGGGUUUCGAACACGAACUUGCUUCUUACGACAGUGGAUUUCCGCAUCAAACGCAUCAAGCCAAUCCAUGCCUACGAUAACGCAGAGCUCUCGCAUCGCAAUAGGGAUAAGAUCAAUAGGGAAUUCAACUCCAGAAAACUCGAGAGUGCAACCCCGAUAGACAUCGGUGACAUAAAUAGUGCGGUUGUCGACAACAUCGACAACCAUUGGGUGAGCCAAUUUUCCGAUACUACGCCCCAAACGAUUAAUAAACGUGUGAGAUACAAAAGAAUGGGUAGCACCGCUAUCAAACAUAACAACAUCGGGCUUGGAAUCUAGCAAAUAAGUGUCUGCCAGUGUCGUUGUAAUCACCGGCUCCUCCACAGUCAUCUGGUGAGCACGACCUCGUGUCACCAUAGUGGUUCCCUUAGAGGAUGAUGCAAUUGCAGGAUUUGUACCCCUGUCUCCUUUACCAGUCUUCAACUUCGGGCAUUCAGGCUUCUUGUGUCCCGUCUCGUUGCAGUGAUAGCAGACGGGAACUGCAGAAGUAAUAUGAGGUACUGCACUCGCAGGGGGAUCCCUACAAUUCUUCCAAUGAUGCCCUGGCUUUUUGCAGUUGUAGCAUAUCAACAUAUUUUUCUCGCCCUGAAGACGUCCUAUACUCAUACCUUGACUUACUACCCUGCUUUUGCGUUUUCUGGGCAUCUCUGGAUGUCUUGGAAGAGGUGUCAUUGGCCUUCCUCUUGGACUGGGUCUGCAACUCGAUUUCCCUCCUCCUCGCUACAUUCAUGAUCGCAGAUAAAGUCGAGAACUCCUGCAUGCUAACGAAUUCCCGAAUCUCGAUACGUAGGAUGGCCGUGUACCGGCUGACUAACCAGGCCUCGUUCCCAGCAAACGAGGGGCAAAAAGAUAGCAUCUCCAAGAACUUGGCGUUCAGGUCACUAACGGAUUCAGUAGUCUGCUGUAAGGCCAUGAACUCUUGCUGCAUCCGCUGCUGCUCCACCUUAGGCACAUAUUGUGCCUCGAACCUCUCCACAAAUUGGGCCCAAGACAUGGCCCUCACUUAGUCUUCGUUCAAUAGAGCGGUGAUGGUGUUCCACUAUGUCUUUCCCCUUUUUCACAGCUGAUUCAUGGCGAUCACUGCUUUGUACUAGUCCGGACACCCAACACUUAUGAAGGCGCCCUCAACAUCUGACACCCAGGGCUUAGUAGCAACUGGGUCGGAUUCACCAUUCCAAAGAGGAGAGCUACACUUGUUGAACUUCUCGAAGUAGUAUGCCGAAUCCUGAACAGGCAGAGACAGUAACGCUUCCCCGGGAAUAGCCGCGAGGCGCUCAUCCAGAAGAGCACCGAAUUGGUUGAUUAUGUCGUUGGUCACACCCGGGAUUAGUUCGUUGAAACCGUUAUUGAAUUCCUCAGCGACAAUAUCCCUAACUUGCUCCAUUUGGAGCUGAUUAAGUCGAGCAGGCGGAGCCAUUGGUAUCCACAGAAGAAGGAAAAUCUUAGAAACAAUUCAGCCUAGAUAUUUCUAGGAAGACAAAACACUCAGCUUGCCGAAAAUUUUUCAACCUUGCCCCGACUCGAAACCGGCACCGAUGUUUCAAAUAGUAGGGGCCCUUCUACUACCUUCCACACAAGUUCCAAUUUCGCAUUCGCGUCUAGUUUCAAAAUUUCCAGUUCGCUCUAGCCGUUAAUUUUACAACUCUCUCACAUGUUAACACUAACUAAGUGUGUAAUCUAAUAUUUUAAGGCUAGUAGAAUCCAAUUCAUAGUCAACAAUUUAACAUAAACAUUUAACAUAAGAAAUAAGGCUUACUUGGCUGGCUGACUGGUACACCGCGACAUCUUUCACUACUAGUCUUCAGAAAGUUUGAAAAAUAUUUUAAAAAGAAAAUAAACUCUUAUAGAGCCUCAAAUUUGAGUCUAGAACAUCCACAAGAAUGCCUAGUUCCCUCAAACUGUGGCUCUGAUACCAACUUGUGACACCCAAUUUUUUUUUUUAAAAAUUUUAAACUUUUAAAACCCAUCUUAAAUUAAAUUAAAACAACUGAAAUAGUCAUAACAUAAUCCAUCAACUUAAUAAUCAUAUAAAAUAAGUGCGGAAGUAAUAAUAAUAAUAAGGUCCCAACAAAAUAACUAGUAGCGAUGUCCCGAUGCUCCAUGUCAAGCCUUAGCCUCUUUAAUCUUAACACCUGAAAAGUUAUAAGGGAAAAACGUAAGCACGAAGCUUAGUGAAUUCAAACACAGACAUUGUACUAACAUUCAUAUUUACUAGCCCUAAUCCAUUUUCCAAUUAUAAUGAUAAAGGCAAAGAACGAAUCAAUGUCUAUAUUACGAGAAGGACUUGUAGGUUUGAACCGCACCGGGAAGAUCCCGUAUCAUUUGGCCCUAAUCACCGCACCUCACGAAGAGUAUUACGUUGGUGAUCUUACCUACCCACCGCACCGGUAAAUCCGUAUCCUUUGGUGGUGUCCCCAUAUCCAUAAUUAGUUACAUACAGUGCACAUGUACGAAUUAAAACAAUACUUAUAUAGCAUGCUUUUAUAAUAAAUUCAAAUAAUCACACACGAGCUAACUAGCAAACACAAUCAUCAAUACAACGGUGUGAGAGAACUCACCUUGAGUGAGUAUUAAGGAUGGCUAACAAUCAAAUAAUGCUACCAAGCUUGAGCAAACUUCAAAACCUCACCUAAGAAGGACUAAAGGUUAGAAAGGAGAAGUAAUGAAGCUAUGAGUUGAGAAAAGAGUAAUCACAGCAAGGUCUCUAAAACAGACCUGCUGUUCAAAACGGAUUUACUCCAAAAUCUAAAACAGAAACAUAGCUUUAACUAAAUUUUAUAGGAAACUAUGAUUGCUCAGGAUUCCACAACUAUAAAGAACUCAUUCUAACUCCAAAAGAUGAAUUAAAUAUGAAUUUUACAAAAUGGUGUAUCACUUCUGUCUCCAACAAUACAGUCAAGUGAUGUUGGCCAAUUCUACCCAACUUGUGAGUAGAAUUCGUCCAAAAGAAAAUUAAGAGAAGUAAAGGACAUACAAGUGAAAGUCUCAGAGUUGGAAUUGAAUGAAAAGCAUCUCUCAAACUCCAGAUAUAAAAUUCACAUUGUGGACAAUCACAGCACUAGCAAAAGCUGGUGACUGCCCACUGACCUGGAGUGUGGAUCCAUUCUAACCAAUUUAUAAUUGGAAAUAACACCCCAUAUUCUCCAGAUCUUAAAUUCAUAAUAUAAGGAACAUAUAGAAACUUGGAAUCACUCUGGAUCCUUUUCCAAGCCUUAGAAAUGAUGAAAACAAAAUGACAUAUCAGAACAGACCCGGAUCAGACCUAACAGCAAAGAUGCCAUUCUUUCACAUAGAUAAAGCCCUUAUCAGUGAGGUUGGCCUUCUUAAGAAAGUUAGCCAACUCAAUUUGUGAACUUUUGGAACUGGUUUGGGGUCCGUUUGAGUUCUAGAGCUCCAGAUAUGAUUUUUACAAAAUGACUACAGAUCUGAUGGAAAACAGAAUCGUAGCCACCCGUGAUUCCUUUUUGGCUUAUCCAUCCUUCUCCUUUUGAAACACAUUUUAAGAUGUGUUCAUCAUCCCAAUUCAGUCCCCAUGAUAAUGGUGGUACUAAAAAGGGUUAGGGAUCAUUAGGAUUUCAUUUAGCCUCAAGGAUGUAAUAAUAAUCAACAUGAAAAUAAACAUAAGCACAUAAAAUCAUCAUUCUCCCUUUUAGGGUUUCCAUGAUCUUUUGCCACAUGUAAUCCCCUAGAUCCAUCAUCCACCAUAUAUGGGGUGAAGAUAGGAUCUUGAGAUGAUGUAUAACAUACAAUUACAAAUAAAAUAAGAAGGAGAAGAGGUGAAGAUGAAAUCAUAAAACUAGAACAAGGUUAUGAAUCAAGUUGUAAGAAAGGAUAAGGAGGUUCAUACCAAUACGAAUCAAGGCUGGAAAUGAACAAGAAUUAAGCUCCAAAUAGCCCCUUGGCUGCUCUUGAUCCCAAAGAGAGAGAGGGGGACGAUUUUUGAGAGAGAGGGAGGGUUUAGAGUGUUUUCCUUGUGUGUGUUCCAAAUGAUUCAAUUUACACAUUAAGUACUAUUAACUAGAUGGACAUUGCAAAUAGGCCCAUAGUCCAUGGACUUCAAAAAGGAGUUUACAAGAUGAUCAAAAGAGUCCAAUAACAUAAGAAAUUAGACAUUGGUUAAAUAAAUUAACCCAAGGUUACAAGGAUAAUUAAAUUAAAAUAACCAAACGUACCGAGAAAACCCGGGGCGUUACAUCUUUCUUCUUUACAAUUAAUACCAGAGCUCCCCAGGGUGAGGAACUCGGUCUAAUGAAUCCUUUACUGAGCAACUCAUUGAGUUGGCUGGAUAACUCCUGCAUUUCUGCUGGAGCUAAGCGAUAUGGAGAUUUCGCCACCGGAGUAGCUCCAGGAAUUAGGUCAAUACGAAAUUCGACCUGACGUUCGGGAGGAAUUCCUGGAAGCUCUUCGGGAAACACAUCAGGAAAGUUACAGACUUCGGGGAUGCUCGCGAGGUCUUUAACUUCCUGUUUCUCAUUGAUUACAUGGGCUAGGAAUGCUUGACAUUUCUUUCGCAAGAGUUUCUGAGCUUUGAUACAGUAAAUGAUACGAAGGUUGGAACUGAGUUUAUCGCCAUAGAUAAUGAGAGUCUGACCUGAAGGAAGGUUGAGACGGAUGGCUUUUUCGAAACAGAGGAUAUCACAUGAUUGGGACUCAACCUAUCCAUGCCAAUGAUGACAUCAAAGCUCUUUAUGGAAACUAGAAUAAGAUCGAUGGGAAAUGAAUGGUCAUUCAGGGUAAGGUUACAACCUACAAACACCUCGUUAGCGCUUUCUUUCUCACCGUUAGCCAUCUCGACGGUAAAAAUUUUGGUUAAUGGUUGGGGAUUAGAUUUAAGAUUAUGUUUGAACGCAUGACUAACAAAGCUUCUUUCAGCACCCGAAUCGAAAAGAAUACUAGCAUAUUAGUUGUCGAGAAGGAACGUACCCGAAACAACGGUGGGAUCGGCGACUGCCUCCUCCCGUCCCAUGGCUAGGACUCUCCCAGUGUUAUCAGUUGUAGUCUUCUUGGGGCAGUUCCUCUUGAAGUGCCCGGCCUCUCCACAAUUAUAGCAAGGUUGACCAAUGCCUGCUCCAGAAGAUUGAUUUGCAGAUUGGACUGGUGCCUUGCAGAAUCGAACCGUGUGCCGCUUUUUACCACAAUUUGUGCAUGACAGUUCGCGGCAGGGGCCGGGGUUGUGGCAGUAUCUACACUUGUCACACAAGGGAAGAUUACCAGCAUAUCUGCUAGUAGGAGUUUGAGCUGUAGAUCCCACAACAGAAGCAACAGCAACGGGGGUAGUAGCAGCAUGGACCGCUACAGUCUGCUGUUUCUUUGAGGAUCCUUGAGAAGAUUGACCCUUCUUCUUCUUCCAGAACUUUAUUUUCUCACCACUUCUCUUGGUCGGUUCAGGAGUGGUAGUUGCCUCUUCAAUAUCAUCACUGUGGUCAACUAAGGUCUGGGCUAAACUCUUGGCGCUGUCAUAAGUAGCCGGUCGUGCAGCUAAGACGUUUCCUUUGGUUGGUUGGUUCAACCACCAAAUGAAACUCCCUAUCUUCUUACUUUCAGGAGUAACCAAUCCCGGGCAGAGGAGUGCAAGAUCAUCGAAUCUAGAAGUGUAUGCAGCAAUAUCGGAACCUUUCAUCUUUAAGUUCCAGAGCUCGUGCUCUAAUUUCUGCAUCUCGCCCCGAGAGCAGUAUUCAGCUAUGAGGAGUUCUUUCGUGGCUUCCCAACCCAUGGCAUUGGCUAUAGGUAGGGUUAAGGAUUUGAGUCGGCCGUUCCACCAAGUCAGGGCUUUGUCGAGAAAGGUACAGGCUGUGAAUUUUACUUUAUCUGAUUCCGAACAUGCACAAAUUUCAAAGAUAGAUUCAAUUUUCUCGAACCAUCGGGAAAGGGAAAUGACACCUCCAGUGCCAUCGAAGGAUGUAGGUUUUGCGUUCAUGAAAUAUUUAUAGGACCUUUCCUUUCGGUGUCCCUGAUUGCUUUCUUGAUCCUGAGUUUGAGUACGACCUCCUGAACCACCGGAACCACCGGUGUUCAAUUGAGACAUAGCAGCUGCCACCGCGGCAUUAACAGCUGCCUGAAAUACUACAGGGUCAAUUUCAGGAGGAGGUGGUGGCGGAGGAUUGUUGGUCUUUGAGCUGGAUCUUUUUCUUGGAGGCAUCUUGAUCUAAUAAGAUCAAGAAAGAGAGAGGAUGAUAAGUCCUCUGAAUUGAAUUAAGAGAUAUGACAGGUAUAUACAUUCCUAAUAAGCGAUAAAGCAUGAAAGAUUUAUCGAAGCAAAUAAAUUAUCGCUAACGGAAUAAUCAAGAACAAUGCAGGAAUGAGGAUUUCUAACAAGGAUUGGCUCGAGAAAUACUCCCAUAGUAUUUUAAGAUUCACUACGACACUGGCUCGAUGUUCGUGGUAUUAGGGUAAGUUUUAGGCAUGCCGCAUACCACAGUCACUCCCAAGCACAUGUUGGCCGUGUCUCGAAUGAAUAUAGUUGCCCAGGCUAUAUUGAUCCUAGACACGACUACAUAACUGCCCAGGUUUAAGCGUAGUACACAACACCCAUUUAUUUAUGUUUUGUUCUACUUGUAGUUACAGAUCUUGACGGUUCGGUAUACUUGUAUACUUUUGAAAAUACUUAUAUUUUGAAGGAUACUUUUAAUUCAGAGCACUGAGGCCCUUUAGUGUUUAUAGUUUUAUACCAUGUAAGGUUUGGUAUACUUUAUUCACUAUAAACAAGGGAUCUGAUACCAAUCUAUCACACCCCGAAAACCGAAGGCGGAAACAUUUCCGGGGUUGACUCCACGUUGAGUAUCAAAUCCAAUGCACAUAGUAAGUAUAGUAAACAACCAUUACAUUACAUGUAGAAAGGUUUACAUUUAUUUCAAAAGUAAAGUUAUACAGUUGUGAUACAUAGUAUAUAUGAACAAAAUGAGACGAGUCUUCCGCGUGUUCCGUCUUCGCUAAAAAAGAAUCAUCGGGUACCUGUCUAAAGCGGUUUUGUUUUGUGAAAAUGUACUAGUUCCUUUCUGUUUCUGAAAAUGUUACAAUCAAGAAAAUCCCAUAUUUUCUUAAUAGUUGGUUUUUGAAACACAAAAUGUAAUGUAAAGAUGUACACUGAAAACAUGUUUACCCUUGUGAAAUGUAAAGUUAGGUUAUCUGGUUUGUUACACUGUUCUGAAUAUGUACAAAUGUUUCCCCAGGAAAAUCCCAUAUUUUCGUGAAUGUUGGUUACCAAAUGUGAAAGAUGUAAACUGAAAACCCGGUUAUCAUUGUGAAAUGUAUUAGUUUUAACACAUAUAUAAAACUAACAUAUACAAAGUAAUUUAAUUACAUUAUUCACUAUUACUAUUAAGUAAAUCUCUGUUAUCAUAAUUGCGAGUUCCAUAACCAUACAAUAGACUAGAUAUGGCAAUAAGUAGUCCACAUCACCUUAUGAAUUUCGUCACCCUUGAACCAUUUCGGUUCGGUUGUAGCCAGCAGCCAAGUGUGGGGUAGUCAGCCCCGUAUAGAUCUAUACACUCAAGUCACGCUCCCUAUCUAAGAGAUUCUGGUUACGGGUGCGGUCCUCCACUCGUGUAUCUCUGUGGAGUGUUCACCGAGGACGUGUCUCCAAUUAUAUAGGAUUACCAAAUAUACUAGUAAUUAUAUGAUAAUCCACCACUCGCGUAUCUCUGUGGAGUGUUACCGAGGACAAAACGGUGUACUAACUUUUAUGUUAAAGGUUCAAUUGUCAUGCUUUUAACUGAUAAAAUAUGGAAAAACAUUUGUGAAAUAUAUAAAAUACAACAUUUUUUGACAUAUUCCACUAAUAAUAUGUUUACGUGUUCUGCAUGUUCAAACAAUUAUCUGUUAUGUCUAUCAGUGUUAAAAGCAUAUGAAGUUAUUAAACACACAUAUGUAAAACAAGCUUUUGAGUACAAGUAUUCCUUGUACUUUGCUUGUAUUGCCCCCCUGAAAACAGUGAAAACCAGUGAAAAAGGGUAGGGGUAUGAACUCACCAGACGGGAAAAUGCGACGAUUUGAAUGCUAAGCGUUGGUUUGGGGCUUGAUAACUCACGAGGUUCCUACGUAAUAUGAAAUGGUAUACAAAUGUAUCUAAUUAGACUUUAAAACACUAAUUAUAUAUGAUAACACACUCCAAUGAGCGAAAACACUUCAAUUCAAGUGUUUGGAAUGACCCGGGUAACAUCCACAGACGUGUGGGACUUAGGAAAUGAGUUUACUCUUCAAGAGUAAACUCCUCAUGGAGUUUACGACCCAUUGACCAUAUUCCCAUGAGUUUACGACCGUAAACUCAUGGAUGGUGGGUUCUUGGAUGCCAAAUGGUCAUACAAUGCACACGGGAAGUUCUAGGGUUGAUUCCAUGGCUUAGGAAGUGAUCGGGACUUGAAAUGGCCUUGGGAAAUCAGUUUAAGGUCUAAGGAGAUGUUCUUGGGGAGUUUACUACCUUAAACUCAUGAGUUUACAACAUUAAACUCAUGUUUGUCCAUGAAUCAAGGGCUUUUGGUGGUUGUAAUUCAAUCACAUGUGAUUCUAAUUCCAAAACUAAGCCAUUCAAGGGGUUUAAGGCACCUUAACACCCUUUGGGGGGUGUUUACGGCCUAAGGAGGUGGGUUUACGGUCCAAGAAUGUUCUUGGGCCGUAAACUCAAGUUUUAUGCAUUUGAGGAUGUUUUGGUGCAUCACAUGAAGGUUUAUGGGGUUCUACACGCCCGUAGAAGAAUUUUGAAGGUGUUUAAGGGCAUACUAACACCCAACAAGGUGUUUAAGCUCUAUGAAUGAGCGUUUACGGUCCAAGAACAUGCUUGGGCUGUAAAAUCAUGUCCAAGCCUCAUUUGUUGCGAUUUUGGGGUCCUAAGCUCAUGCAUGCAAAUUUCUAAGUCGAAUCUAGACCCUAGAAGUGGAUUGAAGGGGUUUUGGGGCUUCAAAACCCUCUUUAGAGGAGUUCACAGUUUUGGGAGGGCCCCCAAACCGUGAACACAUAUUCAUAGGUGUUUUGGGUGAUUCGAACAUGAAUUUGAAUGAUAACCAAGCUUAGAAACAUGCUAGGAUAGAUUUCUUACCAAAAUGAAGCUUGAAAUGAGAUUUUUUGGCCAAAUUUUGAGUUCUAGAGAGAGAGUAGUGAGAGAAAGUUGUGAGAUGGGCAAAAGUCUUCAAAUUUUGUCCACACAACCUUUUUAUAGUGGUUGGGUUUGGUACCCAGUGGAAUUUUACCCGAUACAAACGAUAUACGAUGCUUUUGGUCGCACCGGAUAAAGUUGUCGUAACUCGUUAUGGUCGAAACUAAAAAUUUACUAAUAUUAAUUUAGAAUUAUUUCCUUGAGUUAUUAUAAUGUUUGAACAUCCAUAAAUCAUAAUAAACAACCAAAAAUAUUAUGACUUAAUUUAAUAACGAAACCGGAAAUAAUUCGAAAACGACGAAUUUAUUAACGGAACGAGUAACAAUAAUGGAAAGAAUUUUCGGGUUGUUACACAUGUGGCAUUACAAUGGUCCAACAUCUCAUAAUCAUCAAGGCCCAGAUAUGGCCCAUCUAUGGCCCAAUUUUCUAAAUUAGGCCAAACCCCUCAUAUGAGCAUUACCCUAAUGCCCAUUCACAUAUUAUUAGUCCAUAAAGUUGUUCUUGAAUGACCCAUUAUUAACCCAAUCACCAAAGCCCAAUGGAAAGGCCCAACUCAAGGUGUGAGAACCUGAAAUUUUUUUCCUCGAAAAGCCCAUCCAAUAAACUCAAUUGAGUGUUAGACUCAUUUCUGCUAUCAUUUAGCCUUGUUUAGAGUCCGUUUCAAGGUUCAAAGAUGAGUACAUUCAAGCAUUGAGUAUAGGAAUGGAUCGCGUACACUUCUAGAACCAAAAUCGAGCCUUACACUCAACUUAAAGGAGUGUACGACCAUACACUUGGGUGUGCGGCCACACACCCCUCUCCUGGCAGCACACUCACAUGUAUAAGUUUAUAAAUCAGCCUCCUUUCAUCCCUUUUCACACUCUCAAGCCUAGAAUACGAUUUCUCUGUCAACUAUCAUUCGCUUUGCAGCCUUGAUUUUUGAGUUAGUAAGUGUUCUUACUUAGAUUUGUUGUUAACCCUUUCAAACUAGUAACACUCUUUGAUUUCAUCCAUUAGAAAUCAUGUUUUGGCUAGAUCUUCAAAUCUUCAACCAUUUCACCAAGAACACCAAGAACACACACUUGUUCAUGGUGAUUUUUAGUCUUCUCGAGCCUCUAGAUCGUAAGUACUCUUUCCUAAUGCUUGAAUCUUGUUUAGAACACUAGUUUAAGUCCUUGAAAGUCCCCAUAACUCAAGAACACAAGGUAUGUGCAGCCGCACACACAAGUGUGGCCGUACACUCCUCAAAACAUCCUUAAGUCAACCUCAAAACACCCUUAAUGGCUUCCAUAUUGUAAGUACCAUCCCCUAAGCUUGUUACUUACAAGAUAUGACCCUUACAAAAAGUCCAAACCAUGUUGAUCAAGGUGUGUGCAGCCGCACACACUCCAUGUGGUCGUACACCCCUUUGUUUAGUGCUUAAGGGACUCCAAAGUGCCUUUCUAGCUUGAACACUUGAUGAGAAUUAAUCCUACAAACCUCCCUACCCUUGGAAAACGUUUUUGUGCACUCUUUACCUUGAGUGUGCGGCCGCACACCCAUGGCCGCACAAUCCUCAAAGUGGUCGUACACUCCCUUAACUUGAAUCACAUGUGAUUCUAACACUCGGACAAAGUGUUUCCUAGUCUCGUAAGGUGUUGCCUUGCAUUUGGUUGAUUCUAAACAUUAUAUUUAUGUCAAUAUAUGCCAUUAUAUGUCAUUUAGAACUCGUUAAGUCUCGGGACUUUAUUUGUGGAACUUCUUAUCCUUACACGCAUAUUCGUUUGAAUCACCCACAUAAGGUGAGUUCAUACCCGUAUAAUCAAUCUUUUAAAUGUUUUAAUUGCUUUUAAGGGGGGAAUAUAAGUUGAACGUAAUGAUAAUUGUGUAAGUGUUUUGUGAUAAACAUCUUUAUAAGGAUUGAUUAUGUCUUAUUAAGUGAUCAAUUCAUUGCAAAAACUCUUUUAAAAGUUAUGUUACUUUAUGGUUUAUAAAACUCAAUUUUUAUAGUGAAAUCCUAACUUAGUUGAUAAGUGAGUCAUUAUUUCAAAGUUGUAACAAUUCAAACAAACAUACUAGUAAACUAUGAUAAGUAUAGUUUAAGAAUUUAGUUCAUACUAUAACUAGUACAAAGAGCUCACACUAUAAACUAGUACAGAGAGUUCAUACUUGAAUUAGUAUAGAGAGGAACAUACUAUAACUAGUACGGAGAGGAACAUACUACAACUAUAACAUAAGGAACAUACUAUAACUAGUACGGAGAGGAACAUACUACAACCAUAACAGAAGGAACACACUACAACUAUAAGAGAAGGAACAUACUGUAACUAGUACAGAGAGGAACAAACUACAACUAUAACAGAAGGAACAUACUAUAACUAUAAUUGAAGGAACAUGCUACAAUUAUAACACAAGGAACAUACUAUAACUAUAAUAGAAGAACAAAUCAUGAAAUUACUCAGAAAUUACCAUAUUUGCACAAACAACAGUACAAAUACAACGUACCAGGGUUAGCAAACACGAGGUACAACGUUAUAUCGGGUUUCAAUAACAAAGGUACAAAUACAACGUACCAGGGUUAGCAAACUUGAAGAAUGACACUAACAUCAUACCGGGUUUCAAUAACAAUGGUACAAAUACAAUGUACCAAGGUUAGUAAACUUGAAGAAUGACACUUACAUCAUACUGCGUUUCAAUAACAAAGGUACAAAUACAGUGUAACAGGGUUAGCAAACACGAAGUAUGAUACAAGAAGAACAUUAAACAUAAGUAAAUUGUGUAACAUAAACAUUCAGUUAGAAGAUGACUUAUAAUGCUAACUUUAUAGUUUCUCGGUAGAUACAUCAAUUGAGUCCAACAGAUAGUAGAAUGUGUGCUUUCCGCUUCAUUUGUUGUUCCUUCAAUGGUUGUGGGUUUAGAACAUAUACACUCAAUCUACUAUCUAUUCAAUCUUGACUAAAUAUAUAUUUCGUAUGCACCAAGUAAUCAUAAGGAGUACCAGGUAUAGGUCAGGUCAUAGUAUACAAAUUCAAUACAUCGUUUUCUAGUACAAAAACAUACUUUUAGAAAGAAAAUUGAGUAAACUGAACUAGAAACUUAACAGUGAAAGGUUUAAUCCAUUUUAUUAAACCAGUACAACUUAAAGGACCUUAAGUAGUAAAUUCUAGAAUACCUUAGUUUAUGCAUCAGGGUUAUAUAUAUAUAUAUAUAUAUAUAUAUAUAUAUAUGAAAUAUCUGAUAGAUAGUGAAAUGUGUGCUAUCUGCCUUACUUCCUGUUCCUUGUUUCGUUUUGGGCUUAGGGCAGAUUCAUAGAAAUAACUAUCUGUUCAAUAUUAGAUCAUAUAUAUAACGAGUGUAAACUAAGUGAUCAUAGAAUGAACUAUUGAGGUUACUAUUUUUACUAUAGGAGCUAUUACAAUUAACUCCAUGAGUACCAAAUGAAUGCACCAGAGUUAUAGACAAUGAAGAUCUAACAAACAAUGGGAUGUGUGACUUCUGCCUCAUUUUCUGUAUUCUAUAUAACUUAUAUUCAAUUAGUACUCAUAGAAAGGAUUGUAGAGUCAUUUAUACUUAUUUUUAAACAUAUCAGAAGGUAUAGGUUCUUCUGAGGAACAGGCAAACUUUUCUAAAAGAGCAUUCAAAUUAAUAAUACAUCACUUAAAUACUUUUGAACUCACCAGCUUAAAUGUUGAUCAUCUCUUUCAAAAAAACUUGUAUUCUCAAGUAACUAGUAGAUAGGUGCAUGUGCUGGAUUCAGAAGAUGGAGCGUAGUAGCUUCAUGUCUUGUUUUGUCAUUUACUUGUGUAAUCUAUCUUUUGUGAAACACUUUCUUCUAAUGAAAUGGUUGUUUAUUACUUUGAUUACUAUGAUGCAUGUCUUGUGAUACUAAAAAUGAAGUCCUCCGCCCCUGAACGUUAAAUACAACGGGGCCAAAGUGCUCUGGAUAAUAAUAUAUUUUAAAGGUAUAACAAUACCUUAUAAAAGUAUACAUACAUGCUUAAACAUACUAGAACAAGUAUCACAAGAAGAACAGAAUAGAAGUAUUUAAAGGUUGAACAUUGCAGUCAAACCUGGACAGUUAUGUAAUCACAACUAGAAUCAAUAUAGCCUGAUCAACUAUAUUCAUUUGAGAUGUGAAUGACAUGUGUUGGGGAGUGAUGUGGUGUUGCAACAGCCUUAAAACUUACCUAACUUUAUUCAAAUAAUUUCAAGAUCAGUUCAUAAAGAUAAAAUACUAUGGAGGUAUUUUAUGAUACUAUAAGACCACAAUAAGUUUAAAAUAUAUCAAGUUCAAUACAUUAAAAUACUAUAGGAGUAUUUUAGGCACUACAAAUAACUUAUGUGAGAACUUAAAAGACCCUUCUGGAAGGUCUAUGAUUCCGGAAUGUAUACGUCUAAGGGUUUAUAUAAUUGAGAUUUUAUAGACUUAUAAUUUGUGGUCUAUGCUCCACUUCAUGUUCAUUGUUUGGUUUUGUUUUUGGAGUAAGAUCACUUAUUCGAAGGUCUAUUUAAUCUUAAAUUAUAUACAACUUGUAUACAUUGUGCAAUUAUAGGAGGACCUAGAAAGGAUCACCCCAUAAUGUUACACUCUAACUCAUAAGUUCUUUAGACAUUUCUAUUCUCGCACGACAAACCCCGAUGGAUGUAAACACUUCCUCAUAGCGGUUAGCGGAAGAGUCAAGGAGGAACAAGAAAAAGAUUUAUGAGAAGUUUUUCAGAGGAGGAUCAGCCAGAGAAACUAAACCAUUCUUAUGCGUCACACUAAUAAAUAAUAACCUUAAUUGACUUAGUGAGUUAGUGAAUACACUACUCACACUAUGUGUUAAGAUUAUUACUUUUCUUGCAGCCAAUAAUAGAUAUUCAGUUCACAAAAUUUCAUUCGAGGAUAACCACUUCUGAUUCUUGAAGUUUAUCUCAUAUAUAGACCUCCAUUAUGAAUUAUUUUUACAGAACCCUAUGAAAGUCAGAACCAGAUACACUUGGAAGAAAGGAUAACUUAGUUCAAAUAUCAUUCGUACAAAACCCACUUCUACUUACUAGUAUGGACAUAUCUCAGAAAUGUUGACAGAAACAUUGAGAGUAAUCCAGUAAAGAGUUAAAAUUGUUUAAAUACAUUUAAGUUGAUGGGUUACAUCUAUUGAUGACCAUCAUUACUCAAGAAAUCAUUCUUCGCUAUGUAAUAGAAUCAUGUCUUCACAGGAAGGAAACCAAUAAACAGACGAGGAACCAAUUCUAUAGAUAGACUCUGCUACUUUUCAGGCUGCGGUCACAGCUGAUGUGACAACCGUCAUGACAUAUUUCAAUGCUAAUGACAUCAGUGGAAGCGGAAACUGUGCCAGUCAUGCUAAUCGCUGUAACAAUCACGGGAACUAGCGAGUUUCUGUUGACAUUAGUGGAAGCGGAAACUGUGCCAGUCAUGCUGAUGUGACAACCGUCAUGACUACCCCUAUGGUCACAACAUCUGAUACUUCAUCUACCACUACAACCCCCGACAAGUGAUAUGUUGGAAAUCUCCCAAAGUGCAACAAAUGCAACUACCACCACCAUGGAACUUGCCGAGAGAUGCAAUGUACCAAUUGCAGCAGGAAGGGGCACACUUCUCAUUUCUGCAAGGCAUCAACACAACCAAUGUCCCAAUUAAAACAUAUUUGUUUCAAGUGCAGUGAAUUUGGACACUUCAAGAAGGAAUGCCCAACAUAGAGAAAUGAUGAAGGAGUUCGCUUCUAGGGAACUCCAACUCAACCCAUCACUUCAACCACUGAUGCUAGUGUAGUUCAAGUAUGCUAUACAUGUGGUGAAAUGGGACAUACCAAGAAAGUCUGUCCAACAGAGAGAAGUGACGGAGGAGAAGCAGGAAUUUAACGACUUCACAAAAAGGAGUAUCGAAGGACCCCUCUUUUGAAAUUUUGGUACGCCUUUUAAAAGUAGUUAUAAAAACAUUUAAAAGUAGUUAUAAAAACUUGUUCAAUUCACAAUAUUCACAAGAGAACUAAAGAUCCAUUCAGGGAAGCUAUUAUAACUUAGUAUGUACAUUAGAUUUGUGCAUAACUAAGAUUUUGCUGACUUAGAGUGAGUGAUUCAACCUUAAUUCCUGUUCCUUAUCUGGUUGUGAAUUUAAGGCAGAGUUACUCAAUCGACCGUCUUAUUCAUCUUAAUUAUACAUAACUUGUACAUGCCAGGCGAUCAUAGAAGUACCAAAGAGGAUCGAAACGUAAAGUACUGACACUAGUUAUCAAAAUACUUGCACUAUUAGUACUUGCUCAUCGCGGUACGUUUGUGACGGUGGUAAUAUCAAGGAGAAAACAGAAAGCACUAGAACGUUUACACAAAAUACAUAUCCAAACACAUUCAGAAUACACCGUCUUAAAAUCAGCGUUUCUUUUAAAUCGGCCUAACAUUUAUUUCUAUAAAUAGUCCGAUGUCAUCUUUCGUCAUGAGUUGGCGUGGUCCUCCCCAUACUAAGUUCAUAUGUUUCUAUCGCUUUGAUCAUCAAAUUCACAAAACCGUUGUCAUUCAUAAUGACAGUCCGACCCAGAUUUCGAAAAUUGUCUAUCUCGUAUUCUAAAAUCCAAAGUACUCAUGAGAAGAGUACUUUGCUCUCCGAAACCAUAUCGUCGUACAUUCAGAAGACUCUUCUGUAAUACCACUCGUUCAACAGAUCAAGUUCAAGCACAAAGAAUAAGGACGAAUACAGCCUACCUAUCACUCUUAAGUGUAUACACUAGAGUGGUAUAUAAUUAUUAUUACGCGAUAUGUGUGGUUCCACCCUAUCUCCUAUUCCUUGUUUGGUUGUGGACCUAGGGCAGAGUCGCACGUCCGAACGUCUUACUAAUCCAAAUUAUAUACGACUUGUAUACAAGAGGUAAUGAUAGAUGGACUGAGUAUGAAUCCUAUCAUGGACAUUUGGGCAAAGUUGCUAGGUCUACGAGUGAGUAUUCUGCCAAUCAGAGGAGUGCAACCCCAGUAGUAGUUCAAAGAAAAGCUAAUUUGGGGAGAAAAUUCCAUCUAACGGGGGGAUAAUGUGACAACUCGAAAAUUUUCGCCUUAUAAAGCCCAUCCAAUAAAAUCAAUUGAGUGUCAUACUCGUUUCUGCUAUCAUUUAGCCUUGUUUAGAGUCCAUUUAAAGGUUCAACGCUCAGUACAUUCAAGCAUUGAGUAUAGGAAUGGAUCGCGUACAGUUCUAGCACCAAAAUUGAGCCUUACACUCUAACUAAAGGAGUGUACGGCUGUACACUUGGGUGUUCGGCUGCACACCCCUCUCUUGGAAGCACACUCUCAUGUAUAAGUUUAGAACUCAGCCUCCUUUCAUCCCUUUUCACACUCUCAAGCCUAGAACACGAUUUCUCUCUCAACUAUCAUCCGAUUUUCAGCCUAGAUCUUCGAGUUUGUAAGUGUUGUUCCUUAUAUUUGUUGUUAACCCUUUCAAACUAGUAACACUCUUUGAUUUCAUCCAUUGGAAAUCAUGUUUUGGCUAGAUCUUCAAAUCUUCAACCAUUUCACCAAGAAGACCAAGAACACACACUUGUUCUAGGUGAUUUUUAGACUUCUCGAGCCUACGGAUCGUAAGUAAUCUUUCCCAAUGCUUGAAUCUUGUUUAGAACACUAGAUCAAGUCCUUGAAAGUGCCCAUAACUCAAGAACACAAGGUGUGUAUGGCUGUACACACAAGUGUGGCCAUACACUCCUCAAAACAUCCUCAAAACAACCUCAAAACACCCCUAAAGGCUUCCAUAUUGUAAGUACCAUCCCCUAAGCUUGUUACUUUCAAGAUAUGAGCUUUAGAAAACUUCCAAACCAUGUUCAUCAGGGAGUGUGCGGCCGUACACACUCCAUGUGGUCGUACACCCCUUUGUUUAGUGCUUAAGGGCCUCCAAAGUGCCUUUCUAGCUUCAACACUUGAUGAGCAUUAAUCCUACAAGCCUCCCUACCCUUGGAAAAUGUUUUUGUGCACUCUUUACCUUGAGUGUGUGGCCGCACACUCCCUGGUCGCACAUCCAUGGCCGUACACUCCUGAAAGUGGUCAUACACUCCCUUAAAUUGAAUUACAUGUGAUUCUAACACUCGGACAAAGUGUUUCCUAGUCCCGUAAGGUGUUUCCUUGCAUUUUGUUGCUUCUAAACAUUAUAUUUAUGUCAAUAUAUGCCAUUACAUGUCAUUUAGGACUCGUUAAGUCUUGGGACUUCAUUCGUGGAACUUAUUAUCGUUACACGCAUAUUGGUUUGAAAUACCCACAUAAGGUGAGUUUAUACCCCUAUACUUAGUCUUUUAAAUGUUUUAAAUGCUUUUAAGGGGGGAGGGGGAUACAAGUUGAAAACAAUGAUAAUUUUGUAAACGUUUUGUGAUUGUUGAAUCAAAAAGUGACCCUCUUGAAGCUCAGCUACCGCAGCCUCCAAGCCACCGCAGUCAAGCCGCUUCAUCAGCAGUCAUCAACCGUAGUCUCUAUCUUCCGCAGUCUCUAUCUAGAUUAUGCUACUUUGUAGUUUCUGUAAUACACUCUAUUAUCCAGUAGGCCUUGCAUGGCUACUCUUAGAGUUGUAAACUAGUAAUCUUUGUGAGUCUCUAUAAAUAGAGCUCAUUCUCAUGUAAUCAAAAAGUGAAUGUCGGAAGUGUAUCACGUCUUUUUCUAAUACACAUCUCUGAAGUUAUCUUUCUAUCUUACUUAUUCACUUCUCUUACUCUCAUAAUCAAUCACAACCUCUCUUCGGAGCAAGUCCUUUGUGACUUAAUCAUUAAGUUUGAUCUCAGUUAUUAACUUGGCUUGAAUGCAUUCCUCGUUAUGAAUCAGCUUAUGGGUAUACUUGAUAUAACAAUUGUUGUCAUUUACAUUUCUUUACUUUUCCGCAACUAAAUCUCUAACUUCCAACUCUUAAUAUUAUUGUUAAGCUUUUAGAUCCUUCGAGAUUAACUAUUCAGCUAUAUACUUGUUCUAACGUUUAUUCAUGUGUGUCUCAAAGUUUUUCCCUCAACAAUUGGUAUUAGUGCCAUAGUGGUUGCUUUUUGAAAAUCGGAACUCUAAUUUUUCGAAAAGCCUUCUAUACCACUGAAGCUCAUUUCUAAAACAAAAAAAAAACUUCAAAACAUGGCACAAUCAUUAUCUAUGAAUGUUUCCAACAGUGUUGGUGUUUCUAAUCGAGCCCCAAUACUGGUUGCAAACGGAUAUCAUCAUUGGUCACAAAGAAUGAAAAGAUACUUAAGAAGACUUGGUAGAGAUGUAUGGCGAUCCAUAGAAGAAGGACCACAUGUUCCAGUCCUUACACUAGUGUAAAUUGACGAAGCUACAACAAGACUAGGAGGAGGUCAACCAACUAUGAGCCGUCGCACCAAGGAUGAUCUUGAUAAAAUGGAAAAUGAUGCUGUUGCUUUUUAUGAAAUUUCCUAUGGAGUUGCUCCUGACAACUUCGAUAUUAUCAUAAAUUGCAAAUCAGCAAAAGAGAUCUGGGAUGUUCUCAAGAAUCUGUACGAAGGCUCAGAGCAAGCUCAUGACAAGAAGCUCACAACUACACUCAAUGAGUUCAACAACUUCAAAGCUCACACUGGCGAAUGUUUGGAAGACUCCUUCAAAAGAUUCAACCUGAUUGUCACCAAGUUAUCCAAUGCAGGCACCAUCCAUAGUAACCAUGAAACAAACCUUCAGUUCCUUAAUGGCUUCGGACGACAUUGGACUAUGGCCAAAAAGACAUUCCAAGAUGAUAGAAAGAUUCAUUCCUUGUCACUCUACAAACUCUAUGGGGAACUUCAAGCACAGGAAUCCACCGUACUGAAAGACUGUGCUGACUUCGGAUGACCUCUUUCUCUCAUAGCACCAAACCCACAAAACCAAUCUUACACUCCCUUGUAUGAUACUUCACCGCAGUCAUACAAAGCUGAUUUAGAGUAUAGCGAUGAAGAAGAAUUUCAAAAGGCAAUCGCUCUCGUCAGCAAACAAUUCCAUCGACUACCUGUAGAGGUUGAAUUUUUAAUGUCGAAAUGUCUGUUUGUGUAACAACCCAAAACUUUGCUUCCUCGCCGUAACCGUUCCGUCAAAACUCGUCUUAAGAGAAUUGUUCCGAUUUCGUCCUGAACUAGGUCAAUUAAGUCAAAACCUUUAUUUUGACUUGGUAAGUAUCCAAACAUGUUGGAAACAUGCGAAAACGUCCCGAACUAGUAAUUUGAAAAAUUAUAGUUUCGACCAAAUCGGGUAACGACAACUUAAUCGGGUGCGACCCAAAGUAUCGGUUAACGUCGGUAUCGGGUAAAAUUCCACCGUUUUUCCAAUUCAAACCAUAUUUAAAGUGAAUUAAGACUCAUUUGGAGCCUUUUCACUCUCUCUCUAACCUCUCUCAUCAAAUCCAUAUUGUUAAGCCAAAAUCAACCAUUUCAAGCCUUAAAACACCAAGGUAAGCAUCCUAGCUCCUAGUAUAACAUCCUUAGGCUUCAUUUUCGUGUUUAAAUCAUGGGAUAAGACCAUAAACAUGUGUUUACGGCCCUGGAUCAGCCUUAGGCCGUGAAUACAUGUAACUGGGGUUUUUGAGCCUUUAAACCCUUCCAAAUCACCAUAGGAGCUUAGAUAUGGCUUAAGGACUUAUUGGAAUGGACUUGGAACACCUUGAAUAUCAUUUUUAAGGAGUAAAAAAGAGUUUACUGCCCAAGAACAAGCUUGGGCCAUNUAAACUCAUUUAAAUGGGUGGUAAACUCCUCUUUUGGGUGUUAAAAUGCAACUUACACACCCCUUAGGCUUUGGAAUACAUUAAGGAACCAACCAAAAAUGAUUUAGAGGCCUUAAACAUUUCAUAACUCUCUAAAUGAGAGUUUACGGCCAGAGAAUAUGCUCCAGGGCCGUAAACUCCUAGAUAGAUGCCAUUUGAAGCCCUAAACUCACUCCAAGCCUUGUAAAAAUUAGUUGAAUCACUUGUGAUUAAUCCUUGGCCUUCAAAAUAAUUUAGUUGGAUGCGGGUGAGAGUUUACAGCCGUAAACAGUUAGUUUACUACCGUAAACUCAUAAAUUGGUCCUUAUGGUUGAUUUAAUUCCUUGAUAAUGCCCUAGAACCAAACCUAGCAACACCCUUCAUUUGAUUUAAGGCCAUUUAUCUCAUAAAAACACCCACCAUGAGUUUAUGGCCAUAAAAUCAUGGGGAUGUGGUGUUUAGGCCAUGAACACUCCUUAGAGUUUACUCUUGGAGAGUAAACUCCAUAUCCUAGCCAUUCAUGUCCAGAAAAGUCACCNAAACUCUAUAUCCUAGCCAUUCAUGUCCUGAAACGCCACCCGGGUCACUUCAAACGCUCAUUUUGGAGUGUUUUCGCGUCUUAGAAUGUUCAAGUGUAUCUAAUUAGUUAUUUAAAUCUAAUUAGAUAUAUAUUGUGUAUUAUUUAAUAUUACAUAGGAACAUCGCUCGUAUUCAAGCCUCGGUUCGACGUUUAGCAUCACAUUCGACACUUUCCGCGUCCGGUGAGUUCAUACCCCUACGCCUUUUCAAUGGUUUUUCAAUGUUUUCAGGGGGGAAUACAAGCAAGAGUACAAGAAUAUCUUGUACUUAAACUUAUGAUUUUAGUUAAAUGAUUUCAUACUUGUACAUUUUUAAGGAUUGAAAACCCUUUUAACAAACUGUUUUAACUUGCAGAGUUAUAUGUUUAAAAACGGAUUUUCAAUUCUUAUUAUAUACUGUCAUAUUAUAUACUUCACAUUUGAUUGUUCAUACUUAUAUUGAUAGAAAACAUAAAACAUUGUAAAGUCUGUAAUAAAAUACCAUAGGUAGGAGUAUAAAAGUCAGACACCAUAAAGAACACAUAAAUCUUCGGUAUGUCAUUAAUAAUGCACCUCGGCUCGAGUGUAAAUGGAUAUUCGUCAUUAGAAAACAUAGAACAUUUGUAAUGUCUUUAAUAAUGCACCUCAGCUCAAGUGUAAAUGGAUAGUCGUCAUUAGAAAACAUAGAACAUUUGUAAUGUCUUUAAUAAUAACACCUAGGCCCGAGUGUAAAGGACAGGCUCAUUAGAACUUAGUUAGUCGUAGAUACUACUUCUCCUAGGCGAGAAGUAAUGAGAAAUUUUAAAGAUUGGAGACACGUCCUUGUAGCACUUCCUCGACACGAGAUAGUGGAGGACUAACCCUGUAACCAGAAUCUCCGAACGUAGGAGAGCGUGACUUGAGUGUAUAGAUCUAUACGGGACUGACAAUCCCGCACCUGGCUGCUAGCUACAGCCGAACCGAAAGGUUCAAGGGUGACGAAAGUCAUAAAAAGGAUACUGGCCACGACUCGAGUCAUAUCUAGUCUGAGUAUGGUUAAGGACUCACAAUCUAUAUUAUUAAUGUUUUAGACUCAUUUUUCUAGCUUUAUGUACGUAGUAAAGCUAAUGUACGUUCAAGGAUGACAGGCACACACGCACACAUUCAGGAAAACAUGGGGUUUUCCUAUGGAUAACAAUGAACAUAACCAGAAUCAGUAAUGACGCACACACACACACAUUCAGGAAAACAUGGGGUUUUCCUAUGGAUAACAAUGAACAUAAUCAGAAUCUGUACCAGUUAGCAUACACAGAAUUGGUAAUAGUACACACACACAUUCAGGAAAGCAUGGGGUUUUCCUAUGGAUAAUAAUGAACAUAAUUGGAAUGAGUAUCAGUUAGCUCACACAGAACCAGUAAUAGUUCACACUUACACAUAUAGGAAAGUAUAGGAUUUUCCUGAGUAACAGCAGUUUGUAACCAGAUGAGUAUAAUAAGUUAAAUAACUAAACUUUACAAAUUAUAAGAACAAUCAUGUUUUCAAUGUACAUCUUUUACAUUACAAUUUGGAUUUGGUAUCAAACACUUAAGAAAAUAUGGGAUUUUCUUGGUUAACCACUUUUUCAGGAAACUAAAGAAACUCGUUCUUUUCAUAAAAUAAACCGCUUAUGAACUCACCAGCUUUAUGCUGAUUUUCAAACCACUUGUAUUCUCAGGUUCACUUUAGACUGGUACCCGACGAUUUCUUUUGGUGAAGACGAAGUGCGUAGAAGAAUCGUCUUUCUUUUGUUUAAACUAUAUAUCUAUGAAACUUGUACUACUUUACUUUUCAACUGAUGUAAUGAAAUAUAUGUAAUGUAAUGUAAUGUUUUGUAUUUUACUUCGCUUACUAUGUACGUUGGUUAUGAUUCUCAUGAAGUCACCUCCGCCCCGAGACGUUUCCACCUUCGGUUUCGGGGUGUGACUGUUUGUUUAGUUUCGCAUUUUUAGUUAUUUUACUAAGUUAGUUUUAUGCGAAGCGUAUUGUAAUACACUUAGUAUAUUUUUUGUACACUCAGGUUUCCUAUAAAUAGGGACUGAGGAUAGAAGUAGAAGGAACUUUUCCCUCUAGUAUUCUUUCUGCUUAAAAGUUUUGUAAUCAGUCUUCAUCAAUAUAAUAUCUGAUUAAUAUUUACUCAUUGUGUUCUUACUUUUCAAUCAUUCAAUCAUAAUCGUUUUCUUAAUCUCGAUAACAAUUCUCUUGAAUUGGUAUCAGAUCAGGAUUCAAACUGCAUCGAUCUGAUUUUCGUGUUAGAAUCAUUUGCUUUUUGAGUAGUAACUUUACUCAAAAUUUUGUGCGCAAUUUGGUUUUGAAAAUCACAUUUGAUCUUCAUAUGUGAAUUGAUUCUGUCUUUGAAUUGUUUAGUCAAGUGAUCGAUUAGUAAUUAGUGAUCAAUUCAGUUGAUCAGUUCUCAAAUUCAUCAAGUUUUUCAAGCUUUCUGAAAAUUUUCGUGUUCAUCAAUGUCGAACUUCUACAUGAAUACAAUGACUUCUUUCUCUCACUUGCUUGGUUCCUCAACCAAAAUUCCGAUGGAACAGUGCAAGCUCCUGCUAAUGUUCAACCAAUUGGACCGUCUACUACUUCUGCUGAAGUUUUUGAACAACAAAAACGUUUGAAGAAUAAUGAAAAGAGGUGCAUGAGGGAACUGAGAGGUGCUCUACCUCCUGUGGUUUACGAAGAUCAACUCUAUGAAGCAAUGUCUAGUUGAACUGAAGGAAUACAGACAAAAGGAUGCAGAAACUCUUGAAAAUUACUAUGAUCAUCUGAAUUAGCUUGUGUAUCGUUGCAAUAGGUAUGGAAUCACUAGGUCUCUCAUGAAGUUCAAUUUAACUUUCAUCAUGGGCCUUCGCAAGGAAUAACGAAGUGUGAGUAUGAUGAUUAAGAAUCAACAUAGUUUUGAUACAACCAGAUUGAAUGAUCUCUACAAUCAGCUGAAAACACAUGAAAGUGAAGUUUCAGAAAUGUAUGAAGAAUCAAAACAAAGUAUAGGAGGACCUUUGGCUCUUGUUUCAAAUGUAUCAGAAGUUGAAAUUAAUGAAAUAGAUGGUUUAGACAAUGAAAUCUUCUUAAUGAACUCAGAUGAUGAAGCUGUAGUAUUCUACUCAAAUAAUAGAGUUAAGAAGUUUUUCAAAAAGCCUUUUAAUCCAAAAGGAAAGGAAAAUGAUGCGAAGAGUGGAGUCUCAAAAGCUGGAGGAGAGGAGAAGAAGAAAAUGGAAAAAGUUGAUGAAAAGCAAAAAGAUGAUAAAGAUGUGAAGAAACUGAAAGGUGAUUCUGGAAUCUAUUGUCACUACUGUAAUGGUGCGAAUCACUUCACAGCUGAUUGCAUGUUGCGAAAGAAAGAGGAGAAAAAGAACAAAGUGAAAAAUGAAGCGUACUAUUCAGAAAAGAUUGAAGAGUUGCGUGCGAAGUCAAAAGGAAUGUCACUUGUUGCGAAUGGGGAGUAUGAUGAGGAAGAAAGUGGAACAUAUCAGAUAUGGUCUUCAGGAUCCGAUGAUGAAGAAAUGAGGCAUCCAACUCAUGGAGCAAUGUUCGCAAGCUUUGAAGAAGAUUGCGAAGAGAAUGUUUCAGGAAGGUGCUUCGUAUCCAAAUCCACAGACAAAUCACCAAUGACCACCAAGGUACGUGCUAUUCAUGAAUCUUUCAAUAUUCCUUUAUCUGCUUAUGAUACUAUAAUUACUUAUUUUGAUGAUAUUGUUGCUUAUUUUGAUUCUAUUAUUGUGUCUGCUAGUACUGAAGCUCAAAAUUUAAAUAUGCAACUAGUUGAGACACGAGAGAGUUAGAAAUAAAACAAAGCAGAGUAGACAAACUUGAAUUGCAUAUCAGAUAUGUAAAUUAUGAUAGGGACAAUCUUGGAAAUCAAGUUAGGUUGUUGCUAGCACAAAGAAGUAUAUACUGUAAUUCUGCUAAGUGUUUGUAUGCAAAAUUAACUACUUUACAUCAUUCAUCCGAAAUUAGCAAAGAACAACAUAGGAAACUUUUACCUUUUCUUGAAUAUGAUCGUGAAAAAGUUGAUGUUGUGUCUUAUGAUUGCGAAAACACAAUUGCUCAAUUUGACAAAAUACCUGAUGAUAGAUUCGCAUAUGGUAUUGUCAAAAUUGAUGAAUUUUUGAAUGCUGAUGAGUUGGUUAGUAUUGUCAAUGAAAGUUUGACAAAGAAUGAACAAGUGAAAAUCUUAAAGAAAACUGAAACCUCGAAUCUUGAUUCUCAACUCAAUUAUGCUGAUAUUGAUGACAAUUCAGAUAAUGUGAGUGAAAUCAGUGAGAUUGAAGAGGAAGGAGAGGUUGAUUCUUCUCAAUUGUCAAUCAUUAAUAUCACAUCUAAGAUCAAAGGUAAAGAAAUUAUACUUGAUUCGAUGGUCAAAGAUGACAUUGAAAAACCCUUUACUUCGCAACAUUGUAAUUUUGAUAAUGUGGAAAUUGAAAGCUGGAAAUCUGAUGACACUGAUGAAAACAAAGAAGAUGUGAAUAACUCACAUGAAAUACCUCCACGAGUUGUGGAUGAUCAAGUGUUUGAAAAUACAAAAGAAUUUGACAAAAUUUUAAAUGACAAAGGCGCACAUUAUUUGGAAACCAACACUAUGGUAUAUCCAAAUUUUGUAUGCACUGAUAACACCAUUUUUCCAAAUCAAGUUUUUGUCACUACUGGGAAUACUGAGAAAAUUCACCCUGAAUUCAACAAAAUGGUUGAAAAAUAUAAUCAAAGGUCAACUACUGAAGGUUUUUUCGCAAAUCAAAACACAGAAGAAAACAAUUUAACUCAAAAUCCUUAUGUGUUUCAAAGACAAAAUUGCACACAAAUAUGGGUAGUUAAAGGUAAAAAAGUAAGCAAAGUUAUUGAAAAAGUUAAAAACCAAAGGUUGAAGUGAAAUUAAAUUCUCAUGAAUUUAAAUUGAUGGUUGGAAAUUAUUCAACAGAAAAUAAUGUUUCAAAAAGAAAAGCAAGAAAAGCAAUUUUCUGGCAUGUUGUGUCCAAUGAUAAAUCAAAAGUUGAAAAAGAACAAAUUUCAAAGUCAAAAUCAUCAAAAUUUCAAAGAAUAAAUAAACAAAAGGAUAGAAGUUUUCAUAAACGAAUUUGUUCUGUUGACAAGAUUCCAAUGAAAAAUAAUGAUAAACUUGUUCGUAAAUAUGACAACAACCGAAAAUUUGAGAAUUCCCAAAAAUUUGUGAAAAAAUAAAAGUUUCAAAAAGUUGGAAAAUUCACAAAUGAUUCAUCAUAUUUUAAUGUCACAACUCAAACAAAAACGAAGUUUUCUCCUAAACAACCAAAAUAUCCAAAUCCUUCAGUCUCAAAACCGACCAAAGUUUCAUAUACAAAAGGAAAAUAUGAUGUAGGUAUGAUCAAUCGUUGGCUUGAAGGGAAAGGAAGACAAUAUCAAACUGGGUUGUUUUUAGAGCAACAAAUAAAAAAUGCAUUUGAUAAGUUCACAAAUAACUCUUCCACUGGUAGUUCAUCAUCUUAUAAUUCGCAAGUUCCAGUACAAAAAUGGAAACCAGUUAUCAAAGUUGCAAAUGUUGUGAAAGAUGAGAUGAAACUCAAGGAAAAUCCAAAACUGUUGAACAACUAUAUUUCAAUAUCUUGAUCUGAUGAUGUUGAUAUAAUUGAUAGUUUCACAGACAAAGUGAAAACAUGGUUUUUAAAUUCAAAGCAUUUGUUCAAAAAUACUAAUGGAGGACACAAUAAAUCUUGGGUUCAAUAAAUGCAGGUGAUAUGUGACGAGCAAUAUGAUGCGAAAUGGUAUAUUGAUAGUGGUUGCUCUCGUCACAUGACUGGAAGGAAGGAAAACUUGCGAGAUUAUCGAAGCUUGGAGAAUGCAGGAGUAGUCAAAUUCGGAAAUAAUCACAAAUGUCAAGUGAAAGGCUAUGGGAAAGUAACAAAUGAACAAUUCACUGUUAACAGGGUUACUUAUGUUGAAGGUCUUCAACAUAAUUUGAUUAGUGUUUCGCAACUUGUUGUUGGUACUGGAAAAUAGGUUGUGUUUAAUGAAGAAGGAAGUAUCAUUUCAAAUGCGAAGACAAAUGAAGUACUUCUCAAAUCCAAAAGAUAAGGUGAUAUGUUUACACUGGACAUCAAACCAAUCGUGGGCAAACCUGCUGUGUGUUUACUAUCAAAGGCAUAUAAUGAUAUCAGCUAGCUUUGGCAUAGAAGAUUUUCACAUUUGAACUUUCACAAUAUUAACAAACUUGUCACUGAAGAUUUAGUUCGAGGUUUACCUGUACUAAAAUUUGACAAUGAUUCUCUGUGUGCAGCUUGCGAACAAGGAAAACAACAUAGAAAAGGUCAUCCGAUUGUGAUAGAUUCAAAAAUCGUAGAACCAUUGGAACUUCUUCACAUUGACUUAUGUGGACCGUCGACUGUUGCUACAAUCAACAAAAAGUGGUACAUUUUUGUUAUUGUUAAUGAUUUUUCUCGAUUCACAUGGGUAUUUUUUCUCAAGGUAAAAUUUGAAGUUGCUCAGACGAUGAUUGAUUUUAUCAAAAUGAUUGAGAUUGGCCUUAAAAAGAAUGUUCACAAAGUUAAAAGUGAUAAUGGUUCUGAGUUUAAAAACCAAACUCUUGAUUCAUUUCUAAUAUGCAAAGGAAUUUCGCAUAUUUUCUCAUCACCAUAUACUCCACAACAAAAUGGUGUUGUUGAAAGAAGAAAUCAAUCUCUAUGCGAAGCAGCCAGAACCAUGUUAACAUAUACGAAUCUACCUCAAUAUCUUAGGGCUGAAGCAGUUUCAACUGCGUGCUUUACUCAGAAUCGAUCAUUUAUUCAUCGCAGAUUCAAUAUCACUCCAUAUGAAAUCAUCAACAGUCGAAAACCUUAUGUAAAAUUUUUCCAUGUUUUUGGUUGUAGGUGCUUCAUAAUGAAUCUCAAAGAUAAUUUGAAAAAGUUCCAAGCUAAAGCCAAUGAAGGCAUAUUCAUAGGAUAUUCACAAAAUUCAGUUGCAUACAGGGUGCUAAACAAGCGAACAAGAAAAGUUGAAGAAACUUUCAACUUAACUUUUCAUGAUUACUAUCUUAAACAAACGGAUAGUAAAUUUGAAAUUAAAUCAAUUCUUGUUGAUUCAGAUACACAAAUUGAUAAUUCUGAAAUAAAUGAUUUUGAUUAUGACUUAAUUUUGGGAAUUCCUGAUAGGGCAAUUAGUGCGGAAAACAAUGCUCCUGAUAAUCAAACAUCAGAAUCCUUAAAACAUACUGACGAUUCCACAAUCACUACAAGUUCAAUAUCUUGCGAAAGUGUGCCUAAAGUUCGUAUGGAGGUGGAACAUACAAUUAACAAUGAACAUAGAAUGCAGACUUUCGAGGGGGAGAAUGAAAAUUUGAAUCAUCAAGUUGAGGGGGAGCAUUUGCAAAUUCAACAGGAUCAUCAUUUUGAGGGGGAGCAUCAAGAUGAACAUCAUGUUGAGGGGGAGCAUGAUGAAACAGAGACAAUUAAUCUUGAUGAAAAUGAUGAGUUUCAUGAACUAAAUGAUAAUUUUUCUGUUGCAGGAUCUGAAAAUGAAGAUAUGUAUGAAGAUGCACCAUUGGAAUUUAAUCCUGAUUAUCCACCACUUGAGAAAUGGACAAGAAAUCAUCCAAAAGAACAGGUAAUUGGCAAUCCACAAGAUGGUGUGUUGACAAGAGCUCAAAUUCGUGCGAAAAAUGAGGUACUAAAUGCGAACCAAGAACUGUGUAUGUUUAAUGUCUUUAUUUCGAAAAUAGAGCCAAAGACAUUAAGGAUGCUAUGGAACACUUAGAUUGGGUUGUUGCUAUGCAAUCUGAACUGGCUGAAUUUGAAUGAAACAAGGUUUGGAGAUUAAUUCCUAAACCUUCUGAUGUUUCAAUUGUCGGACUAAAAUGGAUUUUUAAAAAUAAAACCGACAAAGAUGGCAAUAUUAUUCGAAAUAAAGCUAGACUAGUUGUUAAGGGUUAUUCGCAACAAGAAGAAAUAGACUAUGAAUAAACAUUUUCUCCUGUUGCAAGACUCGAAGCUGUUCGCAUAUUUUUAGCUUAUGCAGCUCACAAAGACUUUGAUGUUUUUCAAAUGGAUGUUAAGUGUGCAUUCUUAAAUGGAGAACUUGUAGAAACAGUCUAUGUUGAACAACCACCAGGAUUUAUAAAUGAUGAACAUCCUGAUCAUGUCUACAUUCUAGACAAGGUAGUGUAUGGAUUAAAACAAGCACCAAGAGCCUGGUACGUAACACUUACAAACUUCUUGAAACAAUCUAAAUUUAAACAUGAAUCAGUUGACCCCACAUUAUUUUGCAAGAAAGUUGGGAAUCAUCUAAUGCUUGUUCAAAUUUAUGUUGAUGAUAUUAUAUUUGGCUCAACUGAACCAACAUUGUCAAUUGAAUUUGAAAAUCUAAUGAAUAGUCAAUUUGAAAUGAGUAUGAUUGGAAAAAUUAAUACUUUUCUUGGAUUGAACAUAAGACAGAACAGGGAUGGAAUUUUAAUCAAUCAAGAAAAAUACACAAAGAACUUGCUUGAAAAAAUUGGAAUGACCAAUAGCACGAAAUUGAGAGUACCAAUGGCAGUGGGAACAAGAUUAACUCCUUCGUUAGAUGCACCUGCUGUUGACUUAACACUUUAUCGAAGCAUGAUAGGGUCCUUAUGAUGGGUUUUGAGCAUUCUAACACUUCCUAAGUGUACAUGCAACCCUAAUAACCUUGGAUCUAUGUGUGUCUAAUUAUCAUGCAAAGUUGAAUUUCCAAGGUUAUAUUCCUAUCUAGCAUACAUGGGGAACAAUUUUAACUUGAAUGAAAGAUAGAAUAACUUACCUUGUUGUUGCUUAUGUUCCUUGAAACCUUGUGAGCCUAGCACCCCAAGUGUGAUGCCUCAAAUGCUUCACACAACACCAAAUGCUCUUGGAAAGACUUUUGAGAGAAUACACACUUCUUGAAAUCGGCCUAGCCCUCUUGUUUCUUAUGUGUAGCCGAUUUUGGUGGAGAAUGGGAUUCUUAUAUAGUGUUGACACAUCUAGGGUUACACCAUGUAAACCCUAAUGUGUCAUGACUCUUCAUUCCCAUGACCCAUGGGUUUGUAACUCCCAUGGAGAAUCCAUGGAGCAUCCUAUGGGUAGAACCCAACUUGAUAAUCCAUGGAGCCUCUUAGCCCACUAUACAAGAUAUGGAUGAUUUACAUAAUCAACCCAUAUAUUUAAUUAGUUAUCCUUUGAUCACUUAAUUAAUUCCAAAUUAAUUCUUUGAUCAACUAAUCAAAUAAUAUUAUUAAUAUAUUAGAACUUAUAAUAUAUUAAUAAUCUCCAAGUGUUAUUUCUCUCAUUUAGUCUAUCCAAUUGCAUGGUGCCAUGCAACCCAAAUGGACCAUGCCGGGUCGGGUCAAGUACAAGCCCGAAAUAGUUAUGGACUUAGACACCUUAUCCAACAGUCUCCCACUUGGAUAAGUCUAAUAACUAUAUCUCUAGUACUUCAGGAACCGACCGGCAAUCGUAGCUCUUUCAAGGUCUCUCGGAACUGAGAAGAUGAUGGUACGCCAUUUAAGAUAAGUGAUCAUAUAAUCCUCCGUUCUAGAUAUCAGCCGGACAAAUACAUGGAACAUUGUCUUGCUUAUUGUCCAGCAUUUGUUUCCCGAUUUCCGAUUUGUUUGACAUAGAACUUAAUUGAACACAUCAACUUAGUUCUGACCGGGCCCGGUACAUGGGUCAAAACAAAAUCAUCGAGGGGCCCAGAUAUCAGCUUCUAAUCCAAGAAGGAACAGAUAAACUUCGACUCAUAUGUUUGUUCUACCACUCAUUGAAUUACACACAAAAGUACGUUUUAUAACAUCGAGUUACCAAUGCGGUUUCGUACAGUCAAUGCAUAACCAACUUGUAAGUAACAAAUCAUAUCUCUAGGUUUGAAGACUUAUAUGAUAUUACCGUCUCACGAUCACUCGAGAUAGAAUUCCAUGAAGUGAUUCCAGUGAGCGUGGGUUGAGUCCAAUGCUCAGAACUUAUGAGCACUCAUGAUUGUUGUAGCCUUGUCCAACACCUUAGACCUCUACAACCCAUCAUGACAGUCUUGAUUCAUACCUACUUCCGACAUAUGACCGACUGUGGAGGUUUGAAUAAUAUGUUACACCAAACAAAAUUAUUCUGGAAGUCAAAACAUGCAAAAGAAAUAUAGUAAACGAUUGACAAGAGAUAGCAACACUUUACUCAUAAAUAAAACACCUUUUAUUCAUCAUCAAAUGUCAAUUACACUUUACAAAUUUCUGGGUUAUCUAACUACUAAAACUUAUAUCAUCCUUCAGCCCUAUGCUCCGAGCAUGCUGGAGAUGCUUAACCCUACUCAGUCCCUUCGUGAGGGGAUCUGCUGGGUUCUCAUCCGAUGAUACCCUCUUUGCCACGAGGAGUCCUUCUUCGAUCCGAUGUCUAAUGAAAUGGUAUUUUCUGUCGAUGUGUCUGGAUCUCCCAUGAUCCCUUGGUUCCUUGGCUAAGGCAACAGCACUUUCACUAUCACAGAAAAUUUCCAUUGGCUCUUUAAUAGCUGGUACAACUCCAAGGUCUCCAAUGAAGUUCUUCAGCCAUAUCGCCUCCUUUGCUGCUUCGCUAGCUGCAAUAUACUCUGAUUCACAAGUAGAAUCUGCCACUGUCUCUUGCUUGGAACUCUUCCAAGAAAUUGCUCCUCCGUUUAGGGUAAAGACCCAGCCCGACUGAGAGCGGAAAUUAUCCCUAUCAGUCUGGAAGCUAGCAUCACUAUACCCUACAACUCUCAAGUCAUCACUCCCACCGAGGGUAAGGACCCAGUCCUUAGUCCUCCGUAGGUACUUGAGGAUAUUCUUUACCGCAGUCCAGUGUGCCUUGCCAGGGUUCGCCUGAUACCUGCUAACCAUGCUCAAGGCAAAAGCUACAUCGGGUCGAGUACACGUCAUAGCAUACAUGAUCGAUCCUACAGCCGAAGCGUAAGGUGUUCGACUCAUUUCUGCUAUCUCAGCCUCAGUGCUAGGGCUUUGUGUCUUACUCAAUCUGGUGUUACUCUGGAUGGGUAACUCUCCUUUCUUGGAAUCCUGCAUGCUGAAUCUCUUCAGCACCUUAUCCAAGUAGGUACUCUGACUAAGUCCAAUUAGUCUUUUACUCCGAUCUCUCAAGAUUCUUAUCCCUAGAAUAUAGGCAGCUUCACCAAGGUCCUUCAUAGCGAAACACUUCCCAAGCCAGGACUUUACUUCCUGCAGGGUUGGAAUGUCGUUUCCUAUGAGUAGUAUGUCAUCCACAUACAAUACCAAAAAGCUAACUAUACUCCCACUAGCCUUGACAUACACACAAGAUUCAUCUUCACUCCUAGAAAAGCCAAAUUCCUUGACCUUUUCAUCAAAGCAAAGAUUCCAUCUGCGAGGUGCUUGCUUCAAUCCAUAAAUGGAUUUCUCAAGCUUACACACUCUAUUAGGGUACUCGUUGCUGACAAAACCCUCUGGCUGACUCAUGUAAACAUCUUCAGCCAACUUUCCAUUAAGGAAAGCGGUUUUGACAUCCAUCUGCCAUAUUUCAUAGUCAUGAAAUGCAGCUAUGGCUAACAGAACCCGAAUAGACUUAAUCUUGGCUACCGGAGAAAAGGUCUCAUCAUAAUCCACUCCAGGAAUUUGAGAGAAGCCCUUUGCAACCAGUCUAGCCUUAUAAGUGUGUACUUUACCAUCCAUGUCGGUCUUCUUCUUGAAGACCCAUUUGCACCCUACUGUCUUACGACCUGGUACAUUUUCAACCAAGUUCCAAACUUGAUUGUCAUACAUGGAUUGUAUCUCGCUAUCCAUAGCCUCUUUCCAUUUAGCAGACUCGGGGCCUGCCAUGGCUUCCUCGUAGCUGUUAGGGUCAUCUUGACUUACUAGUGUCUCAUCACUAAUAAGUGUCUCACCUUCUGCAGUAAUAUGGAAUCCAUAGUAAUGCUCAGGUGCACUCCUAACUCUCGUGGAACGUCUCAGAGGUACAGAUUUGUCAAUUGGCUCAACAGGAGUUUCCUCCUCAAGUUGAGGGCUAGAGUUUGAAGUUCCUUCACCGCUUGAUUCUUGAAUUUCUUCAAGAUCAAUUUGCCUCCCACUGUCUCCUUGGCUUAUAAACUCUCUUUCUCGAAAGACUCCUCUUCUUGCUACAAAGACCACAUUGUCACUAGGUCUGUAGAAGAGGUAACCAAAGGAUCGCUGUGGGUAACCGAUGAAAAUACACCUCUCGCUUCGAGGUUCGAGCUUAUCAUGAGUCUCGCGUCUCACGAAAGCCUCGCAACCCCAAAUCUUGAUGUGGUCUAGUUUAGGUACUUUACCAGUCCACAUCUCGUGAGGAGUUUUGGCAACUUUCUUUGUAGGGACUAGAUUAAGAAUAUGGGCGGCAGUCUCUAAGGCAUACCCCCAGAAUGAGAUUGGUAGCGUAGCUCGACUCAUCAUGGAACGAACCAUAUCUAACAAGGUUCGAUUACGCCUCUCAGCCACACCAUUCAACUGUGGUGUCCUGGGAGGUGUCAAUUGUGAGACUAUCCCACAUUCCCUUAGAUAGUCGAGGAACUCUGAACUAAGAUACUCACCACCACGAUCGGAUCGAAGCAUCUUAAUGUUCCUGCCCAAUUGAUUCUCGACUUCCUGUUUAAAUUCCUUAAACCUCUCGAAAGUCUCUGACUUAUGCUUGAUCAAGUAGACAUAUCCAUAUCUACUAUAAUCAUCAGUAAAAGUCAAAUAAUAACGAUUAGCAUCCCUUGUGGCAUGUUUGAAUGGUCCACACACAUCCGUGUGUAUAAGGUCCAACAAACCUUCACCCCUCUCACACGAACCUGUGAAGGGUGACUUUGUCAUUUUUCCAAGUAAGCAUGAUUCGCAACUAUCAUCUGACUUUAGGUCAAACGACUCCAAGACUCCAUCCUUUUGGAGUUGGCCUAUGCGUUUCUUGCUUAUAUGUCCAAGACGACAAUGCCAUAAAGAUGCUUUAUCCAAGUUAUUAUUAGUAGAAUCAAUACACAAAACAUUAUUUCCCAAGUUAUCUACAACAGAUACAGCUUCAUACACACCAUCACAAGGUAAUGCUUUAAAAUAAAAGACAUUAUUAUAGAAAACAUCUAUAGAACCAACUUCAUUAUUAAAUGAAAAGGUAAACCCUUGUUUGUACAAAGCAUGAAAGGAAAUAAUAUUUCUUGCCAUUCCUGGCGAAUAACAACACUUAUUCAAAUCUAAACUAAACCCACUACUUAGCGAUAAAGUAUAAACUCCAAUCUUGGUAACAGGUAUAGCUUUCCUAUUCCCCAUGAUCAAGUUUAUCCUUCCUUGCUCCACAUCCUCACUUCUUCUUAGUCCCUGCAAGUCACAACAAAUGUGAAUACCACACCCGGUAUCAAGGACCCAAGAAUUAGAAUGGGGUGAGUUAUUAGAAAUGAUAGUGUAAAUACCUGCAUGGUUGGGUUUAACUUUCCCAUCCUUCACAUCUUGCUGGUAUUUUGGGCAGUUCCGCUUCCAAUGAGCUUUUUCAUGGCAAUAGAAGCAUUCAGCCUCUUUUGGGUCAGAAGAAGGAGUAAUGAAACCUUUCUUGGUUCCACUUGAAGAAGAGCCAUCAAGGGUCCGAACCUUGGUACCCUUAGAAGAGCUCUUUCUCUUCCUCCCUCGACUUUUCCCGAUUGCCAAAACCGGAGUAGAGUUUUGAGUAGGAGUGAUAGCAACCGACUUCCCCUUAAGACCUGAUUCUGCGGUCUUGAGAAGUCCCUGAAGUUUGCUGAGGGUGACUUCUUCCUUGUUCAUGUGAUAUGUCAUGCGGAAUUGAUCAUAGCACGAUGGUAAGGAAUGCAAAAUAAUAUCUAUUGCAAGAUCCUCCGGGAAGUUCACAUUAAGCUUCAGCAAACGAUCCACAUACCUUUGCAUUUUCUGCAUGUGGCUCGUGACGGAUUCCCCGUCCUUCAUCAUGGUUGUUAUCAUGGAGCAGAUGAUUUCAUACCUCUCUUGUCUUGCACUUUGAUGGUAUCUUUCCAUCAAAUCUUGGUGCAUUUCAUAAGGGUAGAAAUCCUCAUAAGACUUUUGGAGUUCCGCUGUCAUCGUGGCCAUCAUGAUGCAAGCCACUUUCGUAGCAUCCCUUUCAUGUGCCCGAAAUUCAGCGAUCUCCUGAGGAGUUGCAGUGGACUCAUCAAUCUCCUUAAGCUCCUUGUCAAGGACAUAUUCUUUGUCCUCGUAGCGGGUAAUCAUCCUGAUGUUUCUGAUCCACUCAUUGAAGUUGGAUCCAUCAAAGGUGACUUUCCCACACAAGUUCAUAAGGGUAAAGGAGCCAUUAGGAUUAGAGCCAGAAGCAUUGUUGAAAGACAUCUGAAGGAAAGAGGACAAGAUUAGUUUAGAUAUAAGAGAGUCCUUAAUAAAACACCCAAAUGUAAUAUUAAGGCUAGGAUCCAAUCACAAUAUAAUAUAACUUAGAAGAGGUAUGCCGUAAUCUAAGCUAUAUCAUAUUUGAAAGGUAGGUGAAUGACGAUUCACCAAUUUCCACCACGAAAACCGCAAUAUUUUAGUAUUAGGUUUUUGAAUGGUUCUUAGAAAUUCCUAGAUUCUUUGAGAUUCAAUGAACUUUUCAAAGGCAUGUUUCAAUCUCGAGUGUGCCCUCCAAGUUUUGUGACUGGGAUACCGAGGAUCACAAAACGAGGUGUGAAGUAACCAUGCAAAUCACUUGGUACCCUUAAAGUUUAUCACUCAAUCGAUGUGCCGGUUAACCACACACGCUCCAUCGAUACUAUAAUAAACCCUAAGUCACCCUUUACCUACCUUGUUAAGUCCAAGUUAGUGUGCCGGUUAACCACACACGCUCCACCAACGACUUAAUCAAAGUGUAAAGUGUAAUUUCAUGGAAUAGCACCUUAUUCACAUUUUUCCUAAAGUAACUAAGAUUGGGAAUUUAAUAAAACAUUUAGUUACUUUAUAAUAUUCAUCAUACUUUGAAUGAGAAUUAAUAAGUCCUUGUCUUACCCGUUCGGCUAACGACCCUCCACCGAUCAAGCAAGCGGUGGGUGAGAGUGGACACCCAUUAAGUCACCAUUUUAUAGGCAACAACCUUAUACCCACCUUAUAGACCGGCUUCGUGAAUGAGGCGUACUAGCGGUAAGACGACUUUGUUCUUAUACAUAUAUAUAUAAUUAUUAAAUCAUAAUAAUAUAAGUAUAAGGGUUGAAUUUUAACUUUUAAAAUUCUAGGGGUUGGAACUAAAGUUUUAACUUAACUUUACUUGUUCCAAAACUUGAGGGCAAGUUUUGUAAACUUUCAAAACUUUUCAUUUCUUGUAACUUAUGAGUUUAAUAGAGUAAUAAAAUGAGGACUUUUCAUUUUUCCUAACUCUUGUGUUCUUUUAAUGGUUUUUAAUCCAAGAGACUUUUGGUUUUCCAUAACUUGAGGACAAGUUAUGGACUCCAUUAAAACACAUUAUGAUCAUGAAUUAAUCUACCACAUAGGUUACAAAUAAUUCCUAUGAUCAUCUAAACAUCAUAAGAACAAGAAUAUGAAUAUGAACACUUUCAAGAAUCAAAAUCACAUUUAAUCUUUGUAAUUUUGAUAACUAGUUGUUGUAAAUGAGUUAGAAAAGACAUUACACCUUCUAAAAUAAGUUUUCAAGUACCAAAACAUUUUAGGGUAAUGAUUCUAAUCCAUUUCCAGCAACACAAGUCGAAAUUCUGCACUCUGUCGACCCUACUCGCCGAGUGCAUAAACCUACUCGCCGAGUAGGUUGAAGAUACACAUGAACUCGUCGAGUCCUCCCCAUGGACUCGCCGAGUCCAUCAGUCAGACAGCAAGAUUUUCGACUUUCUUCAACUUUUAAGCACAAAUAACAAACAAACAAGCCUAGGCUCUGAUACCACUGAUGGGUUUUGAGCAUUCUAACACUUCCUAAGUGUACAUGCAACCCUAAUAACCUUGGAUCUAUGUUUGUCUAAUUAUCAUGCAAAGUUGAAUUUCCAAGGUUAUAUUCCUAUCUAGCAUACAUGGGGAACAAUUUUAACUUGAAUGAAAGAUAGAAUAACUUACCUUGUUGUUGCUUAUGUUCCUUGAAACCUUGUGAGCCUAGCACCCCAAGUGUGAUGCCUCAAAUGCUUCACACAACACCAAAUGCUCUUGGAAAGACUUUUGAGAGAAUACACACUUCUUAAAAUCGGCCAAGCCCUCUUGUUUCUUAUGUGUAGCCGAUUUUGUGGAGAAUGGGAUUCUUAUAUAGUGUUGACACAUUUAGGGUUACACCAUGUAAACCCUAAUGUGUCAUGACUCUUCAUUUCCAUGACCCAUGGGUUUGUAACUCCCAUGGAGAAUCCAUGGAGCAUCCUAUGGGUAGAACCCAACUUGAUAAUCCAUGGAGCCUCUUAGCCCACUAUACAAGAUAUGAAUGAUUUACAUAAUCAACCCAUAUAUUUAAUUAGUUAACUUUUGAUCACUUAAUUAAGUCCAAAUUAAUUCUUUGAUCAAACUAAUCAAAUAAUAUUAUUAAUAUAUUAGAACUUAUAAUAUAUUAAUAAUCUCCAAGUUUUAUUCCUCUCAUUUAGUCUAUCCAAUUGCAUGGUGCCAUGCAACCCAAAUGGACCAUGCCGGGUCGGGUCAAGUACUAACCCGUAAUAGUUAUGGACUUCGACACCUUAUCCAACACCUUAUUGUACUUAACUACAAGUAGACCUGAUAUUAUGGUUUUGGUAUGUAAAUGUGCUAGAUAUCAAGCUAAUCCCAGAGAACCUCAUUUGACUGCAGUGAAAAAUAUUUUUCGCUAUCUUAAGGGAACAGUUUCGUUAGGACUUUGGUAUCCUUUGAAAACGGGAAUUUUCAUUCAAGCUUUUUCAGAUUCUGAUCUAGGAGGAUGUACUUUGGAUAGGAAAAGUACGAGUUGUGGAUGUCAACUAUUAGAUGGGAAGUUGGUAUGUUGGCAAUCGAAGAAGCAAACUUGUGUGGCUAUAUCAACUGCUGAGGCUGAAUACAUUGCAGCUGCUGCUUGCACUUCGCAAAUUAUUUGGAUUAAGAGUCAACUUUGUGACUAUGCAAUAAACAUGAAAAAGAUUCCCUUGUAUUGUGAUUCGCAAAGUGUAAUUCGCAUUUGUCAUAAUCCAGUACAACAUUCAAAGACAAAACACAUUGCUCUUCGAUAUCAUUUUAUCAAAGAUCAUGUGGAAGAUGGGAAUAUUGAAAUUCAUUUUAUUAAAACAACUGAACAACUUGCUGAUAUUUUUACUAAACCUCUUGAUGAAAAAUCAUUUGUAAGAAUUUUAGCAGGUUUGGGGAUGAUUGAUGCGAAUUUAAUUUCAAAAUAUCAAGCAUGAAAGGUUCAUUCAGCAGUUUUGAGUCAGAAUUGCUCAGAUGUUACUGUUCAUCCAGGGGCUUCGCAUCCACAUUUCUUCGCAUUUGCACUCAUGACAAAUAAGGUUAGGUUUACGAUUCAUUUUGUUUUUUUUUUAACUUGAAAAAUCCAAAAAGAUUUUAUGUUCAUUCAUUUUCGUUUUGAAAAAUCAAAAAUCCAAUAUAUAUAUAUAUAUAUAUAUAUAUAUAUAUAUAUACAUACAUACACACAUACANNNNNNNNNNNNNNNNNNNNNNNNNNNNNNNNNNNNNNNNNNNNNNNNNNNNNNNNNNNNNNNNNNNNNNNNNNNNNNNNNNNNNNNNNNNNNNNNNNNNNNNNNNNNNNNNNNNNNNNNNNNNNNNNNNNNNNNNNNNNNNNNNNNNNNNNNNNNNNNNNNNNNNNNNNNNNNNNNNNNNNNNNNNNNNNNNNNNNNNNNNNNNNNNNNNNNNNNNNNNNNNNNNNNNNNNNNNNNNNNNNNNNNNNNNNNNNNNNNNNNNNNNNNNNNNNNNNNNNNNNNNNNNNNNNNNNNNNNNNNNNNNNNNNNNNNNNNNNNNNNNNNNNNNNNAUUUUUUUUUAAUUUGAACUAGUUAGGAUGUCCCUAGAAGCAUGCUGCAGUAUGUUGACUCAAGCCUCAUAUGACUCUAUGUGUGAGAAAAGAAAGCCUUAAUGAAAUUAUCACAUGAAAAUUUCUUCCCAAAAGGCUUGUAUUCGCAUAAGUCAAAAGAGCUACCUUACGCUUCUCAUAUGAGUUAAGAGUUUUCUGUUUGGUUCACAAAUAACAGAGGUACAUUCGAUCUUAUAACCAAUCUUUUUCAUCUCAAAAUUCUUCACACAAAUGACACACAAAGAUGUAUGUCCGAGAGGUCUCUGAUCAAACCCAUCGAGACUUAGAUAUACAAAGAUUCUGUGUUUAUGAUCUAACAUCAUGAUUCCGUGAUGAAAGUGAAACCCAAAAAUUAUAAACCUUGAGGAAUUGACGGCGAACAUAGUUCCAGAUUUUAACGAUACUUUUGUUUCAGUACCAAAAUUUCGACACUCCAAAUCAUAUUCAAUUCGCAUGUGUGGUCUUGAUCAAACAUUCGCAACCCACGAUGUUUGUUACCCAACAAGAUCCAAUACAAUUUUUUUUUAUGAAUAUGAUUUAUGUGUGAUUUUUAUUCGCAAAUCCUAGUCAUGAUAAAUAUUUUCAAAAGCCAACUUGUCACUGACUACACUGGUCAUACAAGUAAUUUUAGUUAAAAUUCCUCACCUUAUUAUAUGGUUGAUAUGUAAUGAAAUUUGAAACCAACCCAAAAGUAUCCUUCAAAAGAAGCACUUUGAUACUUAUCAAAAAGUAUUUGAUUGUAAUUCACGGGAAACUACACAAGCUGUUGAUCAUCUCUCUUGAUGAUUAACGAAGAAACCAUUGCAUGGGGUUUAACUGUCUUUGUGUCAAAUUGAAUUUUUGACAUCACAGAAUUCCAAAUUUUUUUUUAUUGUUUCUCAUCGUAUUUCUUUGGAAAACUGCACUCACGAAAUCCUUGAGGUUCUGAGUAAUACCAACUCAGGCUGAUGAUUUCGCAAAUCUGACAUAUGACUUCACUUUACAUCCCAAAGGUGAAAGAACCUUUCCUCCAUGCGAAGGGUUUUCAUGGUUCAAAUUCCAUAACGGGAAAAUUGACAGGCUGUGUACUCAAGAGGGUUGGUAUUCUGUCCGAUUUUCUAGGAGAUGUGACAGUUACUUUUUGCAGCAUGGCUAUCUUUUACAGUCAUGAUCUGAUUUUCAAGGUGCCACAUCGGAUAACAUUAAAUGUAUCCCAAUUUUAAUUUCAAAUCGAUUUAAGUAACCUAUAUAAGGGGGAUCAAGAUCAUUGUAUUGUUGGAUUAAUGUCUAAGUCCAUAACUAUAAUUGGUAAGACUUGACCCGACCCGGCAUGGUCCAUUUGGGUUGCAUGGCAUCAUGCACUUGGAUAGACUAAAAUGAGAGAAAUAAGAAACNAAUGAGAGAAAUAAGACACUUAUGGUUAUUAAUAUAUUAUAAGUUCUAGUAUAUUAAUAAUAAGAAUAAUAAGAUUAUUUAAUUAGUAUUGAUCAAGAAUUAAUCUAGGAUUAAUUAAGUGAUCAAAAGAAGACUAAUUAAAUAUAUGGGUUGAUUGUGUAAAUCAUCCAUACUUGUAUAGUGGGCUAAUGCUCCAUGGAUAAUCAAGUUGGGCUAAAACCCAUAGGAUGGUCCAUGGAUGCUCCAUGGUGUAUUUAAACCCAUGGAUCCAAGGAAAUGGAAAUUCAUGACAAUUAGGGUUUACCCUAAUUGUAACACUAUAUAAAGAUCUUAUUCUUGUCAAAAUCCGCGACUACGAUCAUUCUAGAGAAGGGCUAGCCGUUUUCAUGAAGUGUAGAUUUAUCUCAAGUUAUUCCAAGUGUAUUUGGUGUUGUGUGAACCAUUUGAGGUGUCACACUUGGGGCACUAGGCACUCAAGCUUCAUGAAGACUUUCUACAUCAAAGAGGUAUGUAUUCUAUCUUGUAAUAUUCAUUGUUUUGUAUGCUAGAUUACGAUAAUACCUUGGAAAGUUGUUAUUUGCAUGUAUAAUAGAGAACACAUAGAUCUAAGGUAUUUAGGGUUGCAUGUACACUUAGGAGUGUUAGAAUGCUCAAAACCCAACAGUGGUAUCAGAGCCUAGGCUUGUUUUCUUGUUAUUCUUGCAAAAAUAGCUGAAAAAUCGAGUUUUGAUGCUGUCAGCCUAGCAGACUCGCUGAGUCCAUGAAUGGACUCACUGAGUCCAAGGCAAAAUGUAUCCAACUCGCCGAGUUGGUUCGUGUACUCCACGAGUUGGACCCCCAGACAGCAUAAAUUCGACUUUUUUUGGCUGGAAUUAGACUAGGAACAUUACCCUAAGAUGUUUUUGAACUUAUAAACUUGUUUUUGAUGUGGUAAUGUUCAUGCUAAUCCAAUUUCAAAGAUAAUUGUCAAUAGAUUCAUGUUUUGUAUUAGUUUAAGGUUUAGACUAAUUACAUGAAAAAGUUUGAUUUGAAUUAUCUUGUUCUUAUGAGUUGCUUAGAUUAAUAGAAAAGUUGAGUGAAAUAGUUGUUCUCAAUCCAAAUUAAUCUAAGAGUUGAUUCUAAAAUGUGUUUUUGUAACUUGUCCUCAAGUUAUAUGAAAAGUCACAUUUAAGUUUCAUAAAACUCAUAAAAGUUGGCAAAGGUUACAAAAAUGAGGAGUCUAGUUCUAAUUAAAUGGUUUUAUGACUCCAUAACUUGUCCUCAAGUUAUGGAGGAGCAAGAGUCUCUUCAUUAAAUAAUAAAUAAAUAAAAAAAUUGUAUAAAAUAAAGAAAAGUUAAUUCUUUUAUUAGUUUAAAGUCUUCCAUAACUUGUCCUCAAGUUAUGGAACUUGAAGAGUUUUUGGAUUAAAACUACUUUAAACACAUAAGUUAUGGAAUUAAUUAGUUUUGAAUAGUUUCAAAACAUGCCCUCAAGUUUGGAAUUUGAAAAGUUUUCACUUAUGAAUACUUUAAUUCCAAGUUAGCCCUUAAAAUUUUAAAAGUUAAAAUUCAACCCUUAUACUUUAUAAUAUUAUAAGUUAAUAAUAUAUAUAUGUAUAAGAGUAAAGUCAGUCUUACCGCUAGUACGCCUCAUUCACGAAGCCGGUCUAUAAGGUGGGUAUAAGGUUGUUGCCUAUAAAAUGGCAACUUAAUGGGUGUCCACUCUCACCCACCGCUUGCUUGACUGGUGGAGGGUCGUUAGCCGAACGGGUUUGACAGGACUAGAAUUCUCCCUUCAUUAAAAGUAUUAAUGAUAAUACUAAGUAACUAAACUCUUAAUAAUACCCAAUCUUAGUUACUUAGGAAAAAUGUGAAUAAGGUGCUAAUCCAUGAAAUUACACUUUGCACUUUGUUUAAGUCGGUUAGUGGAGCGUGUGUGGUUAACCGGCACACUAACNNNNNNNNNNNNNNNNNNNNNNNNNNNNNNNNNNNNNNNNNNNNNNNNNNNNNNNNNNNNNNNNNNNNNNNNNNNNNNNNNNNNNNNNNNNNNNNNNNNNNNNNNNNNNNNNNNNNNNNNNNNNNNNNNNNNNNNNNNNNNNNNNNNNNNNNNNNNNNNNNNNNNNNNNNNNNNNNNNNNNNNNNNNNNNNNNNNNNNNNNNNNNNNNNNNNNNNNNNNNNNNNNNNNNNNNNNNNNNNNNNNNNNNNNNNNNNNNNNNNNNNNNNNNNNNNNNNNNNNNNNNNNNNNNNNNNNNNNNNNNNNNNNNNNNNNNNNNNNNNNNNNNNNNNNNNNNNNNNNNNNNNNNNNNNNNNNNNNNNNNNNNNNNNNNNNNNNNNNNNNNNNNNNNNNNNNNNNNNNNNNNNNNNNNNNNNNNNNNNNNNNNNNNNNNNNNNNNNNNNNNNNNNNNNNNNNNNNNNNNNNNNNNNNNNNNNNNNNNNNNNNNNNNNNNNNNNNNNNNUUUAAGGUCACUCAAGCCCUAUUGGCAAGCAAAGGUCUAUGUGUGAUCACAUCUUGGAGAUGUAGUCACAUAUUGAAAAGCCGGGAGAGUUAGGUGUCGAAGUCUUGAGAAAGUUGGUGGGUCAAUCACUUUCUAAGUCACAUGGUGAGUUCCUUUGGGACACCUAUGAAACAGACUAUGACAAGACCCUUAAUGAUCUUAUCUAUUUGUUAAGAUCAACUUCCUUAAAACUUGAUGGACAUUGACAAUAGUGACACCGGAAAUCCAGAAAAGCAUUCUCUUCCCAAUGGAAAGGGAUCGGCCAUAGUCAACUCGGUUGACCAAAUGGUAAAGAGAAAAGCUAAGUUUGUGAUAGUCCUAUGUACCAUUAUCAAAGGGUCCAAAUGUUUAUAUCGCCAAAGAAAGGGGCAUUGGUUGCGAAGCUGCCAAAUUUACCUAAGGAUGUUAAAGUCAAUAAGUUUGACUCUACUUCAGGUAAAGUCCACUAGCUAACUCUGUUAAAUUUCUAUUAUGAGAUUCUUGAAACAUGAUGUGACUGGGUCACAUGGUGAUGUUUCAAGAAUCGAAGAAAAGUAAAGAAACUCAAAAGAAAGAAUAUGCUGAAUCUGAUCGCGUAGACGGAUUUCUAUCGCAUAGUUUAAAAAUCAGAUUCUUGAGCUUGUUAUUAGGAGUUAUGAGAUAUUGCUUAGGAAUAGACAACAAGUUUUCAUAUGGAUUGUAAGGAUAAGUUUUUCCACAAUGUUUUUAAAAUAAAAGGAAAUUUUAGAUUUUAUUUAUUUUAAAAUAUCCUUACAAUGGCAUUUGAGGAAAAAUUGUUGCUUAUAUGAUUCCAUUAAUAGCAAGAGUGGAAAUAUGAAAUUUAUUCUUUCAUUUGUGGUAAUGUCUAAAUUUACCAAAUAAGGAAAGAUUCUCAUCACCCAAGUUUCAAUUGGACCGGAACUUGGAAUCAUGCAAGUUGUAUAGCAUGAUGAAUGAGAACUUUGAAGUAUUGGAAAAUUAAGACUAAUUACUUGUUCACAUGGAUGUGUGAGUCAAGUAAUGGACUAAGGGAUUGAGUACACAUUCUUGUGCACUGAUUAAGUCCACCACAAAAGAUCGAUAAGACUAUUCGUCAUAGUUUGCUAAAGCUUAGUAAAUAUGAUUAUACUUACAAGCUAAAGUAUGAUUCUGAGACAUUGGAAAAGUUUCAAUGUAAGGUAGAGCGAAUAAGAAGAAUCAACUUAGGCAGAAGGAUAAAAGUUUCUCAAAUCUGAAAAGAUGGGAGAGUACUUUAGUAUCAGUUUUUGUGAUCAUCUUAAUGAUUAAGAAACCAUAUCAAAGUUAGUUCUCUAAGGAAAUCUUAGUGUAUUCUUAUGACUAAGAAGAGGAACUUGAAUUGUUGAAAUCAUUAAAUCAAGAAGAUGAGUCAUACUUCGUUCCAAUACAAGUCUUAGAGUCAUACUCCAAGAUUGUAAUUUGAGUGACAUGUCUUAAAGAAGGUUUAAAACACUUGUCAAAUGUAAGAGUAAAAGUUUUCUACUCUUGUACAUUUGAAAUUGGUAAGUUGUGAUGUUUUGGAUAAAACAAAGACCAACUUAGGCCAAUUGGGUGAAGUGUUUGUCUUGAUUAGAAUCCACACUAUCUCUUGGAUAUUUGACAAGGGAGUCUUAUAGGUCAAGAGGACAGUGGGAGUCUUAAAGGUCUUGAAAGUCUCAAGAACUAAUCAAGAAUAAAACCUGAAGUUCUUCACUAGCACACGACUUGAGGUUUAUAACCUAUCGUGUUGACAUAUUCUGUGCCCAUUCCAGUUAAAGUUGGCUUUGCAUAUGAGUUCUUAGAGUUCUCAAUUUGUUGCACAACAACUUGGAAGCAAUGGCAGGCCCUUGAGCUGCCAGGUGGCAAGAAAUUAAGAUUGAGUUCAGUCCAUAUGAGUUUGGAUUUGUCAUUAUCCUUGUCUUGUGACUAUGGUUUUGACAAUUCACAUGGAUAAGAACACAUACACCAUUAAAUCUAAGUGUCAUAAGGUUUCUCUCCGAUUCAUGAAAAUGAUGGUGAGGAAACACUUUCACUAAGUAGAUUUUAGCUAGAUAGCAAUUGUGAUAUUUGCAUUCUCAAAGUCGUUAGUGGAGCGUGUGUGGUUAACCGGCACACUAACCUGGACUUGUGAGAAGUGGCAAAAAGGUCUAACCAUUAUGAUUACGGCAUCCCUCUUCAUAAUUGUUUAGACACACAAGUGUGCUAUCUAAGGGAAGGUGUAUGAUUUUGAUAAAGUUUUAUCAAAACAAUCUAGUAUCAGAAAUCUGAACUUUGGUAAGAAAGUCAAUGAAGUAUUGAUUUCUAGAAGUCCAGCUGAUUUCUGAGUACAUGUCAAAGCUAGUGGGAGCAUAAGUGUUAUGCUAAUAAUCAUCAUGUUAGUGGGAGCAUGAUAAUUAUGAUAAGUAUUGCAAGUUAGCAAUGUUAAUUAUAGAAAACAAAAGUUUCAAUUGGGAAAAAGUUGUUUUGCUAUAAUUAAGGGAGAGGAAAUUAUGCUUCAUCUCAAAUCUAUAAGCUUAGAUCGUGAGGUUUUAAUCAUUUAGUCAAGGAUAUAUAUGAAUUUCAUGUUGGAAUGGCUCAACAUAAGGAAAUUCUGUAUAUGGGUCCAUUAUUUGCGUUCUAAAAUUCGAUUAUGAUUACGGCAUCCCUUUUCAUAAUCUGAAUUAUGAGAACUUGGCAAAUUGAAAUGGAAAUAUUAUAGCAAAAGACUGGUUUAGUCUUUAUGUGAGACAUCAUGAAUCGUGUCCCAUAUGCUUCGGAUAUAGGAUCGAUUACAUGUGCUAUAUUCAUCCGUUCUAAAAUUUUCCAAAUGCCUGGGGCAUUAAGAAGGGAAAAGGUUUAGAACUGGAUAUGACUAAAAGGAUUAAACAAUUGUCGAGGACAAUCUAAGGUUUACCAAAGAUUGGUUGCUCAAGGACAAUUGGAAGUAUAGUGAUAAUUCUGGAAGGACCAUAUUGACAUAAUCUGUAAGGAGGCAACUCUUGUUCAGAAGUGAUAGUCAAAAUGGAAUCUGGAAAUGUUUCAAAGUUAGAAUUUUCAAUCUGUGUAAGAUUAAGGAAACUUAAUGCAAGAAGGAUAUUUCCAAGGAGUUGAUCUCCUUUGGAAUACUCUGUAAUGAUUGUUGCCAAGUCUUUGUGACUUUGUGCAUAAUCAUUACAAGAGGAUCAAUGCAUAUAAGUUUAGAAUCUAACAGAUUUCAGUAAAUGGCAUGAAUUUGGAAUUCUUGCAUUUGCAGUAAGGAUUUGGGAGUGUGAAAAGAGAAUCAUUGAAGUUAUGUUCAAUUGAUCUAGUUCACAAAGUAAAGAUCAUAGACAAACAUAGUAUGCAUACUUGGUGUGUGGCAUGACUAGUGUUUAAGAAAACAUAGUGUACAUGCUUGGAGCAUGGGACAACUAUUGUUUUAAAUUCAAGAAUAAAGUUGAUAGCUGAAACAGUAUACAAUGAAUAAUGUGUAAUCAUAUGGUGAUAAAUAAAAGGUGUUUUAUUUAUGUUCAAAGGGUUGAUACCAUAUUGGAUUCAAUUAUUAUUGUGUUUCAUUUUGCAUGUUUUGACUUCCCGAAUAAACUGGGUUAUUCUUCCGGAAUGACUAAGUUAUUCAAACCAUCCACAGUCGGUCAUAUGUUGGAAGUAGAUAUGAAUUAAGACUGUCAUGGGUUGGCUUGUAGAGGUCUAAGGUGUUGGACAAAGGGCUACAACACUCAUGAGUGCUCAUAAGUUCUGAGUAUUGGAUUCAACCCGCGCUCAUUGGAAUCACUUCAUGGAUUUUAUCACGAGUGAUCAUGAGACGAUAAUAUCUUAUAUUCUUCAAACCUAGAGAUAUGAGUUGUUACUAUGAGUUGAUAGUACAUUGAUUGCACGAAAACGCAUUUGGUAACUCGGUGCUAUAAAACGUGCCUUUGUGUAUGAUUCAACAAGUAGUAGAACAAGCCAUAUGAGUCGAAGUUUAUCCAUUCCUUUUACCUUCGGGAUAAAAGCGAUAUCUGUGGGCCCCUCGAUGAUUUGAUGAUGACAAAUGGAAGUGCUCGGCCGGGCCAGGACUGAUUUGAUUUGUUCAAUUAGUCAGUCGUCAUAAAUCGGAAAUCGGGAAACAACAAAUGGACAGAGAGAAUGAUUAUAAUCCAUGUCUCAGUCCAUAUGAUAUCUAGAAUGGAGGAAUAUAUGAUCCCUUAUCUAAUGGACAAGUCAUUGACAAAGGUCAGAGUUCAUCUACAAGGUCAGAGUUCGACAGAAGCUUUUGAGAGCUACGAUUGCCAGUUGGUUCCUGAAGUCAUACGCAAUAAUAGUUUUAGACUUAUCCAAGUGGGAGACUAUUGGAUUAAUGUCUAAGUCCAUAACUAUAAUUGGUAAGACUUGACCCGACCCGGCAUGGUCCAUUUGGGUUGCAUGCCAUCAUGCACUUG